GGCUCCGCUUCCUUCCCGUGGCUUCUGGAGUCUUCUAGAUGGUAGAAAAUUGCGCGGUGGGUUGAUAUCUCUAUGUAAUCCCAACAUGUGGACCUUUCUUCCUUAUUUCCUGAUAACCCCCUGCAGAAAUAGACAAACACCAAAACUCAUGGAAUUCUAUCAGAUAAAACCCUAAGUCUAGAUGUUGAUUUCAUUUGGAUCCUUUUCUUUGUUUAUUUGAUAAUUAAAAUUGAUACUUAAGGACCGUCAACAAACUCCCCCAAGCUUACCUCUUGCUCGUCCCUGAGCAAGGAUGAACUCAAGAGUUCCUGCAGUGGUUUCAUUUCUUAGAAGUACACACGCAUUUAAGCAAGAUCUCAUCUCUGAGUUAGAAUAAACUGUUAAGACUUAAAACUUACUUACUUUACCUACACCAUAGGACUUGUAACCGUCACUUCUGUCUUGAGUGGUUAAAAGAUAGAACAGUCUAGCCAAGUGCCAUGUCUCUUAUUCUUGAUCAGCUAUAGCUCUGGGGUUUUUGCAGAUUUUCAAAUGAAACUCAGAAAUUCCUUGUAUGAUUCUCUCAGGUCUCUCUUUUGUGGUAUUUUUGGAUCCUUUCCAAGGCAGUGAUGGUAUAUGCCUUCUCUCAAGAUAUGUAGUAUUUGUGGUAUGAAGUAUAGUGACAUUGUCUUCUCUCUCACCCUACUCUAAUAAGGCUUUAAUAUCUGGAGCUCAUAGGUGGGAGAUAAAGUAUACAUACUUACAAGACAUUUAUUGCAUAGUCAAACCAUGGAUCCAAAGAAACAAAUCAAUAAGCCAAAUCAAGAUGUGCAUGUGUGGCGAAUGAAUGGUGUAUGGUGAUGAUGGUGAUAACAAUGGUGGUGGAAGUCUAAUUCUACUUUGCUCUUUGAGGGGAUACAUACCUUCCUUGCUUUUGAAACUUUAUGAGGAGAAUGAGAUGCUCUUCUUUUUCUUUUCUUUUGACGUUCUGAGCACUUGCUCCUUUUUAUUUCCUCGUAUCUUUUAUUUUCUUUUUCUCUUUUUUUUAGAGGAUUCAUCUCUUGAGAUAAUAUAGCAAGUGGUAGUAACAAGAUAACUUGAGCAUUUAUUUCACAAGGGGAAACAAAAAUAUUUUUGGUUAUUCUCUCCCGGAUUAGGAGUAAAAUAUUUUUAGGUGAUUCUGGAGACGGAAAUGAGUGGAUAUAUGUGGAUGGUACUUCCAGAGUAGAAGUAGCAUAUAUGAGUGGACGUGCAAGUGAAAUCUUGAUUUAACCACAUGACAAGCUCCUAAGGGUCUACACAGCUUGACCACACUCAAUGCUCAUAAGCACUAAAUAAUAAAUGUGUGGCUCAAGGUCUAGCAAGCAUGUAUAUAUGGCUGUGGUAGGAAUUUAAACUCUCAUCAUAUAGGAACUCAUCAUGCAACAUUUUAAAAAAUUUCAAAGAUAAAAUUCUCCAGAAUUCUAGCAUCUCUAGGAACAGAUGCAGCUCAACCUUCCCAUAUCGUAUCCGUUAACAACUUAGACUUCAGAUCAAGUUUUCAUCCCACAAGUUUAGGUCUAGAGCAAGCCUUAAAUUAUAACAGUUAUAUCUAAACUUGAGAGAGAACUUCAAAUUUGCAAAUUAGGCAGAGCAACUAUUCAUCAUAUCCAUGCUUAAGUUUUAUUAGAUACAGAUUAGCAUAGCCACUUUAUUUAUUUAUUAAACACACUAAGCAAAAUAUAUAUAAGCAUAAAAUCUUUAUUUGGUUUUUCAUAGUUAUGUGUGUUUAUAUUCUAAUAUAGUAUAAGUAUAAAGAUAGAUAGAAAUACUUAUCGAGAUAAAUGGGGGUGCUCUCCCCCAAGCUGAAUUUUGACGUAAUUUCCCUUGAUGUAGCUAGCAGGUGGCAGAGGUGUGUUUGAAAGUCAGCAGUAUUUUGACAGCGAUUUCUCCGUCUGCUAGUCUUCUUGAUUCUUAAAUUCUGUAGAGCUCAAAUAGACAACAAAGCUUGUGGAACUGAUUAAGUGUUAGCAUAAAUAUCUAGCCUUUGUCAUGUUGAGACUCCUUAAUAAAUAUUACUCCCUGUUUUUAUAUUUUUGUUUUUAUAAAGCAGAAAAAUAUUUAUUUUAUUUUUAUGCCACCACAGUGAAUGUACUUAUGGGUUUUAUGCCACUCGUCUACUCACAUGGGGCUUACAGUUUUUUUCACAUUUUUAUUUUCUUUCUAGGAUAAUACGAACAUGAUUAACUAAGUAAACUAUUUGAAAUAAUCAAAAGGGAAAGGAUAACUACCAAGUUUACCUCUUGGCAAGGCGUUCGGUGUUUUUAAGUCCUCCGAAUGGGACUCUCCAUUUUCUUAAUCGUCCUGAGGUUCGUUGGGUGGCGUAGUCGCUACUUCCGGCAGCGCCUCCUCUUCAUUUAUAGUUAUCUUCAUUUUCCAUACCUGACUCGGUGUUACGGUCUCCUCAGGACAGUUCUGUUCAAGUUGUAUGUCUUCAGUCCUUAUCACUUCUCCUUCGUAGUCUACCCAUCCGUCCUUGAUGAUUUGCCUCCUCUGGUUGCGGUUGCGUUGUCUUCUUCUUAUCCUAACCUGCUUAGAAUCUUCAAAUAUAUAAUCAUUAAAGUAGUGGCGUACCUUUCUCAGAGGGAAAGUGCAUGUGGACUUCUUCGGUUCCAAUAUAGAUAAUGGCUUUGAUAGUGUUUAGGAACGGUCUUCCAAGGAUGGUGGAUGGAUCAUACUCGUCUUCUCCCAUGUCAAUGACCUGAAAAUUGUUUGAAGCUGAAUCUAUCUUGGUUGUAGGGGCAUGGUUCUAUGCAGGAGCUAAUAAGUGACUGCGGCCAUUAUGUUGUCGUCAGAUCUGGUGUCGUAGAGUGUCUUCUAAAAAGAGUAUCCAUUGUUUGUGCAUUCGAUUCUUGGAACACCAGGGUCGUCCUUCUUGAUCAAGAAAGGUGACUUGAGUCGACGAUCUUGACCUCCUUGAGCUGCAGUGACCAUCUUAGCUGACUCGGUCCACAUUUGCUUGUUCCUGUUCCUCCUGUUGGUCCUCUUCCUUGGUUCAUGUCGGGAUUGCUCUGAAGUUUGUGUAGUCUUGUUCUUGAAGGAAAAUCUCCUUCUUCCCCUUGAUGUAGAGACUGAUCUUGGCAGCAUUAGCGUAGAUGACAAUUCUGGUGUUUAGGAAUGGCCUCCCUAAGAUGAUGGGUGCCCUCUCCUCAGUCCCAGUCUCUAUCACCACGAAGUUUGCUGGAGUGUACAAGGUACCAACUCGGACACAGAGGUUCUUCAAUAUUCCUUUGGGAAACUAAGUGUCUGAUCUCCAUUGUGUUUGUGCUCGUAGAUCCCGGUUCUUCACUUGAUGGAAUCUGGGAGUUGUAAAACGCCUUCACGUUUCUCAAAAUGUGUCCUGCUCAUAGAGACAAGGCAGAGAUCAAGUGCAUGGGCCCUGUUGGUGGAAAACACUAACAAAACCAAAAGUGUAUUUGUUCUUCUCUAACCUUAAGCAUAGUGAGCAAGACAAAGUUGAUGGAUCAUGAGUGUAGCAUUUAAAACAUUUGUUAGAUCAGAUGGCUCAACCUAAUGGAAAGAUAAUCUAUCUAUAUUUAUGUUUUGUUUAUAUCUUCCAAAGAUUGAAUGUGCAACACUUUAGCUUAUAUGAUUAGGAGUGUGGGAUCACGAAGGUAGUACUAAGAACAAAGAUUAAAGGACUAAUCAUGUUGAAUUAAUUGGGUUGAUUAAUUUGGAGCUACAAAUCAUACAUGUUUGUCUCUUUAUUUAUGUGAAUGCUAGAACCAAGGAGAAGCUUAUAAAAGUCAUAGUCAAGUACCUUAAAAUGUUACCUUACUUGAAGAGUGACGGUACAGUAUCACCAUGUGGAAGCUUUCCUUUUCUUAGCGGUUGUGCAUCGUGUUUGUGGCACCCUCCAGGGAUCAUCUCUUUAUGAUGAAUGAGCUAUGUCCUUCUUGUGUAAAUUGUUAAACUUCAUGUGUCUCCUUUAUCGCCAAUGAGUUUGUAUCUCAGGACUUCCCAGGUUGAUAUUGAAAGUUUUCCUGCAGGGGUUAGUCCAACAAAAUAUCCCAUAUCUACUAUAGCAUACUAUCGGCUCAAAAAUCAACCUAGACACCAUGUCUAAUUUGAUUUAGGAGGGCAUUUUAACCUAAGCACCAUGCUUAAUUUAAAAAAAUCCUUUGGAAGUAAGAUCAUCAUUCCUAAACUAAGCACCAUGCUUGAUUUAAGAGAUAAAUGAAACUACUCCAAACAUAGACAUAUACUAAAGCAAAUAAAGGUAGCAUGAGAGCAUUUAUAGCGAUCUACUCAAGUGAAGGUGAAGUAGUGUAAUUAGUACUUAACAAAUUGAGCAUCUCUCAAAGGUAGGGACAACCAACGUAGCAACAUGGCAAAGGAUGUUUUUAUGUAAAGUACUCCCCCAAGCUUGAAUUUUGUAAAAUUCAAGUUUGGAUGAAUUUAAUUCAAUGUUGUGUGAUGGUUGGUUGGACAUACCUUGUGCUUGUCAUUCAUCCGAUCUUCUUACUCCAAUCCUGGAAAGGUUAGUGACAAGAAUACCCGAAGGAAUAUUUCUACAAUAUGCUCAAUACACAAGGCAAUGUUGCAAAUAAUUAGAAGUUCAUGUUAUGAUCUCUGAUAAGUGCUUGUUUUAGGACGCUAAGCUUAUCCUUGGGAAACCAUCAAGUUAUGUUUGUGAAGUGGUUUCCCCUCCAACACCAACCUAUAUCAAGAUCAACUCAACGAGAUCUGCAAUAUUUAUUAUAGACAUAUGCAUCGACAACCGCCCUUUUAAAGUUUUUAUAAAUAGAAAGGAAGAGAGGAUUGGAGAUCUCAAAUAUGGUAAGGAUGGAGAGAUAAAUUGAUUGGAGAGAUGUUUUAUAUGAGCAAGGACUGGGUGAGGUAUUUAUGAAAUAACUUCCAUGCUCACUGUUGUUUCUCUCAUUCUCAAACUCCAAGGAUGAUUCUUCAUGAAUGCUUAAAAUUCCUCUAGGAUUGUCUCUCAAGUUUGUUUUAUCUAUCCAUUCAAUGGUGAUAGCACAUGGAUUUUUAAUGCCCUCUAGCCAUUGAUGUUGCUCUUCUCGAUCCUCCUUAUACAGGGGAUGUCUAGAGAAAUUCAUAGGAUUAUCGGGAGGUUUAAGAGAAAGAGCAUAGUAGAAUUUAUUAAGCUCAAGGAUGGGAUGGAUAGCCGAAUCAUGGGAUUGAAAUGUUUGGAAAUCAGCUAUUGAAACUUCCUUUCCUCGUCUGGGAGAUGAUUCCUUCUCUAUUUCUAAGAUUUUUCUAUGAAGACUAGUACAAGAAGGAUGUCCACAAGUGAAGACAUACCUUCCUUUACUAAUAGAUAAAGAAAGAAGGACUCUACCAAAGGUUAUAUGAUUAAGACCAAUGUGAAAAUAUCUAGGAAAAACAUGGUCUUGUAGGGCUAGGUCUAAACCAGAAUUUAUAGAAAGAUUAAUAGAUUCCCUAGGUGUAGCUAAAAGUGCAUUAUCUUUUUGAUUAAAAGAUAGGACCUCAGCUAUAGAAAAGGGUUGGUUUUGACCUAUUGCAAUCAACUCCGGACACAGAUCAUAAUUAGGGGCAGGACGUGUUGACUCCCAUGGUCUAUGGCUGGUCUCCGAAGGUGCAAAGAAUUCAAUAAUAGGUAUGGAAUUUGAGUUAUCCAUAAAGAUUAAAAUAAAAAGAUAAAAGAAUAAAAGUAUAAAGGUAUAAUACAAGAUAAUAGCAAGACUCAAAGUUAUCUCAGCAAACCGUCUUUCUCCCCGGCAACGGCGCCAGAAAUGCUUGUUGAUAUUUGGUAACGCAAUUAGAAAAUGAUCCGCAAGCGCACGGAUAUCGGUGAGCAUUUCACCCGGGAGGUUAUCCAGAGUAUCGUAUUUAUAUUUUUACCACUGGGAGAAAGGGUGCAUCUGACUAACCAAAUCUAUUGCUACUAUCCAUUUAGCCUACAAAGAAUGUCUCUCGAUGUGAGUGAUGUAUAGAGAAGACUGCAACCGUAGUCUCGUUCUAACCUUGGUAAGGAUGAUCUAUUGUUCUAUUGGGGAGGCUCACGGAAUCUAGACAACACAAAGGAUGUUCGACCCGCACCUAUAAACCUACCCGUCCUGCUAACGAGAUGUGAUCUGCAAAGGUAACUCGGAAAUGUCACGUUCCUCGCUACUACCACGGUCCAGCUAGUCAGGGGAUAUCUAUGAGUACCCUAGCCUAAACACCACGUUUACGCUAGCAAGUGAUUACUCUAAUACUCAACCGGAAGAGGAUUAAAGUAAACUCAUAAACCAAAGAACAAUAAAACAAGAACUUACUAGUAUGAGAAGUCGAAUUACUGAAGAAUCUUAGAAGCAAGCCUCGGGUUUGAAGACUUGAUCCCGUAGGUACAACUCGGAGUAGACACCGACAGGCCGGCCUUCCUCCGAUCCACACCUCCACUCUAUCUCUCUCAAUCUAGUAGAAACUAGAAGAUCUAUUUCUACUUUACAUUUGUUGCUAAGCCUAAAAAGAAAUAUUAUUUAGAGAAGAGGUUUUCCUUCGAGGGCACCCCUCAAUCUCUAUGAUAAUUUCUUGUCUCCUCCAGGGGUCAGAGGGGGUCUCCUUAUAUAGUCCUCCCAUUCUAUGCGUUUUUAGGUCGAUAGGCGAGGUGGUACUAUGUUAUUCUGGACCCAAUAGGUCGGUGGAACGUCGUGUGCGAAGAGAGUCCGGAACGGGGUCUAGAGGUGGGCGGGCGCCCAGGUCCUCAGGGCGGGCGCCCUGGGCCUGGCCCCUUUCGGGCUCCGCUUCCUUCCCGUGGCUUCUGGAGUCUUCUAGAUGGUAGAAAAUUGCGCGGUGGGUUGAUAUCUCUAUGUAAUCCCGACAUGUGGGCCUUUCUUCCUUAUUUCCUGAUAACCCCCUGCAGAAAUAGACAAACACCAAAACUCGUGGAAUUCUGUCAGAUAAAACCCUAAGUCUAGAUGUUGAUUUCAUUUGGAUCCUUUUAUUUGUUUUUUUGAUAAUUAAAUUUGAUACUUAAGGACCGUCAACAGUAACUACUGGAGUAACUGUAACACCCCAGUGUUAUGGUUACAUCAAACAUGUGCAUAGCAUGAGCAUCAUCUUUUAUUCAAGCAUCCAUGAUCAUCAUCUAUCUUGGGGCAUGUCAUCCUUUGCAAAAAUGUGUUUUAAAUGGCUUAAAUAGGCUUUCUAUGCUUAUGUUUGAGUGAACAAUGCUUGUGUUUGUGCUUAAUGCCUUGGUAAAUAGCUUAUCUAUGCUUAACUUAAUCUUGGGAACAAUGUUCAUGUUGAUCACUUCUCCAAAAUAAUCACUUAAGUCAUACUUAUUCAAAUAGACCCUAGAAACCUCUUUUACUUAGGCUUUUAAAAAGUGUUUCAUAAAAUGUUUGCAUGUCAAAACUUCCUACAGCAAAGUUAUAGCAAAUUUUAUAAGGAACAAAAGUUGUUUUAUGGCCAUCUCAUGAAAAUGAUCACAAAUAGCUCAAAAGUGGCCCACAAGGCAGAUUUGGGGGCUGUUUUCCACACUUAGAAAUUUUCUAAGUCCCCGGGUGGUUUGCAGUUUGCGUGAUCGAUUUUGGAAACUCUAUAUCUUUCAAUCCAGGCCGAUCUAGUCUUUGCUCUAGUUGACAAAGUUGUAGAUCUCGUCUAAUACUCCAAGUUUGUCAACUACGCCAUCUCCUAAUUCGCUCUGGUUUGGGAGAUAAUCACCGGUGAAGUCGCUCUGUCAGUCGGUCGAUGCACUGUCUGAAUCGACUUGGACCUCGUCGACGUGGCCGACCGCCGGCAGCGCUCCGUCGCCAUUUGGCGCCCGUACGCCGUUCCUGGCCCCGCUUGUCAGCUCUCGUCGCGUGCAUGACCACCACGGCGUCGCCCCGAGCGCGUGGACGCGUCCAUUUCGCUCUGCCUCGCCCUCUCUCGCCUGAACCUCGCCCGCAGCGAGCUCUCCGCCGCGAGCUCACUCCGGCGAGCUCGUGUGCGCUCCUCUCUGCGUCCCCGUCCACCAAACUCCACCCAAAGCUCCGCCGUGAGCCGCUCUCCAAGCUCCACCCUCUAACUCGCCGAGAAACCCACCGGUGAGCCGACAUUUCUUUCUUCCCCCAAAUCGGUCCGCCGUGACCCUCUUCUCCGGCGAACUCAAUGCCGAGCGCUGUGGGGCUUCUCAUCGUCCUUGGUUAGGUCCUAGAGGUAGCUUAGGUCCUUAGCGAGCUUUUGCGCCACCUGGUGGACGCUCUACCGGGUUCUCCGUCGCCGGACACGGUGCGCAGCGCCGCCGUGCUUCCGCCGGAGUUGGGUCCUCUCGUGGCCAGCGCUUUCCACGGGGAUCCAGGCCAAGCCGUGUACCUAGGGAGCUUCGCCUUAGUCUGCUGGUGCUGUAGAAGGCCUUAGGUCACGCUCUACCGGCCUGAGGACUCCGGCGUAACGCCGAGCACCUCCGCCGAGCCGCCAUUGUCGACGGUGAGCUCCUUCCGGUGGCUCCGCCGUGGCAAAAGUAGGGUCAAUCGAGUCGUUAGGGUUUGGGGAUCACGUUGAUGCCCUGGGUUUGGCCGGAGACCUCGCCGUCGCGGAGAAAUCGCCGGCGAAGAUCGCCUCGGCCGUGAGGAAGAAGAGCCUGACGGGUGGGACCCCCUGUCAGCGACUCUCUCUUUCCCUCCUUUUCUUUUAUUCAAAAUCCUGAUUUUUGGCUUUCUUGCAAAAAUCAUAUCUCCUGUUUCUGAGAUCCAAAAAUUGUGAAACAAAUUUUGUGUUGUUUCUUGAGAUGGCUAGUAUUUAAUAAAAAUAUAAAAUGAAUCAUGUUUUCUGAGAAAUUAUUUAUUAAGGAUUUAAUCUUGUUAUUCAUGGAUAAAUGCAUAUCUCUGGUUUUACUGAUUAGUUUGCUCUGAAAUUUUUAUAGUGGUCUUUGCAUGGCAUUAGGGUGCUCUGAUAAAUAUUUCAUGAUUUUUGGAGCACUGGAGUGGUGAUAUGUAAUUUGUGUUUGAAAUAUGGCUUGUUUCUUUAAUUAAAUCACAUAAAAUAAUUGGUGCUUAUGCUGGUGCUCUAUUUUGGUGGUAAACUUGUUUAUGGUAUUCCUAAGAUGUAAAUAAUCUGAAAUCUGUUGUUUGACAUUAUAUAAGUCAUGUUUAUGAAUUUAUGAAAUAAAUGCCUUGAUACAUGUUAAAUGCAUAUCUUUAAUUUGGCAUGUGCAUUGGUCCUGAAAAUUUUAUGGUGGUAAUCUGAUGUUAUACUUGUGCCUCUGUAAUUUUUGUAGAUUUUUCUGAGCACUUGAACUAAUAUCUUGUAAAUAUGCCUUACCUAAAAUUAAUUAAUAAAUGCCUUGUGAAGUAAUUGUGUUGGGGUUUUCAACUGAUGAUCUGGUGACCUUGUAUUAUGUUUGUGCUCAUGAGUCAUAUGGUUGGCCUAGUUUAUGUUUUGAUCAUGUCAUUAAAUAAUUAACUAUAGGGUUAAAUGCUGUCUGGACAGCAAGUGAAUAAUUUAACUUUGCUUAAUGAUAAGUUGACUUUCUGUGAAACUUAUAUAAAACAAAGUUGUUCUAAACUUGUUGAACUAACUGUGGUUUAAAUUUGAGGUCAUUUGGCCAAGUAGUUUAAAAGUUACAGCUGUUCCUAGUUAGGUUCCAGAAAUAGGGGUUCUCUGUUUUUCUGGAACAGGAUCUGGAACUUUGUUAAAAAGACUAAUUUAAUGUUUGAAUCUUACUGUCAUGUUUAAAGAUGAGUUGUAGACAAUUUCCUAAGCUUUCCAGAAUGUCCUCACUCAUGUUUGUUGGACCUGUCUAUCUAUACUUAUGAUUUAUUUACUGAGCAUACUUGUUUUAUGUUGCUUGCUGCUUUAGUGACAUGAUAGGUUUUGGGUUAUGUUAACUUGUUUAUUCAUGUGAGUUAGUAUAACUCUUGUUCCGUAAAUGAGUGUCCAGUGAGUUGCUUGUGUUGUUAAGCAUUCAUCUGUAGCAUGUGCACUUUCUCAUUCAUCGAGCAUGCAAUAGGUGCACCGGACGUGGCAGUUUCCUUCGAGCUCCAAGCGAACCCCGAAGGCCAGGAAGGCAGCCAGGAGGUGGAGGUCCAGCAAGUCGGACUCGAGGAGCCCGAAGAAGAGGUUGAGUGCCCAAGUCACGAGCCGGCAUCGUUCGUGAAAGGCAAGCCCCGGAGCAUUUUAAGCCUCCUCUAUUUUCGAAAGUUUACUUAAUACGUUAUAUCUAUUGAUGCAUUACGUAUAGGAGUUGUGAUGAAACUGUUGCUGCAUCCUACUCUAUCCUUGUCCAGAUAACUUACCCUCCCUGGUUGUAGAGUUAGGAUCGAGUAGCAGCUUAGUUAUGCUUUAACCGGUAGAAGUCGGGUGAUAUCCUGUCAUCCGCGCGAUAUAGGGUUGUGUCGGAUCACGAUGGUCUAUAUGUGCUAUCGUGGAUGGAACCUGAUCAAAUUGACUUAAGCCGGGCGGAGUUUUGCAAGUGUGUAGUAACUCCGUCUGUGGCAGCUAAGGACCGAUCGUUGUACGUCCUCUUGUCAUGUUGAACGCAUGCCUGACACUUAGUUGGCCGGAUAACUCGUUCCGACCGCGAAGCCGAGUAGUAUGACUCAGGCCGGAAGACCGGCAAGUAUAAAGUGCGCACUACCGGAGGAAGUGCGGUGUGCGGGGGACCAUUGGCGUAAGCCCAAAGGCAGGUGAGUUAAAAUUCCUGACCUCCCUGGCAGAGUGGUAGCCCUGGGAGUGCGGCGCUGAUCGGAGCCGCGAUUCCUGAGUUGUACCAAAGGUAACCCGUUGGCUCUCCGGCAGGGGAUGCUUGGGUGAGUGCUAGGAGUAAACCUCCAGCUGGAUAGGAAUUCGAUUCGAAUCGCCGUCUCUCCCGGUUAGUGAGAACUUGACAGAGCAGCGGCAAACGUAGCAUUCACUAAUAAACUUGGUUCAUGAUAACAAUGAUAGCAAGAAGAACAUAUGAUGAAUUUUGAUAUGGUUACUAUUGUUUGUAAUAAUCAAGUGAUGUGUUGUAGUACAGGUGCUAAUCUAGUGGUAGGCUGUUGAUAAAUAAAUUGAUGCUCUUAAAAUGAUUUAGUUGUAAGUUAAGCUUUUGGCAAAAAGGUGAGUCAGUCAGCUCCACUUAAAAUGUAGCCUUGCAUGAUCCUUGGUGUCUUUUAUGUUUUACUAGACGGGUAAGUCUAGCUGAGUACAUCCUCGUACUCAGGGUUUAUUCCCACCUGUUGCAGAUGAUAUCUUCUAUGACGGUUUCUGCAAGACCUGUCUCCAUCCCGCUGGGGAUGAGGACUAACCGUUGGGCACGGUUCUCUAAUCUUCUCAUCUAUGAUGCUUUUGGAAGGAUGACCUAGACUCUGGCAGUAACAAGCUUGUGACUGAGUUUUAAACAAGUGUGUGUACUUAUUUUGCUUCCGCUACUUCGAACAUGUGUUGUAAUAACUUAAUACUCCGAUGUGGUGCCGCUUCGACGGCAAUGAAUGACUAUGUAACAUUCGUUGUGUUUAUGUUGAACUAUUACGAUCUUGGUUUGUUGCGAGUUGGUUUGAAGUCCUUCGUGAUUUCGAUUGACUACCGGGAUUAUAUGGGCUCAAGUCUAGAAACUUGAUUGUUUGACGAUCGUUUCUGCACUUGAACUCUUAUAAUUUGGUCGGUUCUGUGACAGUAACCCCGUUGUGGAAGUAAUUACUGACCUUCUUCCAGUCAAGAGAGGCGAUCCAGGACGCCCCGUCAUCCCGAUCUCCAUCGCCAUGGUGGACUUCCCAGAAGCACUCUGCGACUUUGGCUCCAGCGUCAACAUUAUGCCCAGGGUACUCUAUGGAAAUUUCUUUACACAUCCUUUAUUAGAAAUAGCCAUGUGUUUGCAGCUUGCAGAUCGUACGCUAAGUUUCCCAAAGGGAAUAUUGAAGAACCUCUGCGUCCAAGUUGGUACCUUGUACGCCCCAGCAGACUUCGUGGUGAUAGAGACUGGUACUGAUGAGAGGGCACCCAUCCUAGGGAGGCCAUUCCUGAACAUCUCAGGAGCUGUCAUCUACGCUAGGGCUGCCAAGAUCAGUUUCUACAUCAAGGGGAGGAAGGAGACGUUUUCCUUCAAGAACAAGACUACACAAAUCUCAGAGCAAUCCCGACAUGAACCAAGGAAGAGGACUAACCGGAGGAACAGGAACAAGCAAGUGUGGACCGAGUCAGCUAAGAUGGUCACUGCAGUUCAAGGAGGUCAAGAUCAUUGACUUAAGUCACCGUUUCUAACCAAAAAGGACGACCUAGGAAUGCCAAGCAUCUAUUGCUCCAUCAAUGGGUACAACUUCUACAAGACGCUUUGCGACACUAGGUCAAGCGUCAACAUAAUGGCCGCAGUUACCUAUCAUCUCCUGUUCGGAACCAUGCCCCUACAACCAACAUACAUUCAGCUCCAGAAGAUUUUAAGGUUAUUGACAUGGGAGAAGACGAGUACAAUCCACCCAUCACCAUUGGGAGACCGUUCCUCAGCACUAUUAAAGCAAUCAUGUACAUUGGAACUGGAGAAGUCCACAUGCACUUCCCCUCUAAGAAGGUACGUCGCUAUUUUACUAACCCUAACUAUAUAGUUGAAGACUCUAAGCAGGUCAGGACAAGAAGAAGAUGACGUAACCGCAAUCGGAGGAGGCAAAUCAUCAAGGAUAGAUGGGCAGACUACGAAGGAGAAGUUGUAAGGUCUGAAGACAUACAACUUGCACAGAACUAUCCUGAGGAGACCGUAGCACCGAGUCAGGUGUGGAGAGAGAAGAUACUUAUACAUGAAGAGCAGGCGCCGCCGGAACCACCGACUACGUCGUCCAGCGAAUCCCAGGACGACUAAGAAAACGGAGAGUCUUGUUCGGAGGACUUAAAAACACCGAAUGCCUGGCCAAGAGAAUUCAAGGAUCAAAGAAGACUAGCAGAUGAAGGAUAUCCUAAUCGCUAUCAGGGUGCUACCGACAUUCAAAUACACCUCCGCCACCUGCUAGCUACAUCAGAAGGAAUUACGUCAAAAUCCAGCUUGGGGGAGAGCACCCCCAUUUAUCCAGCUAAGUGUUCUACUCAUGUUUAUACUUUACUCAAAUAAUAAAAAGAUGCAUAAUCAUAAAAACCCAAAUAAAGAUUUUGUGCUUAUAUAUAUAUAUAUCUUUGCUUAGUUUGCUAAAUAAAUAAAUAAAUAAAGUUUGCUAUGAACCCUAAUGAUAAGCUCUCACAUGGAAAUGAUGAAUAGUUGCUCUGCCAUGACUAGUUCUCAAAAUUGAAAUCUCUCUCAAGUUUAGGCCUGACUGUUAUUAAUUAAUAUUUGCUCUAAACCUGAACUUGGGGGAAGAGUACUUGAUCUGAAGUCUAAGUUGUUAACGGAUAUGAUAUGGGAAGGUUGAGCUGCUGUUUAUCUAUUCCUAGAGAUGCUAGAAUUAUAGAGAAUUUAUCUUUGAAAAUCUUUAAAAUGUUGCAUGAUGAGUUCCUAUAUGAUGAGAGUUUAAAUUCCUACCAUCGCCAUAUAUACAUGCUUGCUAAACUUUGAGCCACACAUUUACUUUUUACUACUUAUGAGCAUUGAGUGUGGUCAAGCUGUGUAGACCCUUAGGAGCUUGUCAUGUGGUUAAAUCAAGAUUCACUUGCACGAUCACUCACACAUGCUGCUUCUACUUCGGAAGUAUGCAUCCACAUAUAUCCAUCCAUUUCCAUCUCCAGAACCAUCCAAAAAUAUUCUACUCCUAAUCUGGGAGAGAAUAGCCAAAAACAUUUCUAUUUUCCCCUAUGAAGUAAAUGCUCAAGUUAUUUCGGUUACUACCACUUGCUACAUUAUUUCAAGAGAUGAGUGCUCUAAAAAAAGAAAGAAGAAGAUACGAGGAAAUAAAAAGGGGCAAGUGCCUGGAACCUCGAAACAAUAAAAAAAGUGAGACGAGAGGUAAAAAUGGACAAGUGUCUAAUAGUAGAAUUAGGGGUACAAGAUACGCACCUGAGAGAAAAGAAAAAAAAAGAAAAGAAGAAAAUAUAGAGCAUCUCAUUGCCCUCAAAAAGCUUCAAAGUGCAAGAAAGGUAUGUAUCUCCUCAAAAGAGCAUAAGUAGAAUUAGACUUUCACCAUUGUUAUCACCAUCAUCACCAUACACCAUUCAUUCGCCACACAUGCACAUCUUGAUUUGACUUAUUGACUUGUUUCGCUGGAUCCAUGGUUUGACUAUGCAAUAAAUGUCUUGUAAGUAUGUAUUAGCUGUCUCCCACCUAUGAGCUCUAGAUAUCAAAACCUUAUUAGAGUAGGGUGAGAGAGAAGGCAAUGCCACUAUGCCUCAUACCAAAAAUACCACAUACUUUGAGAGAAGGCAUACACCAUUACUGCCUUGGUAAGGAUCCAGAAAUACCACAAAAGAGAGACUAGAGAGAGUCAUACAAGGAAUCUCUGAGUUUUAUUUGAAAAUCUGCAAAAACUCCAGAGCUAUAUCUGAUCAAGAAUAAGAGACAUGGCGCUUGACUAGACCGUUCUAUCUUUUAACUACUCAAGACAAAAGUGACGGUUGCAAGCCCCAUGGUGGAAGGUAAUAUGAGUAAGUUUAAAUUUUAACAGUUACCCUAACCCAGAGAUGAGAUCUUGUUUGAACGCAUGUAUAUCUUUAAGGCAUGAAACCACUGCAGAAACUUUUGAGUUUAUCUUUGCUCAGGGACGAGGAAAGGUUAAGCUUGGGGGAGCUUGUUGACGGUCCUUAAUGCUCACAUUUAACCAUCAACUAAUCAUAGAAAAGGAUCCAAAUGCAACUGACACCCAAACUUAGGAUUUUAUCUGAUAGAAUUCCACGAGUUUUGGUGUUUGUCUAUUUCUGCACGGGGUUAUCAGGAAUUAUGGAAGAAAGGCCCACACGUCGGGUUUACAUAGAGAUAUUAACGUGCCGUGCAAUUUUCUAUCAUCUAGAAGACUCAAGAAGCCACGAGAACGAAGCGGAGGCCGAGAGGGCUCAGGCACAGGGCAUCCGCCCUAGUCCUGAGGGUGCCCGCCCUGCUAUAGUGCUCAAUUAGAGUCCAAUUCGGGGACAACGCUCCACCAACUAAAGGAUCAAGGAAAACCGUGCGAUUAAUGUUGGUUUGAUCCAAUGGCCCAGAUUCAUCUGAAAAGACUAUAUAAGCAAGGCCCCCUGGCCUCUGGAGAUCAUACCUCUUCUACAGAAUCAAAGCUAGGGUUUCAAUUCUUCAUCCAAGUAGAGAGGAUCCCUCUAGUUCUUCUAGUUCUAGUUCUCGUUAGUUCUAGUUGUAAUAUAGAAAAUAGGGAGAGAGAAGAGUAGAGCGGAGGAGGAGCCGGAUCUUCGUCAACAUUGUACUUUUGCAGCAACUGGUUCGUUCUUCAUCGUUCUCCAGGUUCUUCAAUUCAUAAUUCCUGAGUUCUUUAAUUACUUUUAUUUACAUUGAAGUUAUUUGUUGGAUUCCCGCUUGCAUCAAGUGUUCUAAUCUUUGAAACAUUAGAGUAGUAAUUAAUAGAUUAGAUGUGGUGUUUAGUCAUACAAUUACCUAGUGUAACACCCUAAAAUUUACUCCUUUUGAAAUAUAGAUAAAAUUAUUUUAAUUUUGUAUUUUUUGUGCUCAUGAAAAUAUAGGACAAAUAAUAUUUUUCAUUAAAUUAAAAUUUAUCAUAAGGCUUAACGAUAUUAUUAUGCGUACAUGCCGGUGCAUAUGUUUUGAUGUGAUGCUUGUUGCUCCUUUGUGUGUUGAUAGCACUAUUUUUAGGCGAAAGGGUUAAGAGGCUGAUCACCUCGGGCGAAAGGGUAAAUCAUGACUCAUGGAUAAAGAUGUACAACCUUUGCAGAGUGUUAAAACUAGUAUACUAGCCGAGCUCACGGUCAGGAGCGGCCUUGGGGACAUCUACAUUAAGGGUGAUGAAUCUUGUGUGUUAAAUAUGCUCAUUGUUUAUUGUUUAAUGCUUUACAUUACAAUCUAGUUGCUAUACUUGCGGAGUUCGACAUGGACUCACUCUUGCUAUUUUCCCCAAACCUCAGGAGAAGUUUAGGCUUCUGAUCAACCAGUCAGUUGGAUCCUGUAGAGAGAAGUUAAUAUCCGAAGUUGGAGUUGUCUAUCCACUGUUUGCUAUUAAAGGUUAUCUCUUUUAUACUAAGUACGUUAUAUAUUUAUGCAUUGUCUUUUGAUAUUACCCCUUAUUUGUAGCUAUAUGUGAGAUUUGACUUCUAAGACUCACAUAUGGUGCAUAUCUGAUUUUAUCCUUAAGAUCGGGUAUUACAUAGUGGUAUCGGAGCAAUGCUGGCUGUAGGAUGCAAGCCUAGUUAGAAAUUGGCCGUCUUAAGAUUUUGAAAUUGUCAUAAAAUCUUUGCUCUAUAAACCUUGAUAUUUUCCUCUAUACUAUAUCCUUUUCAUUGCUAUUCAUCUUCACCUUGUUGCUUAUUUUAAAGACUUGUUCUCAUCCCCACUCUUUGCUUGAUAUGCUUUUAGAACUUUUUCUUACCACCUUCUGGCAUCGUUGGAAUAGCUGUUUUAAGAUAUCUACCCUUACUAUGAAGAGAACGAUAGUAUCGCAAUUUGAGUGAAGUGUGCUUAAUUGGUUUGUUAUUAUGUUUAUGCUUGAUUUGGAUCUUUGUAAUGAGUGCAAUGAUCUUGUGGGUUUUCUCCACGAUAUCAUUUAGUUUAUAGUCCUAAGACAUAAGGAGUAGUGAAAUAAGUAGUUGGGUUUGGUUAUAACCUGUUUCUAUCCCUUGCUGAUUUCUGCAGCAGUUUGUAAUAAUGCUGGUGUAUCUCAAGUUCUGAUCGUGCAAAGUUUAUCAAAUGUUUCUAGGAACAAGUAGACUUCAAGAUCUUUCUCUGACCGCAAGAAUCAUCCUCAUAGCUAUUAUGGUUUGGAAGUUACAAAAAUCACAAGAUGAUACAAAUGUGCUGUCAGGAAUCUGGACCAGUUUCAAUUACUGACUGUUUGAGACAAACAUAACUAUAGAAUUUGGAAAAGUGUUCUAUAGAAAAGUUAAAGAUGACUUGCUAAGCUUUCUAAUGGUAUAAGCUGGAACUUAUUUGGCUAAGUAGAACCUGAGAUAUGAUAUUUACAAUUGGAUGUUUCUCUUCUGUAUCAAAGUCUGGACAGUUUUGGUGUUCCCUAUUUUCCGCCAAGUUAAAGACAGAAUCUGGGAAAACAUGGUAUAUGAAAGUUGUAGAGGAUUUCCUAAGCUUUUCAAAAAUGUAACGAUCAUCUCCAGAUGAGUUAAUUAGCUCGAGAUAUAAUUUCUGGAAGUUACUGCACCUUUGCUAAGAUAUUAUCAGGAAGGAUAUUAUGUUUGGUUAUUUUACCUAUGCUUAAAGACAGAACCUAUGGAGGACUUCUACAUGAAAGUUGUAGGGAAUUUCAUAAGUUUUCUAACGAUAUAAUCUGCAACUCUAUUGGAUUAACAGAAUAAGAGUUAUACCUGAUUUACUACGCUGGUAUUUUUCAUAUCAUGAGGAAAUUUCACGAUACCUGUUUGCUCCACUACACAUAAGUUCUUUGGGGAUGUCAGAAGUUCUCAAUGUUAACUUGUCUGGAAAGUAUGAAAGCUACCUUUCUUGGUCCCCUAGUAGACUUUUCUUAAGGGGGGUAGCCUAAUUAAAGAACUACAAGGAGAAGAAGUGGUUAAUAACUGGAACAUCUACAAGAACAUCAAGUGCUUGGUAUGUUGGUUUGUUUCAAGAUAUCAUUCUAUUUGGAGUGUGCUGAUAACAAUGGAGGUUUAUACUGAUACUCAUGGAUUAAGAGUUGUGUAUGAGGAUCAGAUGACACCAAAGUCUACAGAGUUGUACGUAUAGUGUGAGAGUGAAGCAACUUAACUGUGAUAAAGGUACCAAUAAUUAGAACUUAGUGAUGAAACUAACCUUGGAUCAAGAGACUCGGUACAACGAAUUUAAAAGACUAUAUGAUGUGUAGCGUCUAAAAAGGAUAGGAGAAAUAAGAAGGAUCGUACCUACUACACUAGGUGUCUCAUCAAUAUUUUAGGAAUACUUGAGAUGCUACUUGGAGUAAGAGAGUGGAAUCAUUGCUAUGAAGAUAUAACUACUCAAGAAAGUGAACAAGAUUCAAAAUCUACGUCUCUUUGAUAACCGUCUUACGAAUCUCGAGGACGAGAUUCAUCUUAAGGGGGGUAGAAUUGUAACACCCUAAAAUUUACUCCUUUCAAAAUAUAGAUAAAAUUAUUUUAAUUUUGUAUUUUUGUGCUCAUGAAAAUAUAGGACAAAUAAUAUUUUUCAUUAAAUUAAAAUUUGUCAUAAGGCUUAGCAAUAUUAUUAUACAUACAUGCUGGUGCAUAUGUUUUGAUGUGAUGCUUGUUGCUCCUUUGUGUGUUGAUAGCACUGUUUUCAGGUCGUCCGAUUAAUCGCGAGUAAUCGCGAUUAAUCGUCCUGGUCGGUCAGGAGUGCUCGAUUAGGAGGUCCGACCCGACCAGGUCGACCAGAAACCGGGUCGUCCGAUUAGUCGUCCACAUAUCGCGAUUAAUCGUCUGAUUAGGACAUGGACGACCAGGUUGUGUGCUCUGUUUUUGGGCUUUUUUGACUCGGCAGAUAUGUGAGGGGUAUGGAGAUGCUGUUGGUUGUCCCAGUUCUCCAGAAAUAGUUAAGAAGGAGAUGUUGGUUUAUAUGAAAAAGAGUUGAAAAUAAAGAGGAAUGUUGGUUUACAGUAAUACAGUCUUGAUGCUUCCUUUAUUGUGUAUAAUAUAGUGUAUAUAUAGAGGUAUAUAUAUAGGUCGACCAGCUGAUAUGCCUGGACUACCAGGGACGACCAGGGGGACGACCAGGGUCGAUUAAUCGACCUGGUCGCUGAUUAAUCGCGAUUAAUCGCCUGGUCGGUCCUAGGUCGACCAGGAUCGACCAGCCAACCAGAAAACAUUGGUUGAUAGUAAGAAAAUAUUUUAAAAUACGUUUAGUAGAUCGACCUUCCUUAUUCGGCACGUAUUUAUCUUUUUCUACAAUCAAAUUCCUUGUCUCUUAGUUCAAGAUUUCGGUCAGAAUCUCUCAGAAUCUUUUCUUUCAAACCUAAGUCACUCAUUUGAGUUUUUCGUCCAUCAAGCAAUCUCUAUAAACUUCUCGGGUAUUUUUCUAGUCUUUUUAGAUGCCCCAAAUUAUCUCAUCAUGAGCCCCAAAUACUUUAUUUGGGUUCUUCAUAUUCCGUAAUGUCACUGAUAAUUUUCCCUGAAUUUUUGGAGCUUUCGAAAUAUUUUCGCGGAUUAAAUAGUAAUUCUAGAUUCUUUUUGCCCUGAAAUUAAAUAUUUCUAAAAUAAUAAAUUCUAACCCUAGUCGAACCUAAUCCAAACUGCACGUGUGUGGAUAUAUAUAUACACGUUAUGUUCAUCUGGGCCAUUAAUCUUCUUUAGCAUCACGUCCUAAAACCCUUGGCCUCUUGUGAGCCGCCGCCAUCAGCCACGCCGGUGCUAUGCGCCGCCACCCGGUGGAUCACAUACCUCAGCUCCAUCCAGUGCCGCUCUGGGCGCUCGGGCUCCCUCCUGGCGCCUCCUGCUUCUUCGAGCAGAGCAAGCACUGCUGGCCGAGGCGCGUGAGCCUGCGUGACCGGGGUCUAGUAUGGCGGUGUACUGUCUCUGGUGUUGCCUAGCUUGAUCGAGCUCCCAACUCUCAAGGCUGGUGCCCAGCACAACGAAGCCACCCUUCAGGGCGCCAUGCACAAGCCGGAGCUCCUUCCCGUGACCAUGUUCUGAACGAGCUGCACAAGGAUGAAGAUGCUGGUAAUUACGAAAUUGCCAUUGUAUCUUUUAAUCUCCACCGUUUAAACGUUUUAACUCCGUUUUGGUUCGUUUAAGUCACGUUAGAUUCGUAUCGAUAUACUCUAUCCCGUACUCCUAAAGUUUAUCACAGAACUUAAUUAUCAAUUUAUUAGUUUAAAUAUUAAUUAGACUAAUAUUUAUUUACUAGCUUUCAAAAUAAAAGCAAUCAAAGUUUAACUAUAUUUUGUUACGUUAUGACCUUACUGCCAUAAGCUACAUGUUUGUAGAAACUUUUAAUAUGCUUAUGUAAUUGAAUUUUAUAACUUGAAUAUUAAUCUGAUCUAUGCUUAUGCAAUUGAGAUUCUAAUUAAAAGCUACAUAGGUUUUAUAUCUCGGUGAUUAUACGUAACAUGCUAAUUUGAUUUAUUAUUAAAUUAAAUAUGUUUUUAAUUAUACUUAGCGCAACACACGCUGCACGACAUGAGAUGUUCUCACAUGUUGCUUUGUUUUUGCAAGUUAAAGUAUAAUCGGUAUAUAAAAAAAUAUUGAAAUAUUUGUAAUUAAAAUAUAACUACAUUUAGCUUGGUAUAGUGACUAAUCUAAAUGAAUAUUUCAUAUGGUUAUGUUUAAUUAAAAUAAAUCACGCAUGUAGAUUUUUAUUGUAUAAUGUACAAUAAUAAAAUAAUAUAAACUCUCGAUAGUAGUCUUCUUUUAACCGUAGACUCAUUCUCGGCGUUUUUCUUAUGCUCUCGCCACCAUAGCAGCAAGCUCUCUUGUAUGUUGCUUAAUCUUGUAUGGUGUACCGUUCUUAGUUGUUUCUAUUUGUUACUUGUAUGUUUGCCUAUGUGAGGUGUUUGCUACGAAUAGACAAGAACUGUUUGUGGGCUCUGAAGAUCAAAAGGUGAUGACCGAAAGCUGAUGGUGUGAGAAUUAAGCAAACAUAAAAGGCAAGGAUAGCAUUUGGAUUUUGUUUCUGUGAUCAUGAUCCUAUGACUAGAUUAAUGUUAAGUAAUAAAUGAUAAAAAUGACUUUUUAGCCACUUGAUGAUUUGUCUGUACGUGAUCACCCGAGACAACAGUGCAACCAUGAGGGCUAUAAUGGCUCUGGCUUUAGCUCAGUAUGAAGACCUUUUCUAGCUUGUUAGAGGUUACCCAAAAGGGCGGAGGGGCUGAACCGUUUUGGGUAUAGUGCGAGCCCCUGUCCUUAUGUGUAUAGGCUGUGCGUCAUUGUGCCAUUUGGAAGGGGGGUAUCUAUAUUUGCGCGCAAAGGAGACCUUGCGGCCCUAACACGUUAGACGAACUUUUGAAAGGCUUCAUAGUGAUCCCUGCCGACCUUCCUUGGAAGUGGGUUAAGAGGCUGAUCACCUCCGGCGAAAGGGUAAAUCAUGACUCAUGGGUAAAGAUGUACAACCUCUGCAGAGUGUUAAAACUAGUAUACUAGCCGAGCUUACGGUCAGGAGCGGCCUUGGGGACAUCUACAUUAAGGGUGAUGAAUCUUGUGUGUUAAAUAUGCUCAUUGUUUAUUGUUUAAUGCUUUACAUUAUUUAUGUCACAUUGAUCAUGAAAUUGUGGGAGCUAUACAAUCUAGUUGCUAUACUUGUGGAGUUCGACAAGGACUCUUGCUAUUUUCCCCAAACCUCAGGAGAAGUUUAGGCUUGUGAUCAACCAGUCAGUUGGAUCCUGUAGAGAGAAGUUAAUACCCGAAGUUGGAGUUGUCUAUCCGCUGUUUGCUAUUAAAGGUUAUCUCUUUUAUACUAAGUACGUUAUAUAUUUAUGCAUUGUCUUUUGAUAUUACCCCUUAUUUGUAGCUAUAUGUGAGAUUUGACUUCUAAGACUCACAUAUGGUGCAUAUCUGGUUUUAUCCUUAAAAUCGGGUAUUACGCCUGGAAUUGCACCCAAUCCUGCGGAUUGUUGUGGUAGCCUUAGGGUAGUGACAGCCUUAACGGUCGACGUAUUCCACCUCAUUCGGAUCGGUGUUUGUAGGACCGUAAUCAGACCUUCCUAGCCCCCUUCUCAUCUCUUUUUGUGGUUAGUGCUCUGAUGUCCCGAUAUAAAUAAUCUUUGAAGUAAUUCUUGAUUCUUAGAUCAACUAGAGAAUUCUUAGGAAACUUCCUCUCUUCCCACCAAAAAUAAUUAAAUAGUUAUCCUUGGGCGAUCUUGGAUCUUAAUUAGUACACUCACGUUCCGUGUGAAAAAUCGAUACUCUGGAAUACUCACGGGUGAAGGCUACAUCGGUAUCCGUGCACUUGCGGAUUUUUCUGUUUGCGUUUAAAAUACCCAACAGAUGUGCAUGUGUUGCGAGUGAAUGGUGUAUUGUGAUGAUGGUGAAAAUCUAAUUCUACUUUUGCUCCUUUAAGGGGAUACAUACCUUUCUUGCACUUUGAAGCUUUUUGAGGAGAAUGAGAUGCUCUAUAUUUUCUUUUUUCUUUUCUCUCAAGUGGGUAUCUUGUACCCCUAAUUCUACUGUUGGACACUUGUCUAUUUUUACCUCUCGUCUCACUUUUUGUUUUCUUCAAGGUUCCGGGCACUUGCCCCUUUUUAUUUCCUCAUAUUUUCAUUCAUUUUUUUAAGAGCACUCAUCUCCUGAAAUAAUAUGGCAAGUGGUAGUAACCAAGAUAACUCGAGCAUUUAUUUCAUAGGGAAAAUUAUGGAUAGGAUAAUGUUUUUGGCUAUUCUCUCCCGGAUUAAGAGUAGAAUACUUUUGGGUGGCUCUGGAGAUGGAAAUGAGUGGAUAUAUGUGGAUGCGUACUUUCGGAGUAGAAGUAGCAUGUGUGAGUGAAUGUGCAAGUGAAUCUUGAUUUUAACCGCAUGACAAGCUCCUAAGGGUCUACACAGCUUGACCACACUCAAUGCUCAUAAGCAGUAAAAAGUAAAUGUAUGGUUCUUAGUCUAAUAAGCAUGUAUGUAUGGCUGUGGUAGAAAUUUAAACUCUUAUCAUACAGGAACUCAUCAUGCAAUAUUUUUAAAGAUUUUCAAAUAUAAAAUUCUCCAGAAUUCUAGCAACUCUAGGAACAGAAAAAUAUCAGCUCAACCUUCCCAUAUCAUAUCCGUUAACAACUUAGACUUCAGAUCAAGUACUCUUCCCACAAGUUCAGGUUUAGAGCAGGUUUAAAUUAUAACAGUUAUGCCUAAACUUGAGAGAGAGCUCAAAAUUGAAAACUAGGUACAUGGCAGAGCAACUAUUUAUCCUAUCCAUGUAAGAGUUUAUCAUUUAUGUUCAGUUUGGCCUAGACGCUUUAUUUACUUAUUUAGCAAACUAAGAAAAGAUAUAAGCACAAAAUUUUUAUUUGUGUAUUCAUAAUUAUGCAUCUUUUUAUUAUUUGAGUAAAGUAUAAACACGAGUAGAAACACUUAGCUGGAUAAACAGAGGUGCUCUCCCCCAAGCUGGAUUUUGACGUAAUUUCUUCUGAUGUAGCUAGUAGGUGGCGGAGGUGUAUUUGAAUGUCGGCAACACCCUGACAGAGAUUAGGAUGUCCUCCGUCUGCUAGUCUUCUUUGAUCCUUGAAUUCUGUGGAGCUCAAAUAGACAACAAAGCUUUGUGGAACUGGUUAAGUGUUAGCAUAAAAUCUCUUUGCCUUUAUCAUGUUGAGCUUCCUCUAAUAAAUAUUACUCUCUCUGGUAGGAUCAUAAAUUUACAUUUAUAUUCUCAUUUUUAUAUGAUAGGAAUAUAUUCAUUUUAUUUUUAUGCCACCAUAGUGAAUGUACUUAUGGGUUUUAUGCAAUGAGCAUAGGCUUACUAUUUUUAACAUUUUUAUUUUGAACCUGAUUAUUUUAAAUAAUUGAAGGGAAAAGGAAAACCACCAAGUUUACCUCUUGGCAAGGCGUUCGGUGUUUUUAAGUCCUCCGAACGGGACUCUCCGUUUUCUCAGUCGUCGUGGGAUUCGUUGGAUGGCUUAGUCGGUGAUUCCGGCGGCGCUCCUCUUCGUGUAUAACUAUCUUCUCUCUCCACACCUGACUCGGUGCUACUGUCUCCAUAGGACAGUUCUAUCCAAGCUGUAUGUCUUCAGACCUUACAACUUCUCCUUCGUAAUCUGCCCAUCCGUCCUUGAUGAUUUGCCUCCUCUGGUUGCGGUUGCUUUGUCUUCUUCUUGUCCCGACCAGCUUCGAGUCCUCAACUAAAUAGUUAGGGUCAGUAAAACAGUGGCGUACCUUCUUAGAGGGGAAGUGCAUAUGGACUUCUCCAGUUCCAAUAUAGAUGAUAACUUUGAUAGUGUUGAGGAACGGUCUUCCAAGGAUGAUGGGUGUAUCGUACUCGUCUUCUCCCAUGUCAAUGACCUGAAAAUCAUCUGGAGCUGAAUGUAUGUUGGUUGUAGGGGCAUGGUUCCAUGCAGGAGCUGAUAAGUGACUGCGGCCAUUAUGUUGACGUCAGAUCCGGUGUCGUAGAGUGUCUUCUGAAAAGAGUAUCCGUUGAUUGUGCACUCGAUGCUUGGAACACUAGGGUCGUCCUUCGUGUUCAUCCUUUAGGUGAAUCAUUUGAUUAGGUGUGGGCCUUGACAUGUGCACCUCUUAAUACGGUGUCACCCAUGUUCUUUGUUUGUCCAGCAGUUCGAGAUGUGGCUGUUGGGUAUUCUUAACAUCAUUACCAAAAGUAGACUUAGUUUUCUAAUUCUGAUAACGGUGCCAAAAAUGCGAAACCUAUCUCUCAUACCACUUAAGCCAAGUUGUCAUCCCCAGCAUGACAUGAGAGACGCGGUAUUGAAAUAUGCAAUUGCUCUUCUAAAUAAAUAAUAAAUGGGAUCUACAAGCGCACAGAUUAAUACCGAUGUAGCAUUUUAACCGGGAAGUAUUUUAGGUAUCGUUAUUUAUAUUUUUACCACUGGGAAGGGAUUAGUAACCAUCAAUAUUGAUUAUAGAAUAGAAUAUGAGAUCGAGUAUCUAUCAUUGCAUGUAUAAUUGAGAACAUUUAUCUAACUCUUUCAUACAGGGAUAAGUGUCACAUAAAAGAUAUAUGAAAUAAUGAAUAGUGACAAAGAUAAUUAAUCUGAUCAGCAUAACUUAGCCACAUAUAAAUAUGAUAAGCACCUCAAUUAGAUAUUCUAGCAAGUCAUUAGCAUGGUAUUAGAACGAACUACAAGAAUAUUUCCUAAGUUAUUCUCAACUAUAUAGUCUAGCAUUAUCAUAGUUAGUGCAAGCAUACUUAGCAAUCUUUUUAGACAAGAUUACACCCAUGCAUAGUGAUAUUAGCAAGGAAUACGAGAAACAUAGCAAUCACUCCCCUGUAAUAAUGUUGCUAUGCCAGCCCAAUACACGAGAGGGGGACUAUAUAAGAAUCAAUGAAGCUGUCACUAUCACGAACUACCCCACGAUCUGGCAUAUUGGGUACAAUCGCAGAUAAAUACGGUAUAAGCACCACACCUACACAAUAUCUAUCAUUUACCCAUGGAUCCGAUGGAUAAACGCUAUACGAUCCUAAACAUGUAUAUAGAUCCAAUCUAACUAAGCAGAGUAUAUUACUAUGAUAGACUAAGAACAAUAUAAUCUUGAAUAUAAACAAGUAGAGCAAAGUCAUAAGCAAUAUAUUGAAGUAGAACAAAGUCAUCUUCAUAAUAUUGAAGAACAAAGAUGAACAAUUAGAAGAACAAUUAGAGAAUUACCAAGAAUCCUCUUGACAGAUCCGGAAAUGAAUCGAAGAUUGACUCCUUCUAGUUCUAAUCCUAUGUAGCUAUGCUAAUCUAGAUGUCUAGUUGAUGUGGUGGCUCUAAUCUUGAUCAGAGGCUUCUUCUCCCUUGAGGAAUAAUGAAUUAGGGUUGAGAGGCUCUCUCCUCCAGGGGCCAGGGGGUCUGGUUUUAUAGACCCUUCAAGUGAAUAUGGGCCGUUGGAUCAAAGCGAAAUUGAUUGAACGGUUAUCCUUGAUCCUUUAGGUCGGUGGAGAUUGAUCCCAAAAGAGAGUCCUGUUUGGACUCCAGGAGGGGGCGGGCGCCCAGGGCCUGGCUCCGUUCGGCCUCCGCUUCAUUCCCGUGGCUUCUGGAGUCUUCUAGGUGUAAGAUAAUUGCGCGGCUCGUUAAUAUCUCUAUGUAAACAUGACAUGUGGGCCUUUCUUUGGUAUUUCCUGAUAACCCCCUGUAGAAAUAGACAAAGACCAAAACUCGUGGAAUUCUAUCAGAUAAAACGCUAAGUCUGGAUGUUUAUUUCAUUUGGAUCCUUUUAUUUGUUUGUUUGAUAAUUAAAUUUGAUACUUAAGGACCGUCAAAAAACUCCCCCAAGCUUACCUCUUGCUCGUCCCUCAGCAAGGAUAGACUCAGUAAUCGAUCAGAAGUUGUUGCAAUACCUUUAAAAGUUGACGGUACACAUGCUUCUAAAAAAGGUCUCAUCUCUGAGUUAGAGUAAACUGUCAAGACUUAAAACUUACUUACUUUACCAUUCACCAUGGAACUUGUAACCGUCUCUUCUGUCUUGAGUAGUUAAAAGAUAGAACAGUCUAGUCAAGUUCUAUGUCUCUUAUUCUUAAUUAGCUAUAGCUCUGAAGUUUUUGCAGAUUUUGAAAUAAAACUCAGAGAUUCCUUGUAUGACUCUCUUAGAUCUCUCUUUUGUGGUAUUUCUGGAUCCUUACCAAGGCAGUGAUGGUAUAUGCCUUCUCUCAAGAUAUGUAGUAUUUGUGGUAUAAGGCAUAGUGACCUUGUCUUCUCUCUCACUCUACUCUAAUAAGGCUUUUAUAUCUGGAGCUCAUAGGUGGAAGAUAAAAUAUACAUACUUACAAGACAUUUAUUGCAUAGUCAAACCAUAGAUCCAAAGAAACAAAUCAAUAAGUCAAAUCAAGAUGUGCAUGUGUGGCGAAUGAAUGUUGUUUGGUGAUGAUGGUGAUAACAAUGGUGAAAGUCUAAUUCUACUUUUGCUCUUUGAGGGGAUACAUACCUUUCUUGCUUUUUUGAAACUUUGUAAGGAGAAUGAGAUGCUCUUCUUUUUUCUUUUCUCUCAGGUGGGUAUCUUGUACCCGUAAUUCUACUGUUAGACACUUGUCCAUGUUUACCUCUCGUCUCACUUUUUCUUUUCUUUCGAGGUUCCGGGCACUUGCCCCUUUUUAUUUCCUUGUAUCUCUUUUCCUCUCUCUCUUUUUUUAGAGCACUCAUCUCUUGAGAUAAUAUAGAAAGUGGUAGUAACAAGAUAACUUGAGCAUUUAUUUCAUAGGGGAAAAAUAGAAAUAUUUUUGGCUAUUCUCUCCCGGAUUAGGAGUAGAAUAUUUUUGGGUGAUUCUGGAGAUGGAAAUGGAUGGAUAUAUGUGGAUGGUACUUCCGGAGUAGAAGCAGCAUGUGUGAGUGAACGUGCAAGUGAAUCUUGAUUUAACAACAUGGCAAGCUCCUAAGGGUCUACACAGCUUGACCACACUCAAUGCUCAUCAGCAGUAAAAAGUAAAUGUGUGGCUCAAAGUCUAGCAAGCAUGUAUAUAUGGCUGUGGUAGAAAAUUAAACUCUCAUCAUACAAGAACUCAUCAUGCAAUAUUUUAAAGAUUUUCAAAGAUAAAAUUCUCCAGAAUUCUAGCAUCUCUAGGAACAGAUAGACAACAGCUCAACCUUCCCAUAUCAUAUCCGUUAACAACUUAGACUUCAGAUCAAGUUUUCUUCACAUAAGUUUAGGUUUUGAGCAAGCUUUAAAUUAUAACAGUUAUGUCUAAACUUGAGAGAACUUCAAAUUUAAAAAUUAGGAAGAGCAACUAUUCAUCAUAUCAAUGCUAGAGUUUUAUUAUUAAGAUUCAGAUUAGCAUAGCCACUUUAUUUAUUUAUUAAACACACUAAGCAAAAGGUAUAUAUAUAUAAACCUAAAAUCUUUAUUUGGUUUUUCAUAAUUAUUUAUAUCUAUAUUUUAAUAUAGUAUAACUAUAAAGAUAGAUAGAAAUACUUAUCGGGAUAAAUGGGGGUGCUCUCCCCCAAGCUGAAUUUUGACGUAAUUUCUUUUUGAUGUAGCUAGCAGGUGGCAGAGGUGUAUUUGAAAGUCGGCAGUAUCUUGACAACGAUUAGAAUGUCCUCCGUCUGCUAGUCUUCUCGAUUCUUAAAUUCUGUGGAGCUCAAAUAGACAACAAAGCUUUGUGGAACUGAUUAAGUGUUAGCAUAAAUAUCUAGCCUUUAUCAUGUUGAGUCUCCUCAAUAAAUGUUACUCUCUAUUUUUAUAUUUUCAUUUUAUAAAGCAGAAAAGAAAUAUUUAUUCUAUUUUUAUGCCACCACAGUGAAUGUACUUAUGGGUCUCAUGCCACUCGUAUACUCACAUGGGGCUUAUUGUUUUUUAACAUUUUUAUUUUCUUUUUAGGAUAGUAUGAACAUGAUUAACUAAGCAAACUAUUUAAAAUAAUUGAAAGGGAAAGGAUAACUACCAAGUUUACCUCUUGGCAAGGCGUUCGGUGUUUUUAAGUCCUCCGAACGGGACUCUCCAUUUUCUCAGUUGUCCUGGGAUUCGUUGGUUGGCGUAGUCGGUACUUCCGGCGGUGCCUCCUCUUCGUGUAUGGUUAUCUUCUCUCUCCAUACCUGAACCGGUGCUACGAUCUCCUCAGGAUAAUUCUGUUUAAACUGUAUGUCUUCUGACCUUACCACUUCUCCUUCAUAGUCUGCCCAUCCGUCCUUGAUGAUUUCCCUCCUCUGGUUGCGGUUGUGUCGUUUUCUGACCUGCUUAGAGUCUUCAACAAUAUAGUUAGGGUCAGUAAAAUAGCGGCGUACCUUUUCUGAGGGGAAGUGCAUAUGGACUUCUGUUGACGGUCCUUAAUGCUCACAUUUAACCAUCAACUAAUCAUAGAAAAGGAUCCAAAUGCAACCAACACCUAGACUUAGGGUUUUAUCUGACAGAAUUCCACGAGUUUUGGUGUUUGUCUAUUUCUGUAGGGGGUUAUCAGGAAAUACGGAAGAAAGGCCCACACGUCGGGUUUACAUAGAGAUAUUAACGUGCCGCGCAAUUUUCUAUCAUCUAGAAGACUCCAGAAGCCACGGGACCGAAGCGGAAGCCGAGAGGCCUCAGGGACAGGGCGCCCGCCCUAGUCCUGAGGGCGCCCGCCCUCUCCCCUGGACCAAUCAGGGUGAAGUUCGGGGAUUAUGCUCCACCGACCUAAUACUUCAAGGAAAACCACACGAUCAAUGUCAGUUUGAUCCGACGGCCCAGAUUCACUUGAAGGGACUAUAAAACCAGACCCCCCUAGCCCCUGGAGAUCAUACCUCUUCUACAGAAUCAAAGUUAGGGUUUCAAUUCUUCAUCCAAGUAGAGAGGAUCCCUCUAGUUCUUCUAGUUCUACCUCUAGUUCAUCUAGAUCUAGUUCUAGUUCAUCUAGUUCUAGUUCUAGUUCCUCUAGUUCUAAUUCUAGUUAGUUCUAGUUGUAAUCUAGAAAAUAGGGAGAGAGAAGAGGAGAGCGGAGGAGGAGCCGGAUCUGUCGGAUCUUCCUCAACAUUGUACUUUUGCAGCAACUGGUUCGUUCUUCAUCGUUCUCCAGGUUCUUCAAUUCAUAACUCCUGAGUUCUCUAAUUACUUUUAUUUACAUUUAAGUUAUUUAUUGGAUUCCCGCUUGCAUCAAGUGCUCUAGUCUUUAUAACGCUAGAGUAGUAAUUAAUAGAUUAGACGUGGUGUUUAGUCUUGCGAUUACCUGGAAUUGCACCCAAUCCUGCGGAUUGUUGUGGUAGCCUUAGGGUAGUGACAGCCCUAACGGUCGACGUAUUCCACCACGUUCGGAUCGGUGUUUGUAGGACCGUAGUCAGACCUUCCUAGCCCCCUUCUCAUCUCUUUCUGUGGUUAGUGCUCUGAUGUCCCGAUAUAGAUAAUCUUGAAGUAAUUCUUGAUUCUUAGAUCAACUAGAGAAUUCUGAGGAAACUUCCUCUCUUCCCACCAAAAACAAUUAUAUAGUUAUCCUUAGGCGAUCUUGAUUCUUAAUUAGUACACUCACGUUCUCUGUGGAAAAUCGAUACUCUGGAAUACUCCCGGGUGAAAGCUACAUCGGUAUCCGUGCGCUUGCGGAUUUUUCUGUUUGUGUUUAAAAUACCCAACAACUUCUCUGGUUCCAAUGUAGAUGAUUGCUUUAACGGUGCUGAGGAACGGUCUUCCAAGGAUGAUGAGUGGAUCGUAUUCGUCUUCUCCCAUGUCAAUAACCUGAAAGUCUGUGUAGACAAAAUGAUCGUCUAUUUUGACUAGGACAUCAGUUACUAUUCCUUUAACUUCUUGAAAUGUCUGAUCUGCCAUCUGGAGCUGAAUGUAUGUUGGUUUUAGGGGAAUGGUUCCGAACAAGAGCCGAUAGGUGACUGCGGCCAUUAUAUUGACGCCCGAUCUGGUGUCGCAAGUCGUCUUGUAGAAGUUAUAUCCAUUUGUGGAGCAAUAGAUGCUUGGCAUUCCUGGGUCGUCCUUCUUGGUCAGAAAUGGUGACUUAAGUUGAUGAUCUUGACCUCCUUGAACUGCAGUGACCAUCUUAGCUGACUCGCUCCAUACUUGCUUGUUCCUAUUCCUCCUGUUGGUCCUCUUCCUUGAUUCACGUCUGGAUUGAUCUGGGAUUUGUGUAAUCUUGUUCUUGAAGGAAAACGUCUCCUUCUUCCCUUUGAUGUAGAAACUGAUCUUGGCAGCACUAGCAUAGAUGACAGCUCCCGAGGUGUUCAAGAAUGGCCUCCCUAGAAUGAUGGGUGCUCUCUCAUCAUUAUCGGUCUCUAUCACCACGAAGUCUGCUAGGGCAUAUAAGGUACCAACUCAGACACAAAGGUUCUUCAAUAUUCCUUUUGGAAAACUUAUCGUCUGAUCUACAAACUGCAAACACAUGGUUGUCUCUAAUAAAGGAUAUGUAAAGAAUUUUUCAUAGAGUACCCUGGGUAUAAUGUUGACACUAGAGCCAAAGUCGCAGAGUGCUUCUGGGAUGUCCACCAUGCCCAUGGAGAUCGGGAUGACAGGGCGUCCUGGAUCGCCUCUCUUGACCGGCAGAAGGUCAGUAGUAACUUCAGUGACGGGGUUACUCCAAUUACCUGCAUCAAACAUGUCUACAAGAUUUACAGAUUCUAAUCCUUCUGGUUGUGAUGGUAUAACGGGGUUAGUAGCAGGAACAGCAGCAUCUAUUUGGUUUAACUGAGAUUCAAUCAUUUUAUUAAAGCUAAUUUGAUUCUUGAUGGCAGUAGAGAAAUUAUCCAUUCUAUUGUCUAUAUUUUCUAGCAUUUUAUCAUUAGAUGCCAAUUUCAUAGAUAGGUUAUCCAUUAGCUUUCCUUGAUUAGACACCAACUCUCUCAGAGGUGGAAAAGUAUUAUUAUUGUUGUAAGAAUUAUUACCUUGAUAAUUACUUGAGUAGUUAGGCCUCUGUUGAUUCCAACCGUGGUUUUGUUGAGGACGGUUGUAGUAGUUGUUGUUAUUGUUGUUGAUGUAGUUCACAUCCUCAAGCAUCUCAGGGCAGUGAUUGCCUGAGUGUCCAGUGUCUCCACAUUCCUCACAAGUCAUGUGAGAGUCGUAGAUGUGCAUAACUUCGUUCUUAUCUCCAGCUCUAUCAUCGAGCUUCUUCAUGAGCAGGUCUAGCUUUGCAGACAGCAUGUCUACCUCCUUGAGCUGAUGCAUACCUCCACCUCUCUUGCAUGUCUGGGUCCUCUCUUCAUUCCAGCCUUGGUUUGACGCCAUCUUCUCCACAAGAGCUGUGGCUUGUGAUAUGGUAAGUGAUAAGAAUGCUUCUCCAGCUGCAACAUCCAUGGUCUCUCGGGUACUAUUGCCGAGCCCAUGAUAAAAUGUCUGCAUUAGUAGCUAACUCUCCAUUCCAUGACGGGGACAUUCUAGGAUGUAGUCUUGGAAGCACUCCCAUGCUUCUGGAAUGGAUUCAUCAUGUUGUUGCUGAAAACUUAUAAUUUUCCGACGGAGAGCAUUGGUCUUGCCCAUGGGAAAGAACUUAGCCAGGAAGUUUGUUGAGCAGAGUGCCCACGUAGUAUUCUUCUCCUUUGUAGCGUAGAACCACUGCUUCGCUCUUCCUAACAGUGAGAAUGGGAAGAGGCGAAGUAGUAUAGCAUCUCUAGGGACUCCUGAGAUGGCGAAUGUGCUGCAAAUCUCCAGGAAGUGUUGGAGAUGAGCACUAGCAUCUUCGUGUGCCUUCCCACAGAACUGAUUGGAUUGCACCUUGUUUAUAAGUACAGGCUUUAGCUCAAAGUUGUCAUCGAUCUCUGCAGCAGGUCCAGUAUGGAUGUUGUCCAUAGUGGGAGCUGAGAACUCACGGAUCGAUUUGUUUGCCAUGGCUUCGAACUCUGAAGACAAGUUCCGGUGAUCUUCUUGAUUGGUUGAAGCUUCUUGCUGAAGUGUUGAUGAUCUGUUCUUGAGCUUGGCUCUAGUUUUUCUGAAUAAGGCUUCAGGAUUGUCAACAAAAGUUCCUGGAAGAUGUCUUCUAUUCAUACAUUCCCCUACAUAAGAUAAAAUAGAAAAUACCAGGGUAAAACUGUAUGAGAGAAUUGAUAAGCUCAAUCAUAUUAGUGAUGCGAAUGAUAACUCAAAAUCCUAUAUUCAUUCCUGAUUAGUAAUCAACCUUCCCCAGCAACGGCGCCAAAAAUGCUGGUUGGGUAUUCUUAACAUCAUUACCAAAAGUAGACUUAGUUUUCUAAUUCUGAUAACGGUGCCAAAAAUGCCAAACCUAUCUCUCAUACCAUUUAAGCCAAGUUGUCAUCCCCAGCAUGACAUGAGAGACGCGGUAUUGAAAUAUGCAAUUGCUCUUCUAAGUAAAUAAUAAAUGGGAUCUGCAAGCGCACAAAUUAAUACCGAUGUAGCAUUUUAACCGGGAAGUAUUCCAGGUAUCGUUAUUUAUAUUUUUACCACUAGGAAGGGAUUAGUAACCAUCAAUAUUGAUUAUAGAAUAGAAUAUGAGAUUGAGUAUCUAUCAUUGCAUGUAUAAUUGAGAACAUUUAUCUAACUCUUUCAUACAGGGAUAAGUGUCACAUAAAAGAUAUAUGAAAUAAUGAAUAGUGACAAAGAUAAUUAAUCUGAUCAGCAUAACUUAGCCACAUAUAAAUAUGAUAAGCACCUCAAUUAGAUAUUCUAGCAAGUCAUUAGCAUGGUAUUAGAACGAACUACAAGAAUAUUUCCUAAGUUAUUCUCAACUAUAUAGUCUAGCAUUAUCAUAGUUAGUGUAAGCAUACUUAGCAAUCAUUGUGAGACAAGACUACGCCCAUGCAUAGUGAUAUUAGCAAGGAAUAUGAGAAACAUAGCAAUCACUCCCCUGUAAUAAUGUUGCUCUGCCAGCCCAAUACACGAGAGGGGGACUAUAUAAGAAUCAAUGAAGCUGUCACUAUCACGAACUACACCACGAUCUGGCAUAUUGGGUACAAUCGCAGAUAAAUACGGUAUAAGCACCACGCCUACACAAUAUCUAUCAUUUACCCAUGGAUCCGAUGGAUAAACGCUAUACGAUCCCAAACAUGUAUAUAGAUCCAAUCUAACUAAGCCAAGUAUAUAACCAUGAUAAACUAAGAACAAUAUAAUCUUGAAUAUAAACAAGUAGAGCAAAGUCAUAAGCAAUAUAUUGGAGUAGAACAAAGUCAUAUUCAUAAUAUUGAAGAACAAAGAUGAACAAUUAGAGAAUUACCAAGAAUCCUCUUGAUAGAUCUGGAAACCAAUCGAAGAUUGACUCCUUCUAGUUCUAAUCCUAUGUAGCUAUUGUUGACGGUUCUUAAGUAUCAAUUUUAAUUAUUAAAUAAACAAGGGAAAGGACCAAUAUGCAACCAACACCUAGAAUUAGGGUUUGAUCUGACAGAAUUCCAUGAGUUUUGUUGUUUAUCUGUUUCUGCAGGGGGUUAUCAGGAAAUAAGGAAGAAAGGCCCACAUGUCGGGAUUACAUAGAGAUAUCAACGCACCGCGCGAUUUUCUACCAUCUAGAAGACUCUAGAAGCCACGGGAAGAAGGCAGAGGCCGAAAGGGGCCAGGCCCAGGGCGCCCGCCCCCUGCUGGAUGCCAAUCAGGACUCUCUUCGCACGGGAUGUUCCACCGACCUAUUGGAUCAAGGAAAAUAUAGUACCACCUCGCCUACCGACCCAAAAACGCAUAGAGGAGGAGGACUAUAUAAGGAGACCCCCCUUGCCCCUGGAGAAGACAUGAAGAAAUUAUCAUAGAGAUUGAGGGGUGCCCUCGAAGGAAAACCUCUUCUCUAAUUAAUAUUUCUUUUUAGGCUUAGCAAACAAUGUAAAGUAGAAAUAGAUGUUCUAGUUUCUACUAGAUUGAGAGAGAUAGAGUGGAGGUGUAGAUUAGAGGAAGCCCGGCCUAUCGGUGUCUACUCCAAGCUUGUACCUGCGGGAUCAAGUUCUCCUAACCCGAAGCUUGCUCCUAGGAUUCUUCAGUAUUUCGACUUCUAAAUUAUACUAAGUUCUUGUUUUAUUGUUCUUCUGGUUUAUGAGUUUACUUUAAUCUCUUUGCGUAGAGUUUAGAGCAAUCAUUGCUGGCGUAAACGUGGUGUUUAGGCUGGGGAACUCAUAGAUAUUCCCUGACUAGCUGGACCGUGGUAGUAGCGAGGAACGUGACAAUUCCGAGUUACCUUUGCAGACCAUAUCGCGUUAGCAGGAAGGAUAGGGUUUAUAGGUGCGGGUUGAACAUCCUUUGUGGUGUCUAGAUUCCGUUAGCCUCCCCAAUAGAACAGUAGAUCAUCCUUACCAAGGUUAGAAGGAGACUACGGUUGCAGUCUUCUCUAUUUAUCACUCACAUCGAAAGACAUUCUUUGUUGCCUAAAGGUUAGUAGUAAUAGACCGGUUAGUCAGAUGCACUCUUUCUCAUAGUGGUAAAAAAAUAAAUACGAUACUUUGGAUAAUUUCCCGGGUGAAAUGCUCACCGAUAUCCGUGCGCUUGCGGAUCAAUUCCUUAUUGUGUUCCCAAAUAUCAAAAAGCAUUUCUGGCGCCGUUGUCGGGGAGAAAGACGGUUGCUGAGAUAACCUGAGUCUUACUACUGGCGCCGUUGUCGGGGAGAAAGACGGUUGCUGAGAUAAUCUAUACUUUUAUCUUUUCUUAUCUUUUAUAUUCUUUAUUUAUUUUCUUUACUCUUACCUUAUGGAAAACCAAAAUUCUAAAUCGAUCCAUGAGUCUGCAAUCCCUUCAGUAACUGACCUUUUACCAUGGGAAUCAUCACAGCUGUUGACACUUGCUAACACCACUUGAAUACUAGGUUGUCAUCCCUAGCAUGGCACUAGAGUGUACUAUGGUAUUUAUACACACACAGAUAAUCCGCAAGCGCACGGAUACCGUUGAAGCUUUCACCCGGUUAAAGGUUUUAUCGUAUCCACAGGGAAACGGGAGAACCAACUACGCUCUAACUUAACCAAGAUAGAUAGAUAGUGUAAAUAGGAAAGAUGGUAGAAUUGAAUAAGAACAAUAUUAAAGGUAAGAUAACAAUAGGUGAUAAUAUGGGAAUAGAGAGUAGAGCAAUUCUAGUAUAUGGGCGAUGGUAGCAGAAUAGAGAGAAUAACUAUGGCUUCUCUACUUCAAAGGGGUAUGUCUAUGUCCGGGACGAACCACGUGAUAAGAUUACACCACAAAGGAUGCUUAUCCAUAGGCCGAUAAACCCUACCCGUCCUGCUAACGAGAGGUGGACUACAGAGGACCAACGUAACUGUCACCUACGCGGCCUACCACACGAUCCAGCUAGACAGGGGAUAUCCAAAAGUAAUCUAGGUCUAAGCACCACGCUUACACCUAUACUACAACUCUCACCUAUAGCGUCCUAUAGAUUAGAAUACUCAAAAGAGUUGUGAACCAGAACAUACAUAAUUAGUAAUUGCAAAAUGAAUUAGAAGUAGAUUACCAGAGUCAUCCCAUGAGCAAGCUUGAUUAGAGCUUGAUCAUGACGAAGUACAACCGGAGGAAGAACCGACAGGCCGGCCUCUCCUCUAAUCCUCCUUCGCUCUCCAUCUUGCUACUAUCUAGAUCUACUCUAGUUUAGAGAAGAGAAGAGAGCUCUCAUCUCUAAACCCUAGCUUUUGCUCUGUCUAUGAAUAAUGAAUAAUGAUCAAGGGGUGCCUCCUCCAGGGGCUAGGGGGUCUGGUUAUAUAGUCUUUUCAGAUGAAUCUGGGCCGUCGGAUCAAACCGACAUUGAUCGUGUGGUUUUCCUUGAAGGAUUAGGUCGGUGGAGCAUGAUCCGCGAAGUUGAAGCUGAUUGGUUACUGUAGCUGGGCGGGCACCCAAGGGACUUGGGCGGGCGCCCUGCCCCCGGGCCCGAUCGGCCUCCCGUUCGUUCCCGUGGCUUCUGGAGUCUUCUAGAUGAUAGAAAAUUGCGCGGCACGUUAAUAUCUCUAUGUAAACACGACGUGUGGGCCUUUCUUUCAUAUUUCCUGAUAACCCCCUGCAGAAAUAGACAAACACCAAAACUCGUGGAAUUCUGUCAGAUAAAACCCUAAGUCUAGAUGUUGAUUUCAUUUGGAUCCUUUUCUUUGUUUAUUUGAUAAUUAAAUUUGAUACUUAAGGACUGUCAACAAACUCCCCCAAGCUUACCUCUUGCUCGUCCCUGAGCAAGGAUAGACUCAGCAAUCGAUCAGAAGUUGUUGCAAUAUCUUAAAAAUUUGACGGUACACAUGCUUUUAAAUAAGAUCUCAUCUCUGAGUUAGAGUAAACUGUCAAGAACUAAAACUUACUUACUUUACCUUUCACCAUAGGACUUGUAACCGUCACUUCUGUCUUAAGUAGUUAAAAGAUAGAACAGUCUAGCCAAGUGCCAUGUCUCUUAUCCUUGAUCAGCUAUAGCUCUAGAGUUUUUGCAGAUUUUCAAAUAAAACUCAGAGAUUCCUUGUAUGACUCUCUAAAUCUCUCUUUUGUGGUAUUUCUGGAUCCUUACCAAGGCAGUGAUGGUAUAUGUCUUCUCUCAAGAUAUGUGGUAUUUGUGGUAUAAGGCAUAGUGACAUUACCUUCUCUCUCACCCAACUUUAAUAAGGCUUUAAUAUCUGGAGCUCAUAGGUGGGAGAUAAAGUAUACAUACUUACAAGACAUUUAUUGCAUAGUCAAACCAUGGAUCCAAAGAAACAAAUCAUUAAGCCAAAUCAAGAUGUGCAUGUGUGGCGAAUGAAUAGUGUGUGGUGAUGAUGGUGGUAAUGGUGGAAGUCUAAUUCUACUUUUGCUCUUUUGAGGGGAUACAUACCUUCCUUGCUUUCUGAAACUUUAUGAGGAGAAUGAGAUGCUCUUCUUUUUCUUUCCUCUCAGGUGGGUAUCUUGUACCCCUAAUUCUACUGUCGGACACUUGUCCAUUUUUACCUCUCGUCUCACUUUUUCUUUGUUUCUUUCGAGGUUCCGGGCACUUGCCCCUUUUUAUUUCCUCGUAUUUUUCUUCUUUUUUUUUAGAGCACUCAUCUCAUGAGAUAAUAUAGCAAGUGGUAGUAACAAGAUAACUUGAGUAUUUAUUUCACAAGGAAGAAACAGAAAUAUUUUUGGUUAUUCUCUCCCGGAUUAGGAGUAGAAUAUUUUUGGGUGGCUCUGGAGAUGGAAAUGAGUGGAUAUAUGUGGAUGGUACUUCCGGAGUAGAAGCAGCAUGUAUGAGUGAACGUGCAAGUGAAUCUUGAUUUACCCACAUGACAAGCUCCUAAGGGUCUACACAGCUUGACCACACUCAAUGCUCAUAAGCAGUAAAUAACAAAUGUGUGGCUCAAAGUCUAGCAAGCAUGUAUAUAUGGCUGUGGUAGGAAUUUAAACUUUCAUCAUACAGGAACUCAUCAUGCAAUAUUUUAAAGAUUUUUCAAAGAUAAAAUUCUCCAGAAUUCUAGCAUCUCUAGGAAUAGAUAAACAGUAGCUCAACCUUCCCAUAUCAUAUCGGUUAACAACUUAGAUUUCAGAUCAAGUUUUCAUCCCACAAGUUUAGAUCUAGAGCAAGCUUUAAAUUAUAACAGUUAUGUCUAAACUUGAGAGAGAACUUCAAAUUUGCAAAUUAGGCAGAGCAACUAUUCAUCAUAUCCAUGCUAGAGUUUUAUUAUUAAGAUUCAGAUUAGCAUACCACUUUAUUUAUUUAUUAAACACAGUAAGCAAAAGAUAUAUAUAUAUAUAUAAGCACAAAAUCUUUAUUUGGUUUUUCAUAGUUUAUGUAUUUUAAUAUUCUAAUAUAAUAUAAGUAUAAAGAUAGGUAGAAAUACUUAGCGAGAUAAAUGGGGGUGCUCUCCCCCAAGCUGAAUUUUGACGUAAUUUCUCUUGAUGUAGCUAGCAGGUGGCAGAGGUGUAUUUGAAAGUCAGCAGCAUUCUGACAGCGAUUAGAAUGUCCUCCGUGUGCUAGUCUUCUUGAUUCUUAAAUUCUGUGGAGCUCAAAUAGACAACAAAGCUUGUGGAACUAAUUAAGUGUUAGCAUAAAUAUAUAGCCUUCAUCAUGUUGAGCUUCCUCAAUAAAUAUUACUCCCUGUUUUUAUAUUUUUAUUUUAUAAAGUAGAAAAGAAAUAUUUAUUUUAUUUUUAUGCCACCACAGUGACGGUACUUAUGGGUUUUAUGCCACUCGUAUACUCACGUGGGCUUAGUAUUUUUUAACAUUUUUAUUUUCUUUUCAAGAUAGCAUGAUUUAACUAAUAAUCUAUUUAAGGAAAGUAAAUAAUUAAAGGGAAAAGGAAUUGCAGAACGGAUAAAUAUGGAUAACUACCGAUCUUACCUUUCGGCGAUGGUUCAAUGUUUUAAGUCUUCUUGGCAAGACUUCUCACCGUGUUCAUUCUUCAGGUGCGUCAUUUGAUUCAGGUGCGGACCUUGACGUCUGCACCUCUUCGUUUGCCCAACAGUUCGAAGUGCGGCGUUGGCAGUAUCCUGCUCACUGUAUUUGAGCUCGUAGAUCCAGGUCCUUCACUUGGUAGAGUCUGAGAGUUAUAAAUCUCCUCCAUGUUUUGCUCGAAGUGUACCUGCUCAUAGAGACAAGGUAGAGAUCAAGUGCAUGGGUCCUGUUGGUGGAAAACACCAACAGAACCUAAAGUGUAUUUGUUCUUCUCUAACCCUAAGCAUAGUGAGCAAGACAAAGUUGAUGAAUGAUAAGUUCAUGAGUGUAGCAUUUAAAACAUUUGCCGGAUCAGGUCACUCAACCUAAUGGAAAGAUAAUCUAUCUAUAUCUAUGCCAUUUUCUUUAUAUCUUCCCAAAGAUUAAAUGCGCAACAUUUUAGCUCAUAUGACUUGGAGUGUGGGAUCACAAAAGUGGAAGGACUAAACAUGUUGAAUCGAUUGGGUUGGUUAACCUAGAGUUGUAAUUCAUACAUGUUUGUCUCUUUUAUUCAUAUGAACGCCAGAACCAAGGAGAAGCUUAUAAAAGUGAUAGUCAAGUACCUUAAGAUGUUACCUUAAUUGAAGAGUGAUGGUACCAUCUUACCUUGUGGAAGCUUCCCAUUCGUAGUGGUUGUGCAUCGUGUACCCUCCAUGGAUCAUCUCUUAUGAGCUACGUCUUCCUUGUGUAAAUUGUUAAACUUCAUGUGUCACUCUCUUCAUCUCCAAUGCGAGUUUAUGUCAGGACUUCCCAGGUUGAUAUUGAAAGUUUUCCUGUAGGGGUUAGUCUGACAAAAAUAUACCAAUGUCUACACAAGCAGUUUUUAGUUCAGUAACCGAACUAGACUCCAUGUCUAAUCAGAUUAAGGAAGGCUGUUUAACCUAAGCACCAUGCUUAAUUUAAAAGCCAAUAGAAGUAUGUGCAGUACUUCCAAACUAACACUUACUAGUAAAUAGACAAAGGUAGCAUGACAGCAUUUAUAGAGAUCUACUCAAGUGGAGAUGAAGUAGUGUGAUUAGUAUUUAACAAAUUGAGCAUGUCUUAAAGGUAGGGACAACCAACAUAGCAACAUGGCAAAGGAUGUUUUUAUGUAAAGUACUCCCCCAAGCUUGAAUUUUUGCAGAAUUCAAGUUUGGAUGAAUUUAAUUCAAUGUUGUAUGAUAAUUGGUUGGACAUACCUUGUGCUUGUCAUUCCUCGGAUCUUCUUGCUCCAAUCCUGGAAAGGUUAAUGACAAGAAUACCCGAAGGAAUAUUUCUACAAUCAUCUUAUAUGCUAAAUAUACAAGGCAAUGUUGCAAAUAAUUAAAAGUUCAUAUUACGGUCUGAUAAGUGCUUGUUUUAGGACACUAAGCUUGUCCUUGGGAAACCAUCAAAUUAUGUCGGCGAAGUGGUUUCCCCUCCAACGCUGACCUAUAUCAAGAUCAACUCAACGAGAUCUGCAAUAUUUAUUAUAGACAUAUGGAUCGACAACCGCCCUUUUAAAGUUUUUAUAAAUAGAAAAGAAGAGGGGGUUGGAGAUCUCAAAUGUGGUAAGGUUGGAGAGACCAAUAGAUUGAGAAGAUGUUGCAUUUGAGCAUGGAGUAAACGAAGUGGCUAUGAAAUAAAUUCGAUCCUUAUUAAUGUUAUCUUCGUCUCCAAUCUGAAUGUUCGGAGUUUCGCCUUGAUUGGUCUCACCUAUGUCCUCUUCUGUAGUUGGAUGAAUCUCAUCUUCAAAGGGAGUCAAGAACUCACUAUUUGAAAUUGAACCAAAGUCAGAAUUCAUUAAGGCUUCUUCCUUAUCCAUCCAUUCUACACAUUCUAGCCAUUUAGAACUUGUGAUCAGGAAAGGGGAGGUGUUAGAAUUUUCAAUAUGGCUUAGCUCUCCUUCACUUGAUAUGUCAUCCUCGACUUCUUCAUAACAGGAGCCAGGACAUUCUCUAAGAGAACCAUUAUUGCGAGGAUUUGAAUUAUCCCUGCUUGAAGGUCUCUUAUGGAACCAGAAGUCUAAACCAUCAGCAUCUGAAAGAUUUAAAGUCGGAAUUCCUUCCUCCCUUAGAGAAUUUUGGGGUAUUGAUGGUUUAGGAUUGAUAGCUAAAGUUUGGGAUUGAAGUGUUGGUGAUGUUGCUAUCGAAACUUCUUCUUCUUGUCUAGGAACUGGUUCUUUCUCUUUCUCAGGGAUAUAAAAGCUAGGAGACUUUCCGCUUAAUAAAUAAAUCAAAUUCCAAGCUUCACUAGCAGCUAGGUGAUAGAAGGACCCUCUAGAAGCUGUAUUCAAGGUUUGCUUAUUUUCCCCACUAAGGCCCUCAAAAAAGUGAAUUAGAAGAACUUCUUCUGGAAUAGAAAGCUUUGGGCCUGUGAGAGUAAGGUUAAUAAAGCGGUCCCAUGAUUUCCUAAGAGAUUCUUCUUCCAGUUGUCUAAAAGAAAUAAUCUCACGCUGAAGUUCCGCCACUUUAGAGAUUGGAAAAUAUUUUAAAAGAAAACUAUUAUGUAACUCCUUCCAAUCUCCAUGAACACUCCCUACUUUGAGUUUAUACCAAUGUCUAGCUUUUCCUGUUAAAGAGAACGGAAAGAGCUUCCAUUUGAGGGUCUCAUCGGACAUUCCUUCUAUGCGAAGGAGGUCACAGACUUGAUAAAACUCUCUUAGGUGUGUGUAUGGGUUUUCCUCACCUUCUCCUGAGAAAGGUUGUUUUUGAACAAAUUCUAUGUAUUCGGGGUCUAUCUCAAAACUAGAUGCUAUGAUAGGCUUUGAAGAUUUUGGUGGUUCGAGAUGUGUGCCCGUAGGUCUAUGAAAUUCAUAGAUAGACAUGUUUGAAUUCAUGAUAGACCAGAGAUCAAGGAUUAGAUAAGAAUAAAGAGUAGCAGAGAUAAGGCAAAGGAUAAAAGGAAAAAUAUAUUUUUUUUAUUAUUUAUUUAGAAAAUGAUUAAGCUAGUUCGUAGUCAACUCAGCAACCGUUUCCCCGGCAACGGCGCCAAAAAAUGCUUGUUGACACUUGCUAACACCACUUGAAUACUAGGUUGUCAUCCCUAGCAUGGCACUAGAGUGUACUAUGGUAUUUAUACGCACACAGAUAAUCUGCAAGCGCACGGAUACCGUUGAAGCUUUUACCCGGUUAAAGGUUUUAUCGUAUCCACAGGGAAACGGGAGAACCAACUACGCUCUAACUUAACCAAGAUAGAUAGAUAGUGUAAAUAGGAAAGAUGGUAGAAUUGAAUAAGAACAAUAUUAAAGGUAAGAUAACAAUAGGUGAUAAUAUGGGAAUAGAGAGUAGAGCAAUUCUAGUAUAUGGGCGAUGGUAGCAGAAUAGAGAGAAUAACUAUGGCUUCUCUACUACAAAGGGGUAUGUCUAUGUCUGGGACGAACCACGUGAUAAGAUUACACCACAAAGGAUGCUUAUCCAUAGGCCGAUAAACCCUACCCGUCCGGCUAACGAGAGGUGGACUACAGAGGACCAACGUAACUGUCACCUACGCGGCCUACCACACGAUCCAGCUAGACAGGGGAUAUCCACAAGUAAUCUAGGUCUAAGCACCACGCUUACACCUAUACUACAACUCUCACCUAUAGCGUCCUAUAGAUUAGAAUACUCAAAAGAGUUGUGAACCAGAACAUACAUAAUUAUUAAUUGCAUAAUGAAUUAGAAGUAGAUUACCAGAGUCAUCCCAUGAGCAAGCUUGAUUAGAGCUUGAUCAUGACGAAGUACAACCGGAGGAAGAACCGAUAGGCCGGCCUCUCCUCUAAUCCUCCUUCGCUCUCCAUCUUGCUACUAUCUAGAUCUACUCUAGUUUAGAGAAGAGAGGAGAGAUCUCAUCUCUAAACCCUAGCUUUUACUCUGUCUAUGAAUAAUGAAUAAUGAUCAAGGGGUGCCUCCUCCAGGGGCUAGGGGGUCUGGUUAUAUAGUCUUUUCAGAUGAAUCUGGGCCGUCGGAUCAAACCGACAUUGAUCGUGUGGUUUUCCUUGAAGUAUUAGGUCGGUGGAGCAUGAUCCGCGAAGUUGAAGCUGAUUGGUUACAGUAGCUGGGCGGGCACCCAAGGGACUUGGGCGGACGCCCUGCCCCCGGGCCCGAUUGGCCUCCGUUCGUUCCCGUGGCUUCUGGAGUCUUCUAGAUGAUAGAAAAUUACGUGGCACGUUAAUAUCUCUAUGUAAACCCGACGUGUGGGCCUUUCUUUCAUAUUUCCUGAUAACCCCCUGCAGAAAUAGACAAACACCAAAACUCGUGCAAUUCUGUCAGAUAAAACCCUAAGUCUAGAUGUUGAUUUCAUUUGGAUCCUUUUCUUUGUUUAUUUGAUAAUUAAAUUUGAUACUUAAGGACUGUCAACAACAGCCUAUCCAAACAUCCCAGUAUAAGUUAAGUUUUAGGUUGAUUGCCAUGAUUCAAAACCUAGCUUUUUCGGGAAAGGAAGACGAAAACCCUUACCUUCAUAUUAGAGAUUUUAAGCAAACAUGUGAUUGUCUUCGUAUUGAAGGCAUUUCUGAAAAACUUUACGUUGGAAGCUUUUUCCUUUUUCCUUAAGGGGAGAAGCUAGACAAUGGUACAGUCAGAAGGUAAGUCAACAACAAGGUGAAUGGGGAGUUUUAUGAGCCAACUUAGAAUCUGGUCCAAACCUUAAUCUUGAAGACCCUGUUCUUUUAUUUCACUUUUUUCGAGGUCUUCAGAAAAAUCACAAACAAAUGCUACACACAAUGUCUAGAGGUUCUUUCUUUCGCAUCCCUACUAAUGAAGCUAGAGUGAUCCUAGAUAGAAUCCUAGAAGCUGAGAUGGAUAAUACCCUUCAUGAUGAAACAUACGAAGCCGAAGUAGACACUCUGCCAAAUUCUUCAUCUACUUUAGCUAUCCCAAGUUCUGAGCCACAAGAGGAAGAAAUUCCACCACCGGACUUCAUGCUGGAUAUAGAAUCCGAUCUUUUUGCCGAUUUUGGAAACAUUUCAAACUACCAUUCUAUUGACAAACCCCAAAACGGCUAGUUUAGCAUUUAUUUGCCAAGUGAACAUCAAUUGAGAGAGCUUAUCUCAGUAAUGAGUAGCGAAUGGUUGGAGGAAUCAGAGCUUACCUCUGAUGUGAUCCGUUUGGACACACCCUCUAUAACUAUACGCUGUGCUUAUAAUUCUAAUCGAUUUAAUGCUCUUUAUAAUCCUGUUGUGGGGAUCAACAUCAUGUCUGAAUCUUUUGCACUUAAACUAUUUAAAACUCUUGUCUUAACCCCCACAACAAAGGUCAUAAAGGAAUCUUCAGGAUGAUUAGUCCCUAGUCUUGGAAUUAAUAAUGUCCUACCUCUUACGGUAGAAGGCUCCAUGGUUCAUUUGAACUUCUAUAUCUUUGAUACAUGGGACUUCAACCUGUUGAUAGGACAACCUUUUAGAAGACUCCUUUAUGAAGGUCAUACUGGAAAGCUACACAUUUCUUUUGGAAAAACCUUUAAAUUCCCAAUAACAAUUUCACACUCCUUAAACAAUAAGGCCGAACCAUAUCUUUUGCCUGAUCCUAUGGUGGAGGUAAAGGCUGCAUCUCUAGAGCUUUUAGAUGAACCAGACUUAGAAGACGAAACUCCUUUCUUCACAGAAGAAGAAGCCGAACCUUCUGAGCCUGAACCCUUAGAUGAGUUUGCAGAAACACCUAGACCCCCCAUAGAGCUUAAAACUUUACCACCCGGUCUUACAUAUGCUUUCCUAAACAAUAAUCGAGAGUUCCCUAUAAUCAUUAGCGAUAAACUCACUCAGGAUCAAACUCUGCGAUUAAUGACCAUUAUUGAGAAACAUCACUCAGUGUUCGGCUACUCACUCCAAGAUCUUACAGGAAUCAGUCCUAUGAUUUGUACCCAUCGUAUUCCAACAGAUCCUUCUGUUCCACCCUCUCCAGAACCCCAACGUAGACUUAAUAACACUAUGAGAGAGGUAGUUAAAAAGGAAGUUAUAAAGUUGCUGCAUGCAGGGAUUAUAUAUCCUGUGCCACACAGUGAGUGGGUAAGCCCAGUGCAAGUUGUGCCUAAAAAGGGAGGCAUGACUGUUAUUAUGAAUGAAAAGAAUGAGCUAAUUCCGCAACGCACCGUCACAGGAUGGAGGAUGUGCAUAGACUAUAGAAAACUAAACAAAGCCACGAGAAAGGAUCACUUUCCUUUACCUUUCAUAGAUGAGAUGCUAGAGCGGUUAGCGAACCAUUCGUUCUUCUGUUUCUUAGAUGGAUAUUCAGGGUAUCAUUAGAUCCCAAUCCAUCCCGAUGAUCAAAGCAAAACCACUUUUACAUGCCCAUAUGGAACUUAUGCUUAUCGUAGAAUGUCUUUUGGGUUAUGUAAUGCACCAGCUUCUUUUCAAAGAUGCAUGAUGUCUAUAUUUUCUGAUAUGAUUGAAGAGAUUAUGGAAGUUUUCAUGGAUGAUUUCUCUGUUUAUGGAAAAACUUUUGAUAGUUGUCUUGAAAACUUAGACAAGGUUUUGCAAAGAUGUGAAGAAAAGCACUUAGUCCUUAAUUGGGAAAAAUGUCAUUUUAUGGUUAGGGAAGGAAUAGUGCUGGGACACCUAGUGUCUGAAAGAGGUAUUGAGGUAGACAAAGCUAAAAUUGAAGUAAUUGAACAACUACCUCCACCUGUGAAUAUAAAAGGAAUUCGAAGCUUUCUUGGCCAUGCUGGUUUUUAUCGUAGAUUCAUAAAAGAUUUUUCAUUUAUUGCUAGACCACUUACUCUUUUGCUAGCCAAGGAUGCUCCUUUCGAAUUUGAUGAUGCAUGUCUAACAUCAUUCAAUUUAUUAAAGAAAGCACUCAUCUCUACACCAAUCAUUCAACCCCCUGAUUCGUCGUUGCCUUUUGAAAUUAUGUGUGAUGCUAGUGAUUAUGCUAUGGGGGCAGUAUUGGGACAAACUAAAAAUAAGAAGCAUCAUGCAAUUGCUUAUGCUAGUAAAACUUUGACAGGAGCUCAACUUAACUAUGCAACUACUGAAAAAGAGCUUCUGGCUGUUGUCUUUGCCAAUGAUAAAUUUAGAUCUUAUUUAGUUGGAGCUAAAAUAAUUGUUUACACUGAUCAUGCUGCACUAAAAUAUUUGCUCACUAAAAAAGAUGCUAAACCUCGCCUGAUUAGAUGGAUCUUAUUACUCCAAGAAUUUGACUUAGAAAUAAAAGAUAAAAAGGGAGUAGAAAAUUCUGUUGCUGGUCACUUGUCUAGAAUGUAUUUUAAGAGUCCACAGGAAACCCCCAUCAAUGAUUCACUCCGGGACGACAUGCUCUACGGGAUUAACAGGUCUGACCCCUGGUAUGCAGAUAUUGUUAGUUUUAUGGUUUCAGGGUAUGUACCACCAGGAGCAAACAAGAAGAAGCUUAUUCAAGAAAGUCGUUCACAUAUAUGGGAUGAGCCAUACCUCUUCCGAGUAUGCUCUGAUGGCUUACUUAGGAGAUGUGUGACCACUGAAGAAGGAUGGAAGAUCAUCGACAGAUGUCAUUCAUCACCAUACGGAGGUCACUAUGGAGCAUUCCGUACACAUUCAAAGAUCUGGCAGUGUGGAUUCUACUGGCCUACAAUGUAUGAAGACACGAAGCAAUAUAUCAGAAGAUGUGGGCCAUGUCAAAGACACUGUAACAGAACCGACCAAAUUAUAAGAGAUUAAGCCUAACAGUGACCAUUUGCAUAGUCCAACCAUCGAGCUUAAUCCCAUAUAAUCCCGGUAGUCCGUGAAAUCUCGAAGGAUUUCAAACCACAUAUCGUACAGACAGCCAAGAUCGUAAUAAGUUUAGCGGUCGCCAUCCACAAAUACAUCCAGAUUACAACAUUCAUAAAAUACAUCGGAGUUCUUAAAAUUAUUACAAACCAAGUUCUUCCAGUAGCGGAAGCUUCAUAGUUCGAAAUACAACACACACACUUAGUCUGAUACAGUGCCAUAGUUCGGUCAUUCCCACAAAAGCAGAAGAGAAGAUGGAGUGACCAUCGCCUUUGGUGUAGUCAUCACCCAUGGCUAGGUAUAGACAGAGGAUGCAAUAACCAUAGUACAUUUGACCAUCUACAAAACAACAUGGGAGUAGAACCCUGAGUACGAGAAUGUACUCAGCUAGACUUACCUGUCAUAAACUUAAAAUAAAGACUCUUCAAGGAUCAUGAAGGCUAUAUAGUGGGGUAGCUGACAACCAUUUUGCAUAACCGCAGGAUUUUAUUACCAUAACCUACAUAAAUCUUUCUUCUUGUAAUUUGCUCAAGUUGAAAGUAUCAUUACCUAUUAUCUAGGUUUGCACCUGCACUAUUACAAGCAAGUAUAGUGAUAUGAUAGUACCUCAUCAUAGCAUUCUUAAAACCAUUUAUCAUUAUAACCCAAGUGUUCCAUAGUCCUUACUACGAGGACGAAGCUCAUGUCAAGUGCUCACUAUCUAGGAGCGAUGGCGAUUCGAAUCGAUUUCUAACCAGCUGGCGAGUUUAUUCCCCACACAAACCUCACUCACUGAUCAAGUGAGCUACAGAUCACUGUAUUGCACUAUCCAGGACCAAUUCGCGGGUUCGACAGGCACCGCCCGUACCCGAGGACCGUUCCGGCGAUCGAGGUAUCAAAGGUAUACCAAGGUUGCGCGCCGCGCCCUAGUCGUUCUCCUCAACCAUCACCAAUACAGCGCGUACAUCGGGCCGAUUCCCGGCCCGGAUAGUGCUCAGGCUUCGCAGUCGGAACGACUUAUCCUUCCAGCUAAAUGUGGGGCAUGCGUUCAACAUGACAAGAGGGCCGUCAACGAUCGGUCCUUAAUUGACCCAGUCAGGGGCACUAUGGUCAACCCACCAUAAGACCCUGCCCGGUCUACAAUUCCAUUCACACUUGGUUAUUCUUUUCCCCAAAGCAACCACUGCUUAAUUAGGCAGGUAUCCACCUGUAUCUUGCAGGUGACAGGGAAUCACCCGAAUUCUACCGGACUAAGCAAGCUAAGCAUAGCCUCUGCGCCUAUCUACAUAGGACAAGGUAGAUAAACGAGUAGGGAUAACAAGGAGUACAUAUGCAUCAAUGGUAUCAACAAUUCCUAUCACUUAAAUGCAGUAUAGUAGAACAAGCAUAGCAUAUCAUGUAAGUUAGCGAGAAUAGGGAGACUUAGAAUGCUUCGGGGCUUGCCUUUCUCAAACGUGCUGGGCCGGUGAUCCGGACACUCCUGUAGCUCCUCUCCGGGUUCCGGUGCUUCCGGAGGUUCCUGCUCCUGAAUCUCCUCUGGCCCCUCGGGUCCCACCUCGUUCUCCUGCGAGCCUGUAUGAUGCAUGUGUGCUCAUGAGUGGAGUGCGAGAUGCCCGAGUGGAUGCUUGUAUGAGAAGGUACCAAAUGAUCAUGACAUGAUGCAUAGGUGAUUAACUUGGUCAUGCUCAUUACAAGGUAGUCAACAUCAUCCAAGAACAGACAAUUGAAUUAAACAUCUAUUGCAUUCUCUUCUACCAAUUGUUUUCAAGUGUAACCAGCAACCCACAUGAUGCUUCAAAAAUACACCAAACCCCUUUUUAUUCUAUUUAACCCAUAUAUAACAAUUCAUAAUUUUCUUUAUUUAUUUCUAGGCCCAUCAAAAUUUGCAUGCAGUUCUGUUCAUCCAUAAUUUCCACAAAAAUUACAGGAGACUUCCAGUCAAGCAUAAAGUCUACUAUAAUUUUUUCAUAAUUUUUGGAUACUUAUUUUGAGCUAUAAAAAUCACAAGAUUAUUACAUAAAGGCAAGUACAAUUACUCUACUAUGGUAUAAGUGACAAACAGCAGAUUUCAUAUUUUUACAAUUUGUCUAAUAUCAUAGGAAACAUCCACAAAAAUUUCCAGACUUAUUGCAUGAUCCAAAUUUUUAUUAAAAAUCAUAAACCACUGCCAUGCAAGCAUUUAAAUCACUAUAAAUUCAUUUAUACACCAAAUAAUGUGUAGCAAUAUUUUCCCAGUGAGUUAACAUACAUGCAGAGCCAACAAAUCAAGUUUCACAUUUUUCUGAGCCAUAUUUUAAUUACUAUGCAUUUUCUAAGUUUAGCAAAAGCAUGGAUUAAUUAUUUCUGUCCAGAAAAGGUGUUCAAACAUGACAUGCAAUUACAUCAAACUGUAGAUCUGAAAAUAUAGAGCACACCAAAAUUUAUUUCACCAAAUUUGGAGUUGUAGAACUCAAGAUAUGGAUUUUACAAGUUUUAAAUUGAUUUCUGGAAAACCUUUUCUGAAAAUCAAUUCGAAAAUGGGAUCAAAAACGCUAAAGACACCCAGAUCUACACCCAACGCGGUCCCCCUGCGGCUGACAGUGGGCCUCUGACCCCACUGGUCAGCGAGACCGAGAGGGAGAGCACCUCCGACGAGCAGAUCUCGCCGGCGAUGAGGUUCCCCGCCACGGGGUGAGCACCAUCGUGCUCCCCGCAGCGAGGCGCACCCAGCGUUACCCUCGGGUUGGCCGGAGGAUGGUCGGAGCACCUCCGACGAGCAUGCAUGGCGGCACGGCGGCGCUGCUCGCCGUGGCCAGGCUGCUCCGGUGCGGUAGAACAUGCGCAAGGGCUCCUCCGAGCUUCCCCGUCGCACUACGGAUCUAACGCGCCAAGAAGCAAGCAAAACGGGGCAGAAACGAGCGAGGUUCGACGCGGCGGAGCUCUCCGACGAGGUCGGAGCAACUCCGAUGAGUGAUUCAUGGCGUUCGACGGGCUCUCACCUCGGUAGAGCAUUCGCAGGAGCUUACCGCGACGACGGCGAGUGCGCUGGUGGUUUCGGCGUCGAGAUUGGGGCACUGGAGUGGCCGGCGGUGAGCAGCGGAGCUGCUCCGGCGAUGGCGCUGCGGCGGAGCUCCUACGGCUGCGGUUGCGCUCGCGAGUGGAGGGAGGAGGGAGAGAGGCGCGGGCGACAGAGCGAAUGGAGUGGCCUAGGAGCCCGGGCCGGCGUCCCGACCAGGUGAAGCCGGUCGGCCGCGGCGCGCUCCUCGCCUGCGUACUACCGCCGUGUGGCCGACGCUGGCUGGGACGAGGCGGGCGUCCGCACGCGGGAGAGAGGGAGAGGGGGAGGCAGGCUGGGCCGCUGUCUCGGCCGAAAGGGAGGCGGGGUUGGCCCAGCAGCGCCUGCCCCUUUUCCAUUUUUUUUGAAUUUCUUUUCUCAAAUUAUUUUCUAAAUUCAUUUAGACCAAUUUAAAUUCAUUUUCACCUCUUUCUCCCUAAAAGCAAAGUUAUUCCAAAACAAAAACCCUACAACUUUGUUUUAAUAAGCAAGGCCAAAUUCCAAGUAGAAUUUGAAUUACCAAUUAAAAGUAGUUCUAGGUUUUCAAAUAAAUUCAUUUUGGGGGAUUUUGUAUAAAUUCCAUUUCUCAAAUUCUAUUGCUCCAAAAAUUGCACAAAAAUAUUUUUAAACCUUCUUACACAUAAAUAAACCUAGUUUGAAUAUUCCACAAUUUUAGAAUCAAGCAUCAUAUUUUUAACAUAUUGAAAGCACAUAGAAUAAAACACAUAAAAUCAUAUUUUGGGAUGAAUGACAUGCUCAUGAUGCUAUGCUUGAUGAGAAUGCUUAUGCAUUGCUUUGGUAAGGCUAAGUGCAUGCUUAACACCUAGGGUGUUACAGCCCUUCCCCCCUUAGGGAAAUCUCGUCCCGAGAUUUGGGUUACUAACCAUUUCUUAUGAAAUUUUGGAUAAACUGUUUUUAGAUAAUCCUCAGUUUCCCAGGUGGCAUCCCGAUCGUCAUGAUGACUCCACACCACCUUGUAUGUUCUGACAACUCUGUUUCGGGUUACUCGUUCUUUGGUAUCCACAAUUCCCACUGGCUGCUCUUUAUACUCUAAGUCUGCUUUUAUUUUGAUCCCUCGAGGUUCAAUCCUCUGUUCAGGCACUUUCAAACAUUUCCGUAGUUGCGACACAUGGAAGACCGGAAAGAUCGAACUCAAUUCUUCAGGCAACUGAAUCUUGUAGGCCACGGGGCCUUUCCUCUCCAGUAUUUGAUACAGUCCCACAUAUCUGGGUGCAAGCUUGCUUCGAACUCGGAAAUGUUGAACUUUCUUCAGUGGCGUAACCUUGAGGUACACAUAGUCACCUACUUUGAAUUCAAGUGGCCUUCUCCUCUUAUCAGCAUAACUCUUUUGUCGCGAUUGUGCCGCUUGCUUAUGUUGCUGUAUGAUUUGCACCUUUUUCUCUGCUUCAUUCACGAAGUCGAUACCGUAGUAUCUCCUUUCACCAGGUUCAACCCAAUUUAACGGAGUUCUACACCUUCGACCAUACAAAGCUUCGAACGGAGCCAUCUUGAUACUCUCUUGGUAGUUGUUAUUGUAUGAGAAUUCAGCCAGAGGUAACCAUGACUCCCAUGAUUCCUUGGAUGAUAGCACACAGGCCCUCAGCAUAUCUUCUAACACUUGAUUUAGCCUCUCAGUUUGACCUGAGGUUUGGGGAUGAUACGCGGUGCUUCUUAUUAGACUGGUCCCCAAACUCUUAUGCAUUCGCUCCCAAAAGUGAGCGAUGAACUGUGGUCCUCUAUCUGAUAUGAUGGUCUUGGGAAUACCAUGCAACUUGACAAUCUCGGCCAUAUAUAUAUCGGCAUACUCGGGAGGUCUGUAUGUGUUCUUAACUGGGAUGAAAUGAGCCGACUUGGUUAAUCGAUCUAUGAUUACCCAAAUCGAGUCAUUCCCCUUCCUCGUGGUUGGUAAACCUGUGAUAAAGUCCAUGCUGACCUCUUCCCAUUUCCACUCGGGAACUGAUAACGGUUGCAACAGACCUACAGGUUUCAUAUGGAUGGCCUUAACUCUGCAACACGUGUCACAACGGGCCACAUAUGCGGCUAUUUCUUUCUUCAUCUUGGUCCACCAAAAGUGGGGUCUUAGGUCUUGAUACAUUUUACUACUGCCAGGGUGAAUAGAAACCUUAGAGAUAUGGGCCUCAUCCAUGAUACGAUUCUUCAAUUCCCGAUCCUUCGGGACUACUAACCGAUGUUGAAACCACAGUACCCCUUUUUCAUCAACUCAAAACUGAGUUUUUGGGUCAUCUUUGAUCUUCUCUUUGAUGUGGAAAAUACCCUUGUCUGUUUUCUGACCUUCAAUGACUUGACUCUCGAGCGAACAACUAAGUUGUAUGUGACAUAAGACUUCAGGAUGCAUGAGGUUAAAACCAUCUUCAAACAACGGUUGAACCACCUGAUAGUGCGGUUUACGACUCAAAGCGUCUUCUACUACAUUAGCUUUGCCUGGAUGAUAGUGAACUUCCAGAUCAUAGUCCUUGAUUAGCUCUAACCACCGUCGUUGCCUCAUAUUCAGCUCGGACUGAGUGAAGAUGUACUUCAAGCUCUUAUGAUCGGUAUAGAUAUGACACUUAUUUCCCAGCAAAUAGUGUCUCCAAAUCUUCAAAGCGUGCACUACUGCUGCUAACUCAAGGUCGUGAGUUGGGUAGUUGACUUCGUGCUUUCUCAACUGUCAUGAAGCAUAAGCUAUCACUCUGCCAUCUUGCAUCAACACACACCCCAAGCCACUUUUCGACGCGUCGCAAAACACAUCAAAAGGCUUCUCGAUAUUGGGUUGCGCCAGAAUGGGAGCAGUGGUUAGCAACUUUCGCAAGGUGCGGAAGGCUAGCUCACACCCCUCCGUCCAGACAAACUUAUGAUCCUUUUGUAACAAACUGGUCAUUGGCUUAGCAAUCUUGGAGAAGUCAGGUAUGAAACGACGAUAAUACCCGGCCAGACCAAGAAAACUUCUAACUUCUGAGACAGAAGUUGGUGCCUUCCAGUCCAUGACUUCCUGCACUUUUGACGGAUCCACAACAAUCCCUUCUUUAGAUAGAAUGUGCCCCAGGAAUGGAACUUUCUUCAACCAGAACUCACACUUGCUGAACUUGGCAUAUAACUGAUGCUCUCGUAAUCGUGUUAACACGAUUCUCAGAUGCUCGGCGUGAUCUUGCUCAUUUUCUGAAUAAACCAGAAUAUCAUCGAUAAACACCACAACAAACUUAUCUAAUUCUGGCAUAAAGACUGAAUUCAUCAGAUACAUAAAGUAUGCAGCAUUUGUCAACCCAAAGGACAUGACAAGAUACUCAUACAACCCAUAUCUGGUGGAAAAAGCAGUCUUCGGUUUAUCCUGCGGACGAAUCUUGAUUUGGUGAUACCCAGACCUCAAAUCUAUCUUGGAAAACACUUUUGCCUUGGACAACUGAUCAAACAAGAUAUCAAUCCUUGGCAAAGGAUACUUAUUUUUGAUGGUCACUACAUUUAGCGGACGAUAGUCCACGCACAUGCGCAAAGACUGAUCCUUCUUUUUCACGAACAACGCUGGACAACCCCAUUCUGAUGAACUUGGCCGGAUGAACCCUUUAUCCAGUAACUCCUUUAGUUGAUUCUUCAACUCAGCAAGUUCGUUUGGUGGCAUCCGGUACGGCCUUCUAGAUAUUGCUGUUGUACCUAGUAUCAACUCGAUUGCAAACUCUACUUCCCUAUCCGGAGGAAGUCCUGGCAAUUCCUCGGGAAAAACAUCAUGGAACUCACAUACCACGGGUAUGUGUUCUAGUGGAACCACCUGUACUGCACACGAAAGACUGGCGAAGUCUAACCGUCGGGGUAGCUUGACCUGAAGCACACCCUUCCCUUGCGGGUCUCUGAGGGAAAGAGUUCUAUUCCCGGCAUCUAUAACCGCGCCCCAGUCAGUCAUCUUUUUCAUUCCAAUGAUGACAUCCAAAACCAGCCCUAGCAUGACCACAAGGUUUACGCGAAACCUCCGGCCACUGAUAUCCAAGGUAACUCCUGUUACUGUUUUAUUAGUCAACACAUCAGCUCCGGCUGAGCUGAUGUGAUAGCCAUAACCCAACUCAGUAACUGGCUGGUCAUGCUUUUGUGCAAAUGCUUGGCUCAUGAAUGAAUGCGAUGAUCCAGAAUCAAACAAAACAACUGCAAGAUGUUGGUUGACAGGAAACAUACCAGCUGUUACUGGUUCUCCUUCCGGGAUCUCCUCGAUUGAGGUAUGGUGCACACGAGCUGGAUAGGUUGGCUGCUGCCUCUUGGGGUAGGUACAUUCCUUAGCAAAGUGCCCCAUCUUGUGGCAGUUAUAGCAUGGACCCUUGGGCGCAUUGUUGGCGGCAGGUGCCGCAGCUUGAAUUGCCUUUGGCUUGGCAGGAGCUAUUGCCACCUUGUACGGCUUCUACUGCGUUGGAUGCCCGGUGUUCCUUCUCUGUGGCGGUCGGAACCUAGCACCUGGGGCAGGAGGACGAUACUGUUGUCGCCCCGCCACUGGUGCCAUAGGCUGGGAUGAUCCGGCUUCAAAAGCCCUCUUACGUGACUUGGAUGCACUGUAGUUGUUGUUAUUGUUCUCCUGGGUCAGGCAGUCAUUGAUAUAGGCAUUGAAGGUAGCCCUAGCUCCUGUACCCAUGGUCUUUAGCAUCUUUGGAUUCAAUCCUCUCUAGAAACUAGCAAUCUUCUUGGCCUCCGUGUUCACAAACUCAGGGGCGUAGCGAGCGAGAUUGUUGAAAGCAUGUAGAUACUCCUUCACAGAUUUCGUCCCCUGGGACAGCCACAUGAAUUCCCCAACCUUCAUUUCAACCACACCCGGAGGAAUGUAAUUUCCCCAGAAAGCGGUGGUGAAGCGGUUCCAGGUGAUUGGGGUCACCUCUGGGUAGGUAGUACGAUGAUGGGACCACCAAAUUCCAACGGGUCCUUGCAACUGAUGUGCCGCAUACUCAGCCUUGAGUUCUUCUGUCAUCUGAAGAAGACGAAACUUCUUCUCCAUAGUGUUAAUCCACUCAUCAGCUUCAAGCGGUUCCAAAGCCUCCUUGAAGACUGGUGGCUUGGUAUCCAUGAAGUCCUUGAAAGAGCUGUACUGAUUGACUUCACCGCCGCCCUGGUUAUCCCCACGACGGGUGUUGUCAGCUAUGUUACGCAGAGCCUCUUCCAUGUUGCGCUGCAUCUGUUCCAUGUUGCGUUGGCUCCCCAAAAACUGCGCGAAAAACACGUCCGCAGUGUACGGAGGGGGCGGUGGUGGUGGUGUUGGUGCUCUGUCCUCAUCCCGUUGAGCCCCACCUCUGGACGUACCUGCUCCAAGACCCGGUUUGCUGUUACCCCCGCCACGUGUUUGCACCAUCUACAUACGUCAAUGAUAAGCAAUCGUUAGGAGUUGCCAUCAGCGGUAGAAAUGUGUAGAAUCAUGCCGUACUGAAUUUACUGAGGGAAUAAAUUCGCACAAUAAACAGAGGCACAACAAUUCAUCAUCUACGCACAACAUCACUAAUAGAUUACUUAACAUUCAAGCAAUAAGGUUCACGUACAUCCAAAUUUGCCAGCAUACAUACACUGGACUUUCAGUGUCAUCUCAUAAGUCUUACAUAGCCCAGAUCCAAAAGUACAAGACAUGCCAUGCAACAUACAACACAAAAGAAAAAGGACUAGCUCUAGAGCCCUAGCAUCUACUCGCUAUGGUCACUGUCCAUGCCGGAGCCAUCCUCGUCCUCAUCUCCACUAGCAGCUGCUCCUAUCUCGGGAUCCUCAUCCAUCUCGUCCUCAGAGUCUAGCUCAGCUGCUCCAGGCAGGUGGUGAGGGUGGAGCUAGUUAUGCAGCUGGUGGAUCUCCUCAUGCAAGUUCUCAUUGUACUCCUCAGCAUUAGCUAGCUGCUGCUCUAGCUCCAGCUGUCGGGCCCUCAGAGUGUCCUCCUCGUGCCAGGCUUCAUUCCUCUGACCAAGCACAUGGACUAGCAUGCGCUCGCAGUUCCUGUGAGCAGUAGUCACCCCAUCUCUCUGCUCUUGCACUGCAAGCAGGUCCUGGCUCAGCUCACUAUUCUGCUGGACUGCCUGGUCUCUCUCGGGUCACGUGGGCCAACUCCGCCUGUAGCCUCUCAACCUCAGAGUCGAACUCAGGCUACAACUGGCGCUUCUCAUCCUGGACGGUGAGAAGAGACCCGGACAAGCGACCCAAACAACGCUCUAGGGCUCCAUAGGUCUUCAUCAAAGCGUACAUGGCACUCAUAGCUGCGCUGUCACUGUGCUGGUCCUCAUCCGCACUCCUCUCUAGAGCGUUCACCUCGGACUGAUCCCACACCGAAGUGUAGGGGUCACCCCGGGGAAACACUCCAGCGAAGGCGUGGGCCAGCUCCUGUGGAAACCUCUCCAUGAGGUCCCUCAGAACUGCGAAAGCUGCCCUGCUGGCACCGUGGAAAGGCAUGGCACCUCGGGACUCAUACACCUAGCCGCCCCAGGCGGGGUCACCUCCACUAGUAGGAACAGUUGCCUCGAUCCCCACCAGGGUCUCGUCACCAAGCGGCUCCUUAUCCCAAUAGUAGCGAGGCUCCCUUCCUUCACGAUACCCCAUCGAGCUGAGCACUCUCCAAAGCAAAGUGGGCAUCCCAAACUCCUCCAGGAACUUGCUCUUAUGUCGCGAGCUCCUAGCUGCCAACAGAUGGCGAGGGGCCCGCCCACCAGUGGACUUGCGAGCGGUGAGCCUAGUGCGCGCCAUCUGCUGCAAAUGGAAUACCUUGGGUAAGAGCGAGGAUUAUCUUUAAUUAUUUUAUUUAGAAUUGGGACAGAUUAAAUUAAGGGGGAAAGUGAGCAAUGAUAUGAAAUGAACAUGAUGCAUGCACGAAGUUACGAUCCCACAAACUUAAGGAACACAAGUUAGCACUAAGCGAUAUAUGCGGUGGCACACAGCGUUCUCUCAUAACGUAACUAGCGCUCUAAGCGAGAACGUGGUUAGCAUACCUGUAGAAAACUCAUUUCAGCCCACCCACAGUAUGCUCAUGCAGAACAAGAAUUUUAAAACUAUACACCCCACAUACACAGACACCCGUCCAUGCAUAUGAUGUGUCACUACCCACAUCAUCGCCCUAAUGACGGCAUCGCCUCUCAGGACGUUAUUCCCAACAUGCGGUACUGUUCCCAAAACACACCAAAACAUGUGUGCAUGACACAGCACCUAACAACACUCCCCUAGACCGGCAGUGUAUCCGAUCAUGCUCUCACAGCUCCCACUUACCGCGGCGUAGAGGAAAAAUGGAUCCAUACAUUACCACUCAAAUGAAUGGUACUCAUACCAUUGCACGCCGUAUGAGCGACGAAAUAGAAAUAUGAUGCAUUAACCCCCAAGUCAGUACUUAACUAGCCACCUUAGAGUCCUUAACUGGGCAUAAAGGAUAUGACCAUGGCACACUAGAUAGUUUUCCAAAACUUAGUUUAACACCUUGAUCAUUAUUAAUUAAUAAAAUCUUUUAUUAAACCGGUUUAGAUUUAGUUUAGAACGUACUUAUGAACAGUAACUCGCUAAACCUUGCUCCGAUGCCAUCUGUAACAGAACCGACCAAAUUAUAAGAGAUUAAGCCUAACAGUGACCAUUUGCAUAGUCCAACCAUCGAGCUUAAGCCCAUAUAAACCCGGUAGUCUGUGAAACUCGAAGGAUUUCAAACCCAAUAUCGUAGAGACAGCCAAGAUCGUAAUAAGUUUAGCGGUCGCCAUCCACAGAUACAUCCAGAUUACAACAUUCAUAAAAUACAUCGGAGUUCUUAAAAUUAUUACAAACCAAGUUCUUCAAGUAGCGGAAGCUUCAUAGUUCGAAAUACAACACACACACUUAGUCUGAUACAGUACCAUAGUUCGUUCAUUCCCACAAAAGCAGAAGAGAAGAUGGAGUGACCAUCGCCCUUGGUCUAGUCAUCACCCAUGGCUGGGUACAGACAGAGGAUGCAAUAACCAUAGUACAUUUGACCAUCUGCAAAACAACAUGGGAGUAGAACCCUAAGUACGAGAAUGUACUCAGCUAGACUUACCCGUCAUAAACUUAAAAUAAAGACUCUUCAAGGAUCAUGAAGGCUAUAUAGUGGGGUAGCUGACAACCAUUUUGCAUAACCGCAGGAUUUUAUUACCAUAACCUACAUAAAUCUUUGUUCUUGUAAUUUGCUCAAGUUGAAAGUAUCAUUACCUAUUAUCUAGGUUUGCACCUGCAAUAUUAUAAGCAAGUAUAGUGAUAUGAUAGUACCUCAUCAUAGCAUUCUUAAAACCAUUUAUCAUUAUAACCCAAGUGUUCCAUAGUCCUUACUACGAGGACGAAGCUCAUGUCAAGUGCUCACUAUCCAGGAGCGAUGGCGAUUCGAAUCGAUUUCUAACCAGUUGGCGAGUUUAUUCCCCACACAAACCACACUCACUGAUCAAGUGAGCUACAGAUCACCGUAUUGCACUAUCCAGGACCAAUUCGCGGGUUCGACAGGCACCGCCCGUACCCGAGGACCGUUCCGGCGACCGAGGUAUCCAAGGUAUACCAAGGUUGCGCGUCGCGCCCUCGUCGUUCUCCUCAACCAUCACCAAUACAGAGCGUACAUCGGGCCGAUUCCGGCCCGGAUAGUGCUCAGGCUUCGCGGUCGGAACGACUUAUCCUUUCAGCUAAAUGUGGGGCAUGCGUUCAACAUGACAAGAGGGCCGUCAACGAUCGGUCCUUAAUCGACAUAGGCAGGGGCACUAUGGUCAACCCACCAUAAGACCCUGCCAGGUCUCCAAUUCCAUUCCGUACUUGGUUAUUCUUUUCCCCAAAGCAACCACUGCUUAAUCAGGCAGGUAUCCACCUAUAUCUCGCAGGUGACAGUGAAUCACCCUUCUACCAGACUAAGAAAGCUAAGCAUAGACUCCACGCCUAUCUACAUAGGACAAGGUAGAUAAACGAGUAGGGAUAACAAGGAGUACAUACGCAUCAAUGGUAUCAAGCUAUUCCUAUCACUUAAAUGCAAUAUAGUAGAACAAGCAUAUUAUAUCAUGUAAGUUAGCGAGAAUAGGGAGACUUAGAAUGCUCCGGGGCUUGCCUUUCUCAAACGUGCUGGGCCGGUGAUCCGGACACUCCUGUAGCUCCUCUCCGGGUUCCGGUGCUUCCGGAGGUUCCUGCUCCUGAAUCUCCUCUGGCCCCUCGGGUCCCACCUCGUUCUCCUACGAGCCUGUAUGAUGCAUGUGUGCUCAUGAGUGGAGUGCGAGAUGCCCGAGUGGAUGCUUCUAUGAGAAGGUACCAAAUGAUUAUGACAUGAUGCAUAGGUGAUUCACUUGGUCAUGCUCAUUACAAGGUAGUCAACAUCAUCCAAGAACAGACAAUUGAAUUAAAUAUCUAUUGCAUUCUCUUCUACCAAUUGUUUUCAAGUGUAACCAGCAACCCACAUGAUGCUUCAAAAAUACACCAAACCCCUUUUUAUUCUAUUUAACCCAUAUAUAACAAUUCAUAAUUUCCUUUAUUCAUUUCUAAGCCCAUCAAAAUUUGCAUGCAAUUCUGUUCAUCUAUAAUUUCCACAAAAAUUACAGGAGACUUCCAGUCAAGCAUAAAGUCUACUAUAAAUUUUUCAUAAUUUUUGGAUUCUCAUUUUGAGCUACAAAAGUCACAAGAUUAUUACAUAAAGGCAAGUACAAUUACUCUACUGUGGUAUAAGUGUCAAACAACAGAUUUCAUAUUUUUACAAUUGGUCUAAUAUUAUAGGAAAUAUCCACAAAAAUUUCUAUACUGAUUGCAUGAUCCAAAUCUUUAUUAAAAAUCAUAAACCACUGCCAUGCAAGCAUUUAAAUCAUUAUAAUUCUUAUAUACACCAAAUAAUUUGUACCAAUAUUUUCCCAGUGAGUUAACAUACAUGCAGAGCCAACAAAUCAAGUUUCACAUUUUUCUGAGCCAUAUUUUAAUUACUAUGCAUUUUCUAAGUUUAGCAAAAGCAUGGAUUAAUUAUUUCUGUCCAGAAAAAUGUUCAAACAUGACAUACAAUUACAUCAAACUGUAGAUCUGAAAAAUAUAGAGCACACCAAAAUUUAUUUCAUCAAAUUUGGAGCUGUAGAACUCAAGAUAUGGAUUUUACAAGUUUUAAAUCGAUUUCUAGAAAACCUUUUCUGAAAAUCAAUUCGAAAACAGGAUCAAAAACGCUAAAGACACCUAGUUCUACACCCAACGCGGUCCCCCUGUGACUGACAGUGGGCCUCUGACCCCACUGGUCAGCGAGACUGAGAGGGAGAGCACCUCCGACGAGCAGAUCUCGCCGGCUGUGAGGUUCCCGGCCACGGAGUGAGCACCAUCAUGCUCCCCGUAGCGAGGCGCACCCAGCGGUACCCUCGGGUUGGCCGGAGGAUGGCCGGAGCACCUCCGACGAGCAUGCAUGGCAGCACGGCGGCACUGCUCGCCGUGGCCAGGCUGCUCCGGUGCGGUAGAACAUGCGCAAGGGCUCCUCCGAGCUUCCCCGUCGCACUACGGAUCUAACGCGCCAAGAAGCAAGCGAAACGGGACAGAAACGAGCGAGGUUCGACGCGGCGGAGCUCUCCGGCGAGGUCGGAGCAACUCCGACGAGCGAUUCACGGCGUUCGACGGGCUCUCACCUCAGUAGAGCGUUCGCAGGAGCUUACCGCGACGACGGCGAGUGCGCUAGUGGUUUCGGCAUCGAGAUUGGGGCACUGGAGUGGCCGGCGGUGAGCAGCGGAGCUGCUCCGGCGAUGGCGCUGCGGCGGGGCUCCUACGGCUGCGGUUGCGCUCGCGAGUGGAGGGAGGAGGGAGAGAGGCGCGGGCGACACAGCGAAUGGAGUGGCCUGGGAGCCCGGGCCGGCGUCUCGACCAGGUGAAGCCGGUCGGCCGCGGCGCGCUCCUCGCCGGCGUACGGCCGCCACGUGGCCGACGCUGGCUGGGACGAGGCGGGCGUCCGCGCGCGGGACAGAGGGGGAGGGGGAGGCAGGCCGGGCCGCUGUCUGGGCCGAAAGGGAGGCGGGGUUGGCUCAGCAGCGCCUGCCCCUUUUGCAUUUUUUUUUGAAUUUCUUUUCUCAAAUUCUUUUCUAAAUUCAUUUGGACCAAUUUAAAAUCAUUUUCACCUCUUUCUCCCUAAAGCAAAGUUGUUCCAAAACAAAAACCCUACAACUUUGUUUUAAUAAGCAAUGCCAAAUUCCAAGUAGAAUUUGAAUUACCAAUUAAAACUAGUUCUAUGUUUUCAAAUAAAUUCAUUUUGGGGAUUUUGUAUAAAUUCCAUUCCUCAAAUUCUAUUGCUCCAAAAAUUGCACAAAAAUAUUUUUAAACCUUCUUACACAUAAAUCAACCUAGUUUGAAUAUUCCACAAUUUUAGAAGCAAGCAUCAUAUUUUUAACAUGUUUAAAGCACAUGUAAUAAAACACAUAAAAUCAUAUUUUGGGAUGAAUGGCAUGCUCAUGAUGCUAUGCUUGAUGAGAAUGCUUAUGCAUUGCUUUGGUAAGGCUAAGUGCAUGCUUAACACCUAGGGUGUUACAGACAUGGAAACAUAAAUACAAGGGAUGCAAUGCCACUCACCAACAACCUUCAGAUUGAGCUCUUUGAUGUCUGGGGAAUAGACUACAUGGGUCCAUUUCCUCCAUCAAAGAAGUGUGAGUACAUCUUGGUGGCAGUAGACUAUGUCUCCCAGUGGGUAGAGGCAUUACCUUGCAAGCAUGCCGACAACGUCAGUUCAAAGAGGAUGUUUGAAGAAAUUAUAUUUCCAAGAUUUGGAGUCCCCAGAGUAGUGAUAAGUGAUGGAGGAGCACACUUCAUCGACAAACGCUUCAAGCAAUAUCUAUCAAAACAUGGAAUCCAUCACAACGUCGCUACCCCCUAUCAUCCUCAAACAAGUGGCCAAGCAGAGACUUCCAACAAAUAAAUCAAGAAUAUUCUUCAGAAGACAGUAAGUGAAAUGGGAACAGCGUGGAAAGACAAGUUACCCAAUGCACUCUGGGCAUACCGGACAGCAUACAAGACCCCAAUUGGAAUGUCCCCAUACCAAUUGGUGUACGGGAAGACUUGCCAUCUACCUGUUGAACUAGAGUUCAAAGCACAUUGGGCCAUAAAGAGAUGUAAUAUGGACCUAGAUGUUGCUGGAGAUUAUAGAAGAAUGCAACUAUCAGAAUUGGAAAAAUGGCGAGAGAAAGCAUAUCACAAUUCAAAGAUCUACAAAGAAAGAGUCAAAAGGUGGCAUGACAAGAGAAUCAAGAAGGAGUUCACACCCGGAGAUAAGGUAUUACUUUUUAAUUCUAGGGUGAAGCUUUUCGGGCAUGAAAAACUCCGGAGCAAAUGGGAAGGACCAUUCAAGGUAAUUAAUUCGUCAUCCCACGGAGCUAUCAUACUUCAAAAUGACGAAGGUACGUUAUUCAAGGUAAAUGGUCAACGUCUUAAAUUAUUUUUAGAGCCCAAUAAAGAAUUAGAAGAAAUAGACGUAGUCCAUUUUUACCUUCCCAUGGAGAACUAGAGCCCGACCUUUUUAGUCUGAUGUUUAUGGGUCAUAUAUAUAUAUUUCUAAAUAAUUUCGCAUCUAGAAACACGCUGGGGAAAGUGGGCCCACAGAGGGGCCACAGAGAGGGCGGGCGCCUAGAUCAGGUGGGCGGGCGCCCAGCUCCUGUUCCCCCUCGGUCCCGAUUUUCUCUGUUAUGGAAAAUGCACUUAUGGUAAUUCGAAUAAUCCCUCGGAUGGAAAGUUUCGCACACACAUCGACGGAAGCAACCCGAACAACCCAUAGAGGCACUUUUUGACCCCUAUAUAAACAGACCCCUGACCUCAGUUUUCAAACACCAAGCCACCAAGCCUUCUCUCCUUCAAUUUGAGCUUGAUUAGUUCCUUGCUGCUCCAAUGUCCGAGAAGUACCACGAUGAUUGGGAAGUCGUCCCCUUCAACCACAACAUGGAGCCUGUGGAAGACCCCGAUGCCCGUGCUCUCGUCCCGGCCAACACAGUGCGACAGCUAGAAGCCAUGCCAUUACGCCAACGCAGCUCCGCCCAAUCCUAUCAUGCUCAACCAGUUCUCACCGCAGCGGCACAACCCUCUCCUCAAGGGAUCAUCAUCCAAGAUGAAGACCACCAUCAAGGUGCCAACCGGCAUGAGGAUCCUUCCACCUAGACCCAAUGAGAGGGUCGUUGGAGUCAAGACCAACCGGAGCGGCGAGAUCAGCAGUAUUCGCUACACUACGGAGGAGGAAAGGCCUUACUUUGAAGGGAUUAGAGCAGCCAAAGUCCGUUUCAUCCCUCCAAAGGCAGCCCCGAAGCACGCUCUCAAUGCUUUUGAGACACCUCCCAAGCGUCGCAAGACUAUAAUGGAUAUUGAUGAGGACGUUCGCAGACUAGACAGAAUUAUCAUAGACCUCCAGUCCUCGAUUAAUUCCCUCACUAGGCAGCUCCCUAACCACAACACCAUUAUACUAGGCCUUAGGUAGGAUCUUGCCAGUGCCAACAAGAAGAUUAGGGAAUUAGAGCGCCGCUAAGUUAUUUAGAUUAGACCUUGAGGCAAUGCAUCUUAGUUAUCUAUCUUUAAAUUCGUUUUAGGUUUACUAUUAUCAUCAGUUUGAUAUCAGUUUGCUACUAGUAUUUUUUUAAUAAAUGCCUCAAGAUUAAUAAAGAGUAUUAUUAUUAUUAUUAUUAUUAUGUCUUGUGUGUCUCUACUUUAUUUUUGUGCAAGAAAGCAGAAAACAAGUAUGGGGGAGAUCCCUCAACAUGCCAAACACACUCCGACUACACCACUCCAUGAUUCAGGUACACACUCUGUGUUGACACUUGCUAACACCACUUGAAUACUAGGUUGUCAUCCCCAGCAUGGCACUAGAGUGUACUAUGGUAUUUAUACGAACACAGAUAAUCCGCAAGCGCACGGAUACCGUUGAAGCUUUUACCCGGUUAAAGGUUUUAUCGUAUCCACAGGGAAACGGGAGAACUGAUCUACGCUCUAACUUAACCAAGAUAAGUAAAUAGGUGUGAAUAGGAAAGAUGGUAGAAUCGAAUAAGAACAAUAUUAAAGGUAAGAUAACAGUGAGUGAUAAUAUGGGAAUAGAGAGUAGAGCAAUUCUAGUAUAUGGGCGAUGGUAGCAGAAUAGAGAGGAUAACUAUGGUUUCUCUACUUCAAAGGGGUAUGUCUAUGUCUGGGACGAACCACGUGAUAAGAGUACACCACAAAGGAUGCUUAUCCAUAGGCCGAUAAACCCUACCCGUCCUGCUAACGAGAGGUGGACUACAGGGGACCAACGUAACUGUCACCUACGCGGCCUACCACAUGAUCCAGCUAGUCAGGGGAUAUCCACAAGUAAUCUAGGUCUAAGCACCACGCUUACACCUAUACUACAACACUAACCUAUAGGGUCCUAUAGAUUAGAAGUACUCAAAAGAGUUGUGAACCAGAACAUACAUGAUUAGUAAUUGCAUAAUGAAUUAGAAGUAGAUUACCAAAGUCAUCCCAUGAGCAAGCUUGAUUAGAGCUUGAUCAUGGCGAAGUACAACCGGAGGAAGAACCGACAGGCCGGCCUCUCCUCUAAUCCUCCUUCACUCUCCAUCUCGCUACUAUCUAGAUUUACUCUAGUUUAGAGAAGAGAGGAGAGCUCUCAUCUCUAAACCCUAGCUUUUGCUCUGUCUAUGAAUAAUGAAUAAUGAUCAAGGGGUGCCUCCUCCAGGGGCCAGGGGGUCUGGUUUUAUAGUCCCCUCAAGUGAACCUGGGCCGUCGGAUCAAACUGACAUUGAUUGAAUGGUUAUUCUUGAUCAUUUAGGUCGGUGGAGCAUAAUCCGCGAGAUUGAGCGUGAUUGGCCGAAAAAGGUGGGUGGGCGCCCUAAGGACUUGGGCGGGCACCCUGUCCCUGACUCCGUUCGGUCUCCGCUUCCUUCCCGUGGCUUCUGGAGUCUUCUAGAUGUAAGAUAAUUGCGUGACACGUUGAUAUCUCUAUGUAAUUCCGACGUGUGGGCCUUUCUUCCUUAUUUCCUGAUAACCCCCUGCAGAAAUAGACAAACACCAAAACUCGUGGAAUUCUGUCAGAUAAAACCCUAAGUCUCGAUGUUGAUUUCAUUUGGAUUCUUUUAUUUGUUUAUUUGAUAGUUAAAUUUGAUACUUAAGGACCGUCAACAAACUCCCCCAAGCUUACCUCUUGCUCGUCCCUGAGCAAGGAUAGACUCAGCUAUGGAUCAUAAGUUGUUGCACUAUCUUUAAAAAUUGACGGUACACAUGCUUUUAAAUGAGGUCUUAUCUCUGAGUUAGAGUAAACUGUCAAGACUUAAAACUUACUUACUUUACCUUUCACCAUGGGACUUGUAACCGUCACUUCUGUCUUGAGUGGUUAAAAGAUAGAACAGUCCAGUCAAGUGCCAUGUCGCUUAUUCUUGAUCAGCUAUAGCUCUGGAGUUUUUGUAGAUUUUCAAAUAAAACUCAGAGAUUCCUUUGUAUGACUUUCUCGUAUCUCUCUUUUGUGGUAUUUCUGGAUCCGUACCAAGGCAGUGAUGGUAUAUGCCUUCUCUCAAAAUAUGUGGUAUUUGUGGUAUAAGGGAUAGUGACAUUGUCUUCUCUCUCACCCUACUCUAAUAAGGCUUUAAUAUCUGGAGCUCAUAGGUUUGAGAUAAAAUAUACAUACAUACAAGACAUUUAUUGUAUAGUCAAACCAUGGAUCCAAAGAAACAAAUCAAUAAGCCAAAUCAAGAUGUGCAUGUGUGGCGAAUGAAUAGUGUAUGGUGAUGAUGGUGAUGAUGAUGAUAACAAUGGUGAAAGUCUAAUUCUACUUUUGCUCUUUUGAGGGGAUAUAUACCUUCCUUGCUUUUUGAAACUUUAUGAGGAGAAUGAGAUGCUCUUCUUUUUCUUUUCUCUCAGAUGGGUAUCCUGUACCCCUAAUUCUAAUGUCGGACACUUGUCCAUUUUUACCUCUCGUCUCACUCUUUUUCUUUUCUUUCGUGGUAGUAGCAAGAUAACUUGAGCAUUUAUUUCACAAGGGAAAAACACAGAUGUUUUUGGCUAUUCUCUUCCGAAUUAGGAGUAGAAUAUUUUUAGGUGAUUUUAGAGAUGGAAAUGGAUGGAUAUAUGUGGAUGGUACUUCCGGAGUAGAAGUAGCAUAUAUAUGAGUGAACGUGCAAGUGAAUCUUGAUUUAACCACAUGACAAGCUCCUAAGGGUCUACACAGCUUGACCACACUCAAUGCUCAUAAGCAGUAAAUAAUAAAUGUGUGGCUCAAAGUCUAGCAAGCAUGUAUAUAUGGCUAUGGUAGGAAUUUAAACUUUCAUCAUACAGGAACUCAUCAUGCAACAUUUUAAAGAUUUUUCAAAGAUAAAAUUCUCCAGAAUUCUAGCAUCUCUAGGAAUAGAUAAACAGCAGCUCAACCUUCCCAUAUCAUAUCCGUUAACAACUUAGAUUUCAGAUCAAGUUUUCAUCCCACAAGUUUAGAUCUAGAGCAAGCUUUAAAUUAUAACAGUUAUGUCUAAACUUGAGAGAGAACUUCAAAUUUGCAAAUUAGGCAGAACAACUAUUCCUCAUAUCCAUGCUAGAGUUUUAUUAUUAAGAUUCAGAUUAGCAUAGCCACUUUAUUUAUUUAUUAAACACACUAAGCAAAAGAUAUAUAUAUAAGCACAAAAUAUUUAUUUGGUUUUUCAUAGUUUAUGUAUUUUAAUAUUCUAAUAUAAUAUAAGUAUAAAGGUAGGUAGAAAUACUUAGCGAGAUAAAUGGGGGUGCUCUCCCCCAAGCUGAAUUUUGACGUAAUUUCUCUUGAUGUAGCUAGCAGGUGGCAGAGGUGUAUUUGAAAGUCAGCAGCAUUCUGACAGCGAUUAGAAUGUCCUCCGUCUGCUAGUCUUCUUGAUUCUUAAAUUGUGUGGAGCUCAAAUAGACAACAAAGCUUGUGGAACUAAUUAAGUGUUAGCAUAAAUAUCUAGCCUUCAUCACGUUGAGCUUCCUCAAUAAAUAUUACUCCCUGUUUUUAUAUUUUUAUUUUAUAAAGUAGAAAAGAAAUAUUUAUUUUGUUUUUAUGCCACCACAGUGAAGGUACUUAUGGGUUUUAUGCCACUCGUAUACUCACAUGGGGCUUAGUAUUUUUUAACAUUUUUAUUUUCUUUUCAAGAUAGCAUGAUUAACUAAUAAUCUAUUUAAGGAAAGUAAAUAAUUAAAUGGGAAAGGGAAUGCAGAAAGGAUAAAUAUGGAUAACUACCAAUCUUACCUUUCGGCGAGGGUUCAAUGUUUUAAGUCUUCUUGUCAAGACUUCUCAUCGUGUUCAUUGUUCAGGUGCGUCAUUUGAUUCAGGUGCGGACCUUGACGUCUGCACCUUUUAAUACGGUGUCAACCAUGUUCUUCGUUUGCCCAGCAGUUCGAAGUGCGGUGUUAGCAGUAUCUUGCUCAGUGUGUUUGUGCUCGUAGUGUACCUGCUCAUAGAGACAAGGCAGAGAUCAAGUGCAUGGGCCCUGUUGGUGGAAAACACCAACAAAACUAAAAGUGUAUUUGUUCUUCUCUAACCUUAAGCAUAGUGAGCAAGACAAGUUGAUGGAUGAUAAGUUCAUGAGUGUAGCACUUAUAACAUUUGUCAGAUCAGAUCGCUCAACCUUAUGGAAAGAUAAUUUAUCUAUGUAUAUGUCUUUUUCUUUAUAUCUCUCAAUGAUUGAAUGUGUAACAUUUUAGCUCAUAUGAUUAGGAGUGUGGGAUCAUGGAGGUAGUACUAAGAACAUGGAUUAAAGGACUAAACAUGUUGAAUCAGUUGGGUUGGUUAAUCUAGAGUUGUAAAUCAUACACGUUUGUCUCUUUUAUUUAUAUGAACGCCAGAACCAAGGAGAAGCUUAUAAAAGUGAUAGUCAAGUAUCUUAAGAUGUUACCUUGCUCGAAGAGUGAUGGUACAGUAUCAUCUUGUGGAAGCUUUCCUUUCUUAGCGGUUGUGCGUCGUGUUUGUGGCACCCUCCAUGGAUCAUCUCUCUAUGAUGAAUGAGCUAUGUCCUUCUUGUGCAAAUUGUUAAACUUCAUGUGUCACACUCUCUUCGUAUCUUAUGUGAGUUUAUCUCAGGACUUCCCAAAUCGAUAUUGAAAGAUUUUCUGCAGGGGUUAGUCCGACAAAAUAUACCAAUAUCUACUCAAGCAGUUUUUUAGUUCAAUAACCAAACUAGACUCCAUGACUAAUCAGAUUAAGGAAGGCUAUUUAACCUAAGCACCAUGCUUAAUUUAAAUGCCAAUGGAAGUAUGGCGAGUACUUCCAAACCAACACUUGCUAGUAAAUAGACAAAGGUAGCAUGACAGCGUUUAUAGAGAUCUACUCAAGUGGAGAUGAAGUAGUGUGAUUAGUAUUUAACAAAUUGAGCAUGUGUCAAAGGUAGGGACAACCAGCAUAGCAACAUGGCAAAGGAUGUUUUUAUGUAAAGUACUCCCCCAAGCUUGAAUUUUGCAAAAUUCAAGUUUGGAUGAAUUUAAUUCAAUGUUGUAUGAUGAUUGGUUGGACAUACCUUGUACUUGUCAUUCAUCCGAUCUUCUUGCUCCAAUCUUAGAAAGGUUAGUGACAAGAAUACGCGAAGGAAUAUUUUUUUUACAAUUAUCCUUAUAUGCUCAAUACACAAGGUAAUGUUGCAAAUAAUUAAAGGCUCAUGUUACGAUCUGAUCAAUGCUUAUUUUAAGACACUAAGCUUGUCCUUGGGAAACCAUCAGUUUAUGUUGGCGAAGUGGUUUCCCCUCCGACACCAACCUAUAUCUAGAUCAACUCAACGAGAUCUGCAAUAUUUAUUAUAGACAUAUGCAUCGACAACCGCCCUUUUAAAGUUUUUAUAAAUAGAAAGGAAGAGGGGGUUGGAGAUCUCAAGUGUGGUGAUGUCGGAGAGACCAAUAGAUUGGGAAGAUGUUGCAUAUGAGCAUGGAGUAAACGAAGUGGCUAUGAAAUAAAUUCCAUGCUCAUUAAUGUUAUCUUCGUCUCUAAUCUGAAUGUUCGGAGUUUCUCCUGGAUUGGUCUCACCUAUGUCCUCUUCUGUAGUUGGAUGAAUCUCAUCUUCAAAGGGAGUCAAGAACUCACCAUUUGAAAUUAAGCCAAAGUCAGAACCCAUUAAGGCUUCUUCCUUAUCCAUCCAUUCUACACAUUCUAGCCAUUUAGAACUUGUGAUCAAAAUAGGGGAGGUGUUAGAAUUUUCUAUAUGGCUUAGCUCUCCUUCUAUGGCAUUACUUGACAUGCCAUCCUUAUGGUCUUCAUGACUCCUAUGGUUUGGUCGUCUUGGUGAAUUGCUAGGAUCAUCAUGAGACUGAAAAGAAGAGGGAUAAGAGGGAUCUCUAAGGUCAAGGAUGGAUUUAGAACUUGUGAACAUGGAAGGGGAGUAGAUAGAAUUGUCUAUAUGGCUUAGCUCUCCUUCACUUGAUAUGUCAUCCUCGACUUCUUCAUGAUAGGAACCAGGACAUUCUCUAAGAGAAACAUUAUUGCAAUGAUUUGAAUUAUCCCUGCUUAAAGGUCUCUUAUAGAACCAGAAGUCUAAACCAUCAGCAUCUAAAAGAUUUAAGGUUGGAAUUCCUUCCUCCCUUGGAGAAUUUUGGGGUAUUGAUGGUUUAGGAUCGAUAGCUAAAGUUUGGGAUUGAAGUGGUUGCGAUCUGGCUAUUGAAACUUCUUCUUCUUGUCUAGGAACUGGUUCUUUCUCUUUCUCAGGGAUAUAAAAGCUAGGAGACUUUCCGCUCAUUAAAUCAAUCAAAUUCCAAGCUUCACUAGCGGAUAGGUGGUGGAAAGAUCCUCCAAAGGCCGCAUGAAGGGUUUGCUUAUUUUUCCUACUAAGGCCCUCAAAAAAGUGAAUUAGAAGAACUUCUUCUGGAAUAGAAAGUUUUGGGCCAGUGAGAGUAAGGUUAAUAAAGCGGUCCCAUGAUUUGCCAAGAGAUUCUUCUUCCAGUCGUCUAAAAGAAAGAAUCUCACGCCGAAGUUCCACCACUUUGGAGAUUGGAAAAUAUUUAGAAAGAAAACUACUAUAUAACUCCUUCCAAUCUCUAUGAACACUCCCUACUUUGAGUUUAUACCAAUGUCUAGCUUUUCCCGUUAAAGAGAACGGAAAGAGCUUCCAUUUAAGGGUCUCAUCGGACAUGCCUUCUAUGCGAAGGAGGUCACAGACUCGAUAAAACUCUCUUAGGUGUGUGUAUGGGUUUUCCUCACCUUUUCCUGAGAAAGGUUGUUUUUGAAUAAAUUCUAUGUAUUCAGAGUCUAUCUCAAAACUAGAUGCUAUGAUAGGCUUUGAAGAUUUUGGUGGUUCGAGAUGUGUGCCCAUAGGUCUAUAAAAUUCAUAGAUAGACAUGUUUGAAUUCAUAAUAGACCAGAGAUCAAGGAUUAGAUAAGAAGAAAGAAUAGCAGAGAUGAGGCAAAGGAUAAAAGGAAAAUAUUUUUAUUUAUCCAUUUAUUUUUUAUAAAAUGAAUAAACUAGUUCGUAGUCAACUCAGCAACCGUUUCCCCGGCAACGGCGCCAAAAAUGCUUGUUGACACUUGCUAACACCACUUGAAUACUAGGUUGUCAUCCCCAGCAUGGCACUAGAGUGUACUAUGGUAUUUAUACGCACACAGAUAAUCCGCAAGCGCACGGAUACCGUUGAAGCUUUUACCCGGUUAAAGGUUUUAUCGUAUCCACAGGGAAACGGGAGAACUGAUCUACGCUCUAACUUAACCAAGAUAAGUAAAUAGGUGUGAAUAGGAAAGAUGGUAGAAUCGAAUAAGAACAAUAUUAAAGGUAAGAUAACAGUGAGUGAUAAUAUGGGAAUAGAGAGUAGAGCAAUUCUAGUAUAUGGGUGAUGGUAGCAGAAUAGAGAGGAUAACUAUGGUUUCUCUACUUCAAAGGGGUAUGUCUAUGCCUGGGACGAACCACGUGAUAAGAGUACACCACAAAGGAUGCUUAUCCAUAGGCCGAUAAACCCUACCCGUCCUGCUAACGAGAGGUGGACUACAGGGGACCAACGUAACUGUCACCUACGCGGCCUACCACACGAUCCAGCUAGUCAGGGGAUAUCCACAAGUAAUCUAGGUCUAAGCACCACGCUUACACCUAUAAUACAACACUAACCUAUAGGGUCCUAUAGAUUAGAAGUACUCAAAAGAGUUGUGAACCAGAACAUACAUGAUUAGUAAUUGCAUAAUGAAUUAGAAGUAGAUUACCAGAGUCAUCCCAUGAGCAAGCUUGAUUAGAGCUUGAUCAUGGCGAAGUACAACCGGAGGAAGAACCGACAGGCCGGCCUCUCCUCUAAUCCUCCUUCGCUCUCCAUCUCGCUACUAUCUAGAUCUACUCUAGUUUAGAGAAGAGAGGAUAGCUCUCAUCUCUAAACCCUAGCUUUUGCUCUGUCUAUGAAUAAUGAAUAAUGAUCAAGGGGUGCCUCCUCCAGGGGCCAGGGGUCUGGUUUUAUAGUCCCCUCAAGUGAACCUGGGCCGUCGGAUCAAACCGACAUUGAUUGAACGGUUAUUCUUGAUCCUUUAGGUCGGUGGAGCAUAAUCCGCGAGAUUGAGCGUGAUUGGCCGAAAAAGGUGGGCGGGCGCCCUAAGGACUUGGGCGGGCGCCCUGUCCCUGACUCCGUUCGGUCUCCGCUUCCUUCCCGUGGCUUCUGGAGUCUUCUAGAUGUAAGAUAAUUGCGCGGCACGUUGAUAUCUCUAUGUAAUCCCGAUGUGUGGGCCUUUCUUCCUUAUUUCCUGAUAACCCCCUGUAGAAAUAGACAAACACCAAAACUCGUGGAAUUCUGUCAGAUAAAACCCUAAGACUCGAUGUUGAUUUCAUUUGGAUCCUUUUAUUUGUUUAUUUGAUAGUUAAAUUUGAUACUUAAGGACCGUCAACACUCUGCACACUUUACGUUACACACACAUAUAUCUUGGAUUAUGCAGAAUAUUGUCUCCGACAUGAUAAAUUAAAAAGAUUAAAAUAUUUCUAAUUAUGAUUAAUCUCAAUCUGUGAUAUUUCCUAAAAACUUGCAAUUAUUAUAAAAUCAUUUUAAAACCCUGUGUUACUUAAGACAGUAUGGAAUGUGAGAUGGUAGAGUAUGAGUUUCUUAUUCUUGAUAUCAUUGUUGCUUGGAGAAUUUAUUUCAAAAUAUUCAAAAUUUUAGCUACCAUCCUCAGUGUUUUAUAUGCCUGAUAAAACUGAAAAUAUUAAUUAUAAUUAUAAAAGCUAUCUCUUCUGUAUUGAGUUUGUUCAAAAUGAGUUAGACCCUUGUUGAGAGAUUUAUCAUGCUCCUAAGAUCAAGACAUUUAUUCAGAAAGAUUCACUCUUCCGAAGUAUUAUUGCAUUAGAGGCAUGGGCUAUGCAAAAAUAGAGAUAUUUCGAGGAAAUAAAAAGGAGCAAGUGCUCGACAACCUCGCAGAAAAAUGGACAAGUGUCCGGUAGUAGAAUUAGGGGUACCUCGGUAUCCACUUAAAAAAAGAAGAAGAAAAAUGAUAGCCCAUGGUCCCUCUAAUAAGCAAUAUGCCAGCAAGAGUUGACAAAGAUUUUAAUUUCCAAAGUCUUUGAUCUAAGAGUAUGACAUUCCCCUCCUCGGAUCCCGUUUUGAUCAGGAAAUAAAUGCAAAGUAAGUAUGCUUGAGAAUUUUUGCAAAAUAAAACAACCUCAGUGAGAUAUAUAAAAGAUAAUGAGUGAUCUGAGAAGAACCUAUGUGGAUAAAAAGGUAUGCUAACUUUCUUUCAAAAAUAUACAAAAACUCCAAGUGACAGGAUUGAGAAGAAAGGAUCUUUACUCUUAACCAUAAACAUCCCUGACUAUAGUACACAGUGGAAUUUUAACACCCUGCAAAUAAAAAGAAUGUUUUAAAUGUUUACCCCAGAUAUUUUUCUUAACCAUCCUUCUCUCGAGGAUGAGUAAAAGCCUAAGUAUGGGGGUAUUUGUUGACGGUUCUUAACUAUCCAUUUUAAUUAUUAAAUAAACAAGGGAAAGGACCAAUAUGCAACCAACACCUAGAAUUAGGGUUUGAUCUGACAGAAUUCCAUGAGUUUUGUUGUUUAUCUGUUUCUGCAGGGGGUUAUCAGGAAAUAAGGAUGAAAGGCCCACAUGUCGGGAUUACAUAGAGAUAUCAACGCACCGCGCGAUUUUCUACCAUCUAGAAGACUCCAGAAGCCACGGGAAGAAGGCAGAGGCCGAAAGGGGCCAGGCCCAGGGCACCCGCCCUGGUGACCUGGGCGCCCGCCCCCUGCUGGAUGCCAAUCAGGACUCUCUUCGCACGGGAUGUUCCACCGACCUAUUGGAUCAAGGAAAACAUAGUACCACCUCGCCUACCAACCCAAAAAGCAUAGAGGAGGAGGACUAUAUAAGGAGACCACCUGGCCCCUGGAGAAGACAUGAAAAAAUUAUCAUAGAGAUUGAGGGUGCCCUCGAAGGAAAACCUCUUCUUUAAUUAAUAUUUCUUUUUAGGCUUAGCAACCAAUGUAAAGUAGAAAUAGAUCUUCUAGUUUCUACUAGAUUGAGAGAGAUAGAGUGGAGGUGUAGAUUGGAGGAAGCCCGGCCUGUCGGUGUCUACUCCAAGCUUGUACCUGCGGGAUCAAGUUCUCCUAACCCGAAGCUUGCUCCUAGGAUUCUUCAGUAUUUCGACUUCUAAAUUCUAGUAAGUUCUUGUUUUAUUGUUCUUUUGGUUUAUGAGUUUAUUUUAAUCUCUUCGCGUAGAGUUUAGAGUAAUCAUUGCUGGCGUAAACGUGGUGUUUAGGCUGGGGUACUCAUAGAUAUUCCCUGACUAGCUGGACCGUGGUAGUAGCGAGGAACGUGACAAUUCCGAGUUACCUUUGCAGACCAUAUCUCGUUAGCAAGAAGGAUAGGGUUUAUAGGUGCGGGUUGAACAUCCUUUGUGGUGUCUAGAUUCCGUUAGCCUCCCCAAUACAACAGUAGAUCAUCCUUACCAAGGUUAGAAGGAGACUACGGUUGCAGUCUUCUCUAUUUAUCACUCACAUCGAAAGACAUUCUUUGUUGCCUAAAGGUUAGUAGUAAUAGACCGGUUAGUCAGAUGCACUCUUUCUCCUAGUGGUAAAAAAAUAAAUACGAUACUCUAGAUAAUUUCCCGGGUGAAAUGCUCACCGAUAUCCGUGCGCUUGCGGAUCAAUUCCUUAUUGCGUUCCCAAAUAUCGACAGCUAUGCUAAUCUAGAUGUCUAAUUGAUGUGGUGGCUCUAAUCUUGAUCAGAGGCUUCUUCUCCCUUGAGGAAUAAUGAAUUAGGGUUGAGAGGCUCUCUCCUCCAGGUGCCAGGGGGUCUGGUUUUAUAGUCCCUUCAAGUGAAUAUGGGCCGUUGGAUCAAACCGACAUCGAUUGAACGGUUAUCCUUGAUCCUUUAGGUCUGUGGAGAUAGAUCCCGAAAGAGAGUCCUAUUUGGACUCCAGGAGGGGGCGGGUGCCGUGGUCAACUGGGCAGGCACCCAGGGCCUGGCUCCAUUCGGCCUCCGCUUCCUUCACGUGGCUUUUGGAGUCUUCUAGAUGUAAGAUAAUUGUGUGGCUCGUUAAUAUCUCUAUGUAAACAUGACAUGUGGGCCUUUCUUUCGUAUUUCCUGAUAACCCCCUGCAGAAAUAGACAAACACCAAAACUCGUGCAAUUCUGUCAGAUAAAACCCUAAGUCUGGAUGUUUGUUUCAUUUGGAUCCUUUUUCUUUGUUUAUUUGAUAAUUAAAUUUGAUACUUAAGGACCAUCAACAGUGGCAUUGGCAGCAUCAUCCUCAGUGUGUUUGUGCUCGUAGAUCCAAGUUCUUCACUUGGUGGAAUCUGGGAGUUGUAAAACUCCUUCAUGUUUUGCUCAAAGUGUACCUGCUCAUAGAGACAAUGCAGAGAUCAAGUGCAUGGGCCCUGUUGGUGAAAAACACCAACAGAACCGAAAGUGUAUUUGUUAUUCUCUAACCUUAAGCAUAGUGAGCAAGACAAAGUUGAUGGAUAAUAAGAUCAUGAGUGUAGUAUUUGAUACAUUUGUCAGAUCAGAUUGCUCAACCCAAUGGGAAGAUAAUCUAUCUAUAUUUAUGUUUUGUUUAUAUCUUCCAAAGAUUAAAUGUGCAACAUUUUAGCUUAUAUGAUUAGGAGUGUGGGAUCACGAAGGUAGUACUAAGAACAAAGAUUAAAAGACUAAACAUGUUGAAUUAGUUGGGUAGUUCAAUUUGGAGUUACUAAUCAUACAUGUUUGUCUCUUUAUUUUAUGUGAACGCCAGAACCAAGGAGAAGCUUAUAAAAGCGAUAGUCAAGUAUCUUAAGAUGUUACCUUACUUGAAGAGUAAUGGUACAAUAUUACCUUGUGGAGGCUUUCCUUUCUUAGCGGUUGUGCACCGUGUUUGUGGCACUCUUUGUCUCGUUCUAUGGAUCAUCUCUCUAUGAUGAAUGAGCUAUGUCCUUCUUGUGCAAAUUGUUACAUUUCAUGUGUCUCUCUCUUCAUCUCUAAUGUGAGUUUAUCUCAGGACUUCCCAAAUUGAUAUUGAAAGUUUUUCAGCAGGGGUUAGUCCGACAAAAUAUAUCAAUGUCUACACAAGCAGUUUUUAGUUCAAUAACUGAACUAGACUCCAUGUCUAAUCAGAUUAAGGAAGGCUGUUUAACCUAAGCACCAUGCUUAAUUUAAAAGCUAAUAGAAGUAUGUGCAGCACUUCCAAACUAACAAUUACUAGGAUAAACAAAGGUAGUGUGAUGGCAUAAUAAGAGAUCUACUCAAGUGGAGAUGAACUAGUGUGAUUAGUAUUUAAUCAAUUGAGCAUGUCUCAAAGGUAGGGACAACCAACAUAGCAACAUGGUAAAGGAUGUUUUUAUGUAAAGUAUUUCCCCCAAGCUUGAAUUUUAAAAAAUUCAAGAUUGGAUGAAUUUAAUUCAAUGUUGCAUGAUGAUUGGUUGGGCAUACCUUGCGCUUGUCAUUCCUGGGAUCUUCGUGCUCCAAUCCUAGAAAGGUUAGUGACAAGAAUACCGAAAGGAAUAUUUUUACAAUUAUCCUUAUAUGCUCAAUACAUAAGACAAUGUUGCAAAUAAUUAAAAAUUCAUGUUACGAUCUGAUAAGUGCUUGUUUUAGGACACUAAGCUUGUCCUUGGGAAACCAUCAAAUUAUGUUGGUGAAGUGGUUUCCCCUUCAACACCAACCUAAGCGUGCCUAUAUCAAGAUUGACUCAACGAUAUCUACAAUAUUUAUUAUAGACAUAUGCAUCGAUAACUACCCCUUUAAAGUUUUUAUAAAUAGAAAGGAAGAGGGGGUUGGAGAUCUCAAAUGUGGUAAGGAUGGAGAGACCAAUUGAUUGGGGUGAUGUUUUAUAUGAGCAAGGACUUGGUGAGGUAUUUAUGAAAUAACUUCCAUGCUCACUAUUGUUUCUCUCAUUCUCAAACUCAAAGGAUGAUUCUUCAUGAAUGCUUAAAAUUCCUCUAGGAUUGUCUCUCAAGUUUGUUUUAUCUAUAUAUUCAAUGGUGAUAGCACAAGGAUUUUUAAUGCCCUCUAGCCAUUGAUGUUGCUCUUCUCGAUCCUCCUUGUGGUCUUGGUGACUCUUAUGCAUGGGAUGUCUAGAGAGAUUCAUAGGAUCAUCGGGAGGUUCAAGAGAAAGAGCAUAGUAGAAAUUAUUAGGCUCAAGGAUGGGUUUAAAGAUAGGUUCGAAUGAGUCAUCAAAAGUGGGCGUAGAAUGGGAGAAGAUGGGAUUGUCUUCUAAAUGGCUUCGCUCUCCUUCUAUUGCAUCACUUAAGUUGCCAUCCUUGAGUCUUUCUCGAUGUCCAUCAAAGGGAUUGGAUUUGAGAUGCUUUCUAAGAGAUCCCUUCUUAGGAAGGUUCAGACUAUAUGCACUCUAAGGUCUCUUAUGAAGCAGGAAGUUUAAGUUCAUCCCAAAACAAAUUUACAAAGGUAGAAUUUCUUCUUCCCUAAGAUGAUUUUGGAGCACUACUAGUUUGGGUUGGAUAGCCGAAUCAUUGGAUUGAAAUGUUUGGAAAUCGGCUAUUGAAACUUCCUUUAUUCGUCUAGGAGAUGAUUCCUUCUCUAUCUCUAGGAUUUUUUUAUCAAGAUUAGUGAAAGAAGGAUGUCCAUGAAUGAAGAUAUACCUUGCUUUACUAACAGAUAAAGAAAGAAAAACUCUACCAAGGGUUAUAUGAUUAAGACCAAUGUGAAAAUAUCGAGGAAAAACAUGGUCUUAUAGGGCUAGGUUUAAACCAGAAUUUAUAGAAAGAUUAUCAGAUUCCCUAGGUGUAGCUAAAAGUUCAUUAUCUUUUUGAUUAAAAGAUAUGACCUCAGCUAUAGAAAAGGGUUGGUUUUGACCUAUUGCAAUCAACUCCGGACACAGAUCAUAAUUAGGGGAAAAGAAAGGACUUGUUGACUCCCAUGGUCUCCGAAGGUGCAAAGAAUUCAAUAAUAUGUAUGGAAUUUGAAAUAUCCAUAAAGAUGGAAAGAAUAAAAAGAUAAAAGAAUAAAAGUAUAAAAGUAUAAUACAAGAUAAUAGUAUGACUAAAAGUUAUCUCAGCAAACCGUCUUUCUCCCCGGCAACGGCGCCAGAAAUGCUUGUUGAUAUUUGGUAACGCCAUUAGCAAUUGAUCCGCAAGCGCACGGAUAUCGGUGAGCAUUUCACCUGGGAGGUUAUCCAGAGUAUCGUAUUUAUAUUUUUACCACUGGGAGAAAGCGUGCAUCUGACUAACCAAAUCUAUUGCUACUACCCUUUAGGCUACAAAGAAUGUGAUUCGAUGUGAGCGAUGUAUAGAGAAGACUACAACCGUAGUCUCGUUCUAACCAUGUUAAGGAUGAUCUACUGGAUCUACUGUUCUAUUGGGGUGGCUCACGGAAUCUAGACACCACAGAGGAUGUUCGACCCGCACCUAUAAACCCUACUCGUCCUGCUAACGAGAUGUGGGCUGCAAAGGUAACUCGGAAAUGUCACGUUCUUCGCUACUACCACGGUCCAGCUAGUCACGUGAUAUCUAUGAGUACCUUAGCCCAAACACCACGUUUACGCUAUCAAUGAUUACUCUAAACUCAACCGGAAGAGAUUAAAGUAAACUCCUAAACCAAAGAACAAUAAAACAAGAACUUACUAGAAUUUAGAAUUCGAAUUAUUGAGCAAGCCUCGGGUUAGGAGAACUUGAUCCCGCAGGUACAACCUCGGAGUAGACACCGACAGGCCGGGCUUCCUGCGAUCUACACCUCCACUCUAUCUCUCUCAAUCUAGUAGAUCUAGUCUACUCUCACAUUGGAUGCUAAGCCCUAAGUCUAUUUAGAGGAAAGGUUAUCCUUCGAGGGCACCUCUCAACUCUAUGAUGAACUUGUUCUCCUCCAGGGGCCAGGGGGUCUCCUUAUAUAGUCCCGUCAAGUGAAUCUGGGCCGUCGGAUCAAACCGACAUUGAUUGAACGGUUAUCCUUGAUCGUUUAGGUCGGUGGAGCGUAAUCUGCGAGACGAGUCCUCAUUGGACUCUGUACCAGGGCGGGCACCCUAGGGGGGUGGGUGGGCGCGCUGCCCCCGGGCCCGAUCACCUUCCCGUUCGUUCUCGUGGCUUCUGGAGUCUUCUAGAUGAUAGAAAAUUGUGUGGCACGUUAAUAUCUCUAUGUAAACCCGACGUGUGGGCCUUUGUUCUGUAUUUCCUGAUAACCCCCUACAAAAAUAGACAAAUACAAAAACUCAUGGAAUUCUAUCAGAUAAAACCCUAAGUUUGGGUGUUGGUUGCAUUUGGAUCCUUUUCUUUAUUUAUUUGAUGAUUAUAUUUGGUACUUAAGGACCGUCAACAGAAGGUAAUAUGAGUAAGUUUAAAACUUAAUUGUUUACCGUAACCUAGAGAUGAGAUCUUGUUUGAACGCAUGUGUACCUUUAAGGCAUGAAACCACUGCAGAAACUCUUGAGUCCAUCCUUGCACAGGGACGAGCAAGAGGUAAGCUUGGGGGAGUUGUUGACGGUCCUUAACUACCAAAUAUAAUCAUCAAUUAAAUAAAGAAAAGGAUCCAAAUGCAACCAACACCCAGACUUAGGGUUUUAGCUAACAGAAUUCCACGAGUUUUGGUGUUUGUCUAUUUCUGUAGGGGUUUAUUAGGAAUUACGGAAGAAAGGCCCACACGCCGGUUUUACAUAGAGAUGUUAAGGUGCUGCGCAAUUAUCUAACAUCUAGAAGACUCCAGAAGCCAUGGGAACAAACGGGAAGCUGAGCGGGCUCGGGGGCAGGGCGCCCGCCUCUUGACGGUCCUUAAGUACUAAAAUUAAUAAUGAAAUAAACAUGAAAAAGGAUCAAUAUGAAACAAACAUCUAGAAUUAGGGUUUUAUCUGACAGAAUUCUACGAGCUUUGGUGUUUAUCUAUUUCUGCAGGGGGUUAUCAGAGAAUAUGGAGAGAAGGCCCACAUGUCAUGUUUACAACGAGAUAAUUACGUGCCGCGCAAUUUUCCUCAAUCUAGAAGAGUCUAGAAGCCACGGGAACGAACGAGAGCACGAUCGGGCUCGGGGGCAGGGCGGCCACCCACCCCCUUUUGGCGCUCUCCCAGGGUUGGAACCCAAUCGGGACUCUGCUUCGGGACUACGCUCCACCAACCUAAAGGAUCAAUCUAAACCAUACAAUCUAUGUCGGUUUGAUCCAAUGGCUCACGUUCACUUGAGGGGACUAUAAAACCAAGGCCAAACGCCCCCUGGAGGGAGGAGAAGAGAAGAAAUCAUUAUUCAGAGGUAGCCAUCAAAGUUAGGGUUUAGAGCUUCUCUCCCACGGAGAAUUAGAAUUAGCUACUCCCUAAUCCUUCAAGUUUAGAGGUUUGAUUAGAUAGCAAUUAGAGAAGUAGAGCACUACGCUCUGGAUUCGGAUCUUCGGUAAUAAAGAUUGGUAUUAUUCAUAUCUUUCUCUAAUUCUUUGUUCUAAUUGCAUUAUGUCUCUAAUUAUUAUGUUCUUAGUUUGUUCUAGUUCUAUAUUUGAUAUAGUUCUAAUUGAUAAUGAGUUUAUGUAUAAGUUUGCAAAGCGCUUAGCUCUUGACGCGAGGGAGUUAGGUGAUAGAUCACAUGUGAGCGUGGUGCUUAGAAGUUAUUUAUCUGCAAAUGUAUCCUAUUGGCCGGGUCGUGUGGUAGUUCGCGAUAGUGACAGCUUCGUUGAUUCUUAUAUAGUCCACCCUCCGUUGAUAGGACAGGCAGAACCGGUAUUGUGGAGUAAGUCAUGCGAUGCUCUGAUUUACUUUAUCAAUGUUCCUUAUACAUGAAUGAAGAGUCUUUUAUGCUAUAUAUGAUCUUGUAGAUAACUAGAGUAGAUUAUGACUUAGUAGUUAGUAGAUAACUUAGAAUCCAUUCUCUAGCUAAUCUGACAUCACCUACAUAUAUGAGGAGUAGUCUAUUUUCUAAUCGCUGUGUUAUCUACCCAUGAACUUAUAAUUCAUUAUCUUUAUGUUUAUGGUUUACCCCCUGCUAAAGUAAGUGACUGUGUGACGAGUUUCUCAUUAGUAAUCAUGUUCUUGCAAGUUUAUCUCUAGUCUAUGCCUUGAUAGAUUUUGUCCCCUUAUUUUAAUUUCAUCCCUUGAGCAAAAUUAUAAAUAACGAUACCUGGAAUACUUAUCCUAGUGAAAUGCUACAAUGAGGUGUUUUAUCUGUGAGCUUGCGGAUAGAAUAGAUUAUUUUCUAGAAGAGCCUUUACAUUUAUAAAUACCUUUGUACACUCUGGUACCAUGCUGGGGAUGACAACCUAGUAUCUAAGUGGUGUUAGCUAGUGUCAACAAGCAUUUCUGGCGCCGUUGCCGAGGAUUAUACGAGUCUCAGGAAUAAGUCAUAAAGGGGAACAAAAGGGUAAUACUUAGGAAAGCCAGAAAAUCAAUCAAGGUUAUUCAUAUAAAUCAUUAGACUAGACUAUAGAGAAAUAAUUGCAUAAAACAGCUACUAAGUGAGAAAUCAUAACAAGGCACCUCUGCUUUGGCAGGUUCACCCUGUUGUUUUUCUAUGUUUACAUUUUUGUACAGGGUAUAUCAGGAUUGACUUUUGGUACAUUCAACUCUUCAUCAUUAGAACCAAAGCAAUCAAGAGAAGAAGAAGCUAGCUACCAAUUGCUGAAGCUAUGGCACAAAAGACCCUACAAGAAUUCUCUGCUCCAAGUCUUGACAACAUUCCAACUGGUCCAAGAUUUGUAGUAGAAGAAGGAAUACCUGAGUUUGAGCUCAAGUCAAGCCUCAUCAAUUUGGUGCAAGCUACACAAUUCAGUGGAAAGGCACAUGAAGAUGCUAGUGCACACUUGCAGAAUUUCUUAGAGAUUGGAAGCACAAUCCACAUCAACGGAGUUGACAAAGACGUCAUACUGCUUCGCCUUUUUCCAUUCUCACUAGAAGGAAAAGCGAGGAAGUGGUUCUACACUCAUCAAGAUAACAUCGACAACUGGACGAACUUGUCAGAUGCCUUUCUAUCGAAGUUUUUCCCUAUAGGCAAAACAACUGCCUUAAGAGGAACUAUUGUCAGUUUCCAACAGCAGAAGACAGAAGCCAUUUCAGAAGCAUGGGAGCAUUUUCAAGGAUACAUAUCAGAUUGUCCUCACCAUGGAAUGGCCACAUGGUUGCUUAUGCAGACCUUCUACCAUGGAUUAACCCAGAAGACUCGUGAGUGCCUAGAUGCAUCUGCUAAAGGAUCAUUCUUGGAGCUUACAUUUGGAAAAGCAGAGAUACUUUUGGAUAAGAUAGCAGAAAACCAAAGCUGGUUCCAAGAUAAAGCUCAACAAUGUCAUCAAACUGAAGAAAUACCAGAAGAAGUAAAUGCAUUAUCAACUAAGAUGGAAAAUUUGCUCCAUUGGAUUGACCAGAGGGCCAAGUUUAAAGAAGAUCAAAGGGCUAUUGAGACAGCAUACAAAUAUCAACCAACUUCGAGUCAACCCAAUAGCAAAGGUAUGAAUUCAGGUAAUACUUUCAAGCAACUUUCAUUAAAAGAGAUAAUUGCUCAACAAACCAAAAUUAAUGACGAAGUUAAACAAAGGCUAGAUACAAAUGAAUCAUCUCUAAAAGAUAUACACAAUAAAAUGGAUUUUCUACUAACUGCCUUUGAUGAGCAAAACACUCUUAAUAAAAUGGUAGAGCUUAAAUUAAUAAAGAUAGCUGCUGCACUGCCUGUUGCUACUAACCUUGAGCAGGUAAAGAAUAUAACUACUAGAGGAGGCAAAGCUACCAGAGAUCCCCCAUACCCAAAAGAGAAUCAAAGAACAUCAGCACCAGUGCAACCAGCAGUGAUAGAAGAAGAAAGCCCAGUUGAAGCAGAAGAUCUACUACAACCACCAAGAACUAGAGAAAUGAGGAAAGAUUUUUACGACACCAACUAUUUGCCAUUUCCCAGAAGAAACAGAGGACUGCAGUCGGAUGAGCAGUUUGGUAAGUUUGUAGAGGUCAUUCAGAAAUUAUACGUCAACAUAACUCUGCUCGAUGCCAUACAGGUACCUACAUAUGCAAAGUACAUCAGAGAUAUUCUUAACAAGAAGAGACCACUGCCCACCACUGAGGUUAUCAAGCUGACAGAAGAAUGUAGUGCGGCCAUCCUCAACAAACCACCAAAGAAGAAGGAAGAUCUAGGAUAUCCCACUAUUGACUGCUCGAUCGGAAACCAACACUUCAACAAUGCACUUUGUGAUCUCGGAGCAAGUGUCAGUGUGAUGCCAGCAUCAGCCUACAAAAGGCUUGAGCAUGCGACCCUAGAACCAACAUCAAUGUGCCUACAAUUAGCGGAUCAAUCGGUUCGAGACCCUCUGGGCAUCGCCGAGAACAUUCCAGUCAAGAUCAGAGAUUUCCUUGUGCCAGUAGACUUCGUAGUAUUGGACAUGAGUCCUGACUCAAAAGUGUCCAUCAUCCUUGGAAGGCCAUUUCUGAGCACUGCCAAUGCCCACAUUGAUGUCGGGAAAGGAGAAAUCAAGUUCAACACAAACGGUCAAGAAGAACACAUGACAUUCAAACCCAGACCAGAGAGAGACUCUACAGUGAAGGAAGUUCAUGAAGAACCAUUGGAGACACCGUCUCCGGAGGAAGGUAACUCAGAAGAUUAAAAGAUUUGGAGGUCCAACUUGGGGGACCUAAAAAUCCCAAACCCUCACCGGGAGGUAAAUCGGUAUUUAUCUGCAUUAUUAAUUUUAUCAUGUUUAAAUUCUUGCAUAAUUAAUUCUUGCAUUAGUCAUAGCAUAAUUAUAAUAAUCAAAAAGCCCCAUAUAAAUAAUAUUCAUGGUGUGUAACAACCCAUAUUUAUUAAUUAUUGUGGAGGCACAAAAAAUAUUUUCCAUUAUCAUUAUCAUUAAGUUUCAAUUCUCAUAGAUUUUCCUACAUUAUAUUUAAUUAUAUUAAUCUUCUAGAAGCAUGACCCACACUCCUUGGGUCCCACAUGCCAUACACUUCACCUCACAUACAUCCCAUCACAUAAUUUCAUCCACCACUAUGUUUCCACCCACCAGACAUCUUUCCACCAUCCAACAACCACCACACAACAUUAUUCUGCGUGAGAUCAAAGCAAGGAAGCAAGUGGAGAAGGCACACCCAGGAUGGACACCAGGAGUGGGCGCCCACCCUGUCCCCUCUUGCUCCUAUAAAUAGCCACAUUCCACCUCCAUCUUCUUCACAAAAACACUCCAGAAAACCACACAAGUUUCAGUUUCCCGAGAAGGAGCUCUUGUAGUGAAGAGAAGAGAGUAGAGAGAAAGAGGAGAGUGGAAGAGAAGGUUGGGAGUUCUUUCGAGAGAGUGAUUAUCACCUAGCAAGUAGUGAUCCCGUUGUCUAAGCGGAAGUAAAAGUUGUUUAGGGGGGAAGCUCUACUAAAAUAGAAAACUUAUCUUGAACGACUAACCCCUGGACUACUGACAUUCCGGAUAGCUGACCACUAACAUUUUCUCUCACAUUUUCCACUAGUUGUGUUUUUGCCAACUUUUGUUUGCAGGAUGUUUAAGAAGGUGAAGAAUGCAGGGAAGGCUCUCAAGAACAUUGGUACAAGGAGUUCAGCCCGACACUCCUCACAGCCAUCAGAGAUGAGCGUCGACCCGACACCCACACAAGCUCCAUCAUCUUCAUCAGGUCAGCAAGUUAAGGUCCUUCUUAAGAUAGGAGACCUUGGACUGAAGACCCGAAGAGAGAAAGAAGUCUAUCAGCAACUGAAGAAUAAAGAUUUUAUUCACACCCCUACUAUUGAUCCAAUCUUACUACAAGAAACAGGUGUGGACACUGAAUUUGACUUAAUUUUCCAAAUGUUAGGUUGGACAAAUUUUUGGAAUAUAACUGAGCUGGGUUCUCGUCUUCUCACCCUCGAAUUUCUUUGCACUUUACAAUACUAUGAGGGGGGAAUUGUUUUUCGAAUGUUCAAACAGGAAAUUAUGUUGUCUUGGAGAGAGCUGAGCGACCAUCUUGGUUUCUCUUCAAGAUGCAUCCUGAACAUUGACUCCGAUUUACCCAAUUUUGAGAGACACCAGUUUUGGAGAGAAAUAUCUAGAGAUAAUUUUUAUAGUCAAGCCCGAACUAGUGACAUGGAACACCCUACUCUUAGGAUGUUCCACAAAUGGCUUGGGUACAAUCUUUUCUAUCGUGAUGAUAUUAGAAAAGUAAGAGUAGGAGAUUUACAACUUUUAUAUGCUGCUAUUAAUAAAGUACCCACUUCACCUGUUACACUUUUAGUUUCACAUUGGCUUAGUGUACCUAGUCUGCAGGGACCAGUAGGAUGUACUUCACUUAUCACUCGUUUAGCCUCUAAUCUUCAUUUACUAGAAAACUCAUCGUUGGAUUUCAUAGAGGAGUUAAGAAUUUAUCAUGGCUAUGACACAUUUAGACAAGCUCGGAUGUUAAAGAAAGAGGGGAAUGUAAUGUAUAUGCUAUAUGAUGAUAAAGGCAAGAUUCGGUUACCUAACCCGAACCUUGGCCUAUACGUUGUGCAAAAUCUUUUGAUUGAGAUUGCAGCAACACCAGUGAACCAGAGAGCUCCACAGCGAGUGGCAUCUGAAAGGGUGACCACUCACCGAGAAUGCACCUGGUAUGGAGCUGACCCUGGACCAGAAGAAGCAGCGCACCUGCAUUAUUGCGAUUACAACCCCCGAGUCCUUCGAGACCCAUGGGUUCGUCAUGCGCAACCACAAGAGCCAAUAGAGGAGACAUGGCCGGAGAGCCAAGAUCACCAGUGGACAAACCCGCCUUUCCAUAUGGGCAGGUACUCCACUGAUCCAUAUGGAGCUUCAGGAUCCAGACCUCCGCCCCAAUUUGAUGCAGGACGAUACUCCGACGCCUCCUACGCUUGCACGAAUGACUACUAUCAAGAGGCCGGUGCUUUCUUCACUCGUACCGACAACACCCUCCUCGACAUCCAGAACACGCAAGCAGAACAUGAAAGACUCCUGGAAGAGCAACAAAAAUGGAACCAGGACCAUGCUGCUGCAGUACAAGAGCUGAGACAAGAUACAACAACAAUGAAUGACAACAUCACAACUAUGAUGCGGUUCUGGAACAUCGGGUAAGACCGACGUCAACAUCCAGCUUGGGGGAGUUCCUCCCCAAUUUAUCAAGUAAGUUUUUAUUUGCUCUUAUUAUUUAUUCUUUUCUAUUUUAGUAUUUUAUCUUAAAAAGGAAAACUUAGAAAACCCAAUAAAUAUUUUCUUGCUUUAAAUUACUGCAUUUUAUAAACAUGAAAACAAAAUAAAAAGAGUGUGUAGAUAAGUGUGCUUUAUUUAUCUGUCAAGAGUUAAUCUCUAGAAAAAAUAAAAAGACCAAAAAGAUGCAUGAUGGAAAUGAUGAAUAGUUGCUCUGUUUGCUUACUUUCAAGUACCUAGCUUUUAUAUUAGAGUUCUUCCAGGAAUUACUAAAACUGAAACUUACUGUCUUUGGGAAGCAUAAAACUAAUGUCUAGGUAAGCGAAAGGCAUGAUAUAAAGUUGAGCUACUGUUUAUCUUGUUCCUACUACACAAAGUUCUGGAGAUUUAUUUUGAAAACUUACAAAUCACAUGAUGAGAUUCCUAGCAUUACAAACUACCUACCACAGCCAUACUUGCUAUAACAUCUUUUACUACACUUACAUUGAGUUUGAUUGAGCUGUGUAGACCCUUAGGAGCUUUUCAUGUGGUUAAAUUAAGAUAUUCACUUGCACACAUCUACUAUACCAUUCAUCAUCAUUCAUUAAAAUUGCUAAAAAUAUUAUCACUCACUGUCCUGAAUAUUGUUAUUCUCUCUCUAAAAAGAUUCAAUGCAGAAGAGGCAUGGGUUAUGCAAAAAUAUGCGAGGAAAUAAACAGGGUCAAGUGCUCGGAACCUCAAAAAAGAAAGAAAAAGAGUGAGACGAGAGGUAAAAUAGACAAGUGUCCGAAGUAGAAUUAGGGGUACAAAGAUGCCCACUUGAGCGGAAAAAAAUGGACAAGUGUCCGACAGUAGAAUUAGGGGUAUCUACUACCCAUCUGAAAAAAAAAGAAAGAGAAAAGAUAGCCCAUGUUCUCCCAAAGCAAAGAUCAGAGAAGAGGAGAGAUAGCAAUAUGAGGAGCAAUGAGAAGUAAGUUUCAUUAUCACUUAUACAUUUUUAUCAUCACUAUCAUUUACUCCACCACACAUGCACAUCUUGAUUUAAUUAUAUGCUGAGUUCCUUUUGGAUCCAUGGCUCAAUUAGACAACAUAUGUAUGAGCUGUUUUUCACUUCUAUGAGCUCCACUUAAAUAUUCCAUUAACUAUAGGUAAGUGACAUUAUGGUAAGGAUCCACAAAUACCACAUAUAGAGAGACUUGAGAGAAUCAUUGCUGGGAACUCUGAGUUUUAUUUUGGAAACUUAUAAAAUACUCUGGAACAAAGGUGAAGUAUAAACAAGAGGAAUAGUGCUUGACUUAACUAUUUUGUCUUUCGAUUACUUAAGAUUUAAGUGCAGGUACUAAACUCCAUAACACUUCACUCUAACCUGGAAGAAAUUUUAUGUAAAAGCAUGUGUGCCUGUCAGGAUAGAAAACAUCGAAGCAACUUCUGAUUCGUCUAAGUUUAGCUAUUUGCUCAGGGACGAGCAAAGGGUAAGCUUGGGGGAGUUUGUUGACGGUCCUUAAGUACUAAAAUUAAUAAUCAAAUAAACAUGAAAAGGGAUCAAUAUGAAACAAACAUCUAGAAUUAGGGUUUUAUCUGACAGAAUUCCACGAGCUUUGGUGUUUACCUAUUUCUGCAGGGGGUUAUCAGAGAAUAUGGAGAGAAGGCCCACAUGUCAUGUUUACAACGAGAUAAUUACGUGCCGCGCAAUUUUCCUCAAUCUAGAAGAGUCCAGAAGCCACGGGAACGAACGAGAGCACGAUCGGGCUCGGGGGCAUGGCGGCCGCCCACCCCCCUUGGGCGCCCGUCUAGGGUUGGAACCCAAUCGGGACUCUGCUUCGGGACUACGCUCCACCGACCUAAAGGAUCAAUCUAAACCAUACAAUCUAUGUCGGUUUGAUCCAAUGGCUCACGUUCACUUGAGGGGACUAUAAAACCAAGGCCAAACCCCCCCUGGAGGGAGGAGAAGAGAAGAAAUCAUUAUUCAGAGGUAGCCAUCAAAGUUAGGGUUUAGAGCUUCUCUCCCACGGAGAAUUAGAAUUAGCUACUCCCUAAUCCUUCAAGUUUAGAGGUUUGAUUAGAUAGCAAUUAGAGAAGUAGAGCACUACGCUCUAGAUUCGGAUCUUCGGUAAUAAAGAUUGGUAUUAUUCAUAUCUUUCUCUAAUUCUUUGUUCUAAUUGCAUUAUGUCUCUAAUUAUUAUGUUAUUAGUUUGUUCUAGUUCUAUAUUUGAUAUAGUUCUAAUUGAUAAUGAGUUUAUGUAUAAGUUUGCAAAGCGCUUAGCUCUUGACGCGAGGGAGUUAGGUGAUAGAUCACAUGUGAGCGUGGUGCUUAGAUGUUAUUUAUCUGCAAAUGUAUCCUAUUGGCCGGGUCGUGUGGUAGUUCGCGAUAGUGACAGCUUCGUUGAUUCUUAUAUAGUCCACCCUCCGUUGAUAGGACAGGUAGAACCGGUAUUGUGGAGUAAGUCAUGCGAUGCUCUGAUUUACUUUAUCAAUGUUCCUUAUACAUGAAUGAAGAGUCUUUUAUGCUAUAUAUGAUCUUGUAGAUAACUAGAGUAGAUUAUGACUUAGUAGUUAGUAGAUAACUUAGAAUCCAUUCUCUAGCUAAUCCAACAUCACCUACAUAUAUGAGGAGUAGUCUAUUUUCUAAUAGCUGUGUUAUCUACCCAUGAACUUAUAAUUCAUUAUCUUUAUCUUUAGGGUUUACCCCCUGCUAAAGUAAGUGACUGUGUGACGAGUUUCUCAUUAGUAAUCAUGUUCUUGCAAGUUUAUCUCUAGUCUAUGCCUUGAUAGAUUUUGCCCCCUUAUUUUAAUUUCAUCCCUCGAGCAAAAUUAUAAAUAACGAUACCUGGAAUACUUAUCAUCAUGAAAUGCUACAAUGAGGUGUUUUAUCUGUGCGCUUGCGGAUAGAAUAGAUUAUUUUCUAGAAGAGCCUUUACAUUUAUAAAUACCUUUGUACACUCUGGUACCAUGCUGGGGAUGACAACCUAGUAUCUAAGUGGUGUUAGCUAGUGUCAACACCGCCCUCCCUCCUUGGGCGCCCGCCCAGCUAGAGGAACUAAUCAGGCUCCGUCUCGCGGAUUAUGCUCCACUGACCUAAAGGAUCAAGGAAAACCGUGUGAUUAAUGUCGGUUUGAUCCGACGGUCCAUAUUCAUUUGGAGGGACUAUAUAAGCAGACCCCUUGGCCCCUGGAGGAGGCACCCCUUGAUCUCUAUUCAUUAUUCAUAGAUAGAGCAAAAGCUAGGGUUUGGAGAUGAGAGCUCUCCUCUCAUCUCUAAACUAGAGUAGAUCUAGAUAGUAGCGAGAUGGAGAGCGAGGGAGGAUUGGAGGAGAGGCCGGCCUGUCGGUUCUUCCUCCGGUUGUACUUCGCCAUGAUCAAGCUCUAAUCAAGCAUGCUCGUGGGAUGACUUUGGUAAUCUACUUCUAUUUCAUUAUGCAAUUACUAUCCAUGUAUGUUCUCGUUCACAACUCUUUUGAGUACUUUAAUCUAUAGGACGCUAUAGGUGGGAGUUGUAGUAUAGGUGUAAGCGUGGUGCUUAGACUUAAAUUACUUGUGGAUAUCCCUUGUCUAGCCGGAUCGUGUGGUAGGCCGCGUAGGUGACAGUUACGUUGGUCCACUGUAGUCCACCUCCUGUUAGCAGGACUGGUAGGGUUUAUCGGCCUAUGGAUAAGCAUCCUUUGUGGUGUAUUCUUAUCACGUGGUUCAUCCCAGACAUAGACAUACCCCUUUGAAGUAGAGAAACCAUAGUUAUCCUCUCUAUUCUCCUAGCAUCGCCCAUAUACUCUCUAUUCCCAUAUUAUCACCCAUUGUUAUCUUACCUUUAAUAUUAUUCUUAUUCAAUUCUACCAUCUUUCCUAUUUACACCUACUUAUCUAUCGGGUUAAGUUAGAGCGUAGAUCAGUUCUCCCGUUUUCCUAUAGAUACGAUAAAACCUUUAACCGAGUAAAAGUUACAACGGUAUCCAUGCGCUUGCGGAUUUAUCUGUGUGCGUAUAAAUACCAUAGUACACUCUAGUGCCAUGCUGGGGAUGACAACCUAGUACUCAAGUGGUGUUAGCAAGUGUCAUCAAGCUUUUUGGCGCCGUUGCCGGGGAAACGGUAGCUGAGUUGACUACGAACUAGCUUAAUCAUUUUCUAAAAAAAUAAAAAAAAAAUAAAUAUAUUUCCUUUUAUCCUUUGCUUCAUCUCUGCUAUUCUUUCUCCUUAUCUAAUCCUUGAUCUCUGGUCUAUCAUGAAUUCAAUCAUGUCUAUCCAUGAAUUUCAUUGACCUACGGGCACACAUCUCGAACCACCAAAAUCUUCAAAGCCUAUCAUAGCAUCUAGUUUUCAGAUAGACCUCGAAUACAUAGAAUUUGUUCAAAAACAACCUUUCUCAGGAGAAGGUGAACAAAACCCAUACACACACCUAAGAGAGUUUUAUCGAGUCUGUGACCUCCUUCGCAUAGAAGGCAUGUCUGAUGAGACCCUUAAAUGGAAGCUCUUUCCGUUCUCUUUAACAGGAAAAGCUAGACAUUGGUACAAUCUCAAAGUAGGGAGUGUUCAUGGAGAUUGGAAGGAGUUAUAUAAUAGUUUUCUUUUUAAAUAUUUUCCAAUCUCCAAAGUGGCGGAACUUCGGUGUGAGAUUAUUUCUUUUAGACAACUAGAAGAAGAAUCUCUUGGCAAAUCAUGGGACCGCUUUAUUAACCUUACUCUCACUGGCCCAAAGCUUUGUAUUCCAGAAUAAGUUCUUCUAAUUCACUUUUUUGAGGGCCUUUGUAGGGAAAAUAAGCAAACCUUGAAUACAGCAUCUAGAGGAUCCUUCUAUCACCUAUCUGCUAGUGAAGAUAGGGAUUUAAUUGAUUCAUUGAGUGGAAAGUUUCCUAGCAUUUAUAUCCCUGAGAAAGAGAAAGAACCAGUUCCUAGACAAGAAGAAGAAGUUUCGAUAGCCAGAUCACAACCACUUCAAUCCAGAACUUUAGCUAUCGAUCCUAAACCAUAGUUAUCCUCUCUAUUCUCCUACCAUUGCCCAUAUACUAGAUUGCUCCACUCUCUAUUCCCAUAUUAUCACCCAUUGUUAUCUUACCUUUAAUAUUGUUCUUAUUUUAUUCUACCAUCUUUCCUAUUUACACCUACUUAUCUAUCUAGGUUAAGUUAGAGCAUAGAUUAGUUCUCCCGUUUCCCUGUGGAUAGGAUAAAACCUUUAACUAGGUAAAAGCUACAAUGGUAUCAGUGCGCUUGCGGAUUUAUCUGUGUGCGUAUAAAUACCAUAGUACACUCUAGUGCAAUGCUGGGGAUGACAACCUAGUACUGAAGUGGUGUUAGCAAGUGUCAACACUAGCCACUUGCCCUUGGUAAGCCCGGUCUUGUGAUCCCUCGACGCGAACGGCUACUCGCGCACUGGACGUGGAGCGAUGGCGAGAGUAGCGUGUACCGUCCUGGAAAAUGGGCUGGAUGGUGGGGUACUAUGCUCUCGGGUGCCGUGAACCCGGUCAGAUCUAGGGAGAGCUAGAUUUGGGUUGACAUAUGCAAGUUUUGGUUCUACAUAUUGUUGACGGUCCUUAAUGCUCACAUUUAACUGUCAACUAAUCAUGAAAAAGGAUCCAAAUGCAACCGACACCUAGACUUAGGGUUUCAUCUGACAGAAUUCCAUGAGUUUUGGUGUUUGUCUAUUUCUGCAGGGGGUUAUCAGGAAAUAUGGAAGAAAGACCCACACGUCGAGUUUACAUAGAUAUAUUAACGUGUCGAGCAAUUUUCUAUCAUCUAGAAGACUCUAGAAGCCACAGGAACGAAGCAGAGGCAGAACGGGGCGUGGCCCAGGGCGCCCACCCACCUUCUGUGCCCAAUCAGAGUCAACUUUGCGUGUCGUGCUCCACCGACCUAAUGGAUCAAGGAUAACCGUUCAAUCAAUGUCGGUUUGAUCCGACGGCCCAGAUUCACUUGAGGGGACUAUAUAAGCAGACCCCCUGGCCCCUUUAGAGCAUACCUCUUCUACAUAAUCAAAGCUAGGGUUUCAAUUAUUCAUCCAAGUAGAGAGGAUCCCUCUAGUUCAUCUAGUUCUAGUUCUAGUUCCUCUAGUUCUAGUUCUAGUUAGUUCUAGUUGUAAACUAGAAAAUAGGGAGAGAGAAGAGGAGAGCGGAGGAGGAGCCAGAUCUGUCGGAUCUUCCACAACAUUGUACUUUUGCAGCAACUGGUUCGUUCUUCAUCGUUCUCCAAGUUCUUCAAUUCAUAAUUCUUGAGUUCUUUAAUUACAUUUAUUUACAUUCAAGUUAUUUAUUGGAUUCCCGCUUGCAUCAAGUGCUCUAGUCUUUAUAACGCUAGAGUAGUAAUUAAUAGAUUAGACGUGGUGUUUAGUCUUGCCAUUACCUAGAAUUGCACCAAGUCCUUCUUUUAUUAAUAUUUAUUGAUUCUGAACUCCAAAUAUAGCAAAUAAUAUAUGCAUUUUGAUCAGCUCGACGAGAUCUUUGUAAUGGUGUACUCCAUUCUGUGAUUGGUGCUUAUACCAGGGCGGGCGCCCUAGGGGGGAGGGCGGGCGCCUUGCCCACGGGCCCGAUCGCUUUCCCGUUCGUUGCCGUGGCUUCUGGAGUCUUCUAGAUGAUAGAAAAUUGAAUGGCACGUUAAUAUCUCUAUGUAAACCUGACAUGUGGGCCUUUCUUUCAUAUUUCCUGAUAACCCCCUGUAGAAAUAGACAAACACCAAAACUUGUGGAAAUCUGUCAGAUGAAACCCUAAGUCUAGGUGUCGGUUGCAUUUGGAUCCUUUUUCAUGAUUAAUUGACGGUUAAAUGUGAGCAUUGAGGACCGUCAACAAGCUCCCCCAAGCUUAACCUUUGCUCGUCCCCGAGCAAAGAUGGACUCAAGAGUUUCUGCAGUGGUUUCAUGCCUUAAAGGUACACAUGCGUUCAAACAAGAUCUCAUCUCUAGGUUAGGGUAAACUGUUAAGAUUUAAACUUACUCAUUUUACCUUCCACCAUGGGGCUUGCAACCGUCACUUAUGCCUUGAGCAGUUAAAAGAAAGAACGGUCUAGACAAGCGCAAUAUCUCUUGUUCUUCGAUUAACUAUAGCUCUGCAGUUUUUGCCAAUUUUUAAAUAAAACUCAUAGAUUCCUUAUAUGACUCUCUAGUCUCUCUUUUGUGGUAUUUCUGGAUCCUUACCAAGGAAGUAAUGGUGUAUGCCUUCUCUCAAAGUAUGUGGUAUUUUUGGUAUGAGGCAUAGUGGUAUUGCCUUAUCUCUCACCCUACUCUAAUAAGGUUUUGAUAUCUGGAGCUCAUAGGUGGGAGAUAAAGUAUACAUACUUACAAGACAUUUAUUGCAUAGUCAAACCAUGGAUCCAGAAGAACAAGUCAAUAAGUCAAAUCAAGAUGUGCAUGUGUGGCGAAUGAAUGGUGUAUGGUGAUGAUGGUGAUAAUGUUGAAAGUCUAAUUCUACGUUUGCUCUUUUGAGGGGGUACAUACCUUUCUUGCACUUGAGGCUUUUGAGGGGAAUGAGAUGCUCUAUAUUUUAUUUUUCUUUUCUCUCAGGUGGGUAUCUUGUACCCCUAAUUCCACUGUCGGACACUUGUCCAUUUUUACCUCUCGUCUCACUUUUUCUUUUUUUUCUUCUUCUUUUUUUGAGGUUUCAGGCACUUGCCCCUUUUUAUUUCCUCGUAUUCACUUUUUUCAGAGCCCUCACCCUCCUGGAAUAAUGUAGCAAGUGGUAGUAACCAAAAUAUCUCGAGCAUUUAUUUCACGGGGAAUAACAGGGAUAGGAUAAUGUUUCUUGGCUAUUCUCUCCUAGAUAGGAGUAGAAUAACUUUGGGUGAAUCUGGAUAUGGAAAUGAGUGGAUGUAUGUGGAUGCGUACUUCUGGAGUAGAAGCAGCAUGUAUGAGUGAACGUGCAAGUGAAUCUUAAUUUUAACCGCAUGAUAAGCUCCUAAGGGUCAACACAGCUUGACCACACUCAAUGCUCAUAAACAGUAAAAAGUAAAUGUAUGGUUUAUAGUCUAAUAAGCUUGUAUAUAUGGCUGUGGUAGGAUUUUAAACUCUCAUUAUACAGGAACUCAUCAUGCAACAUUUUAAAGAUUUUCAAAGAUAAAAUUCUCCAGAAUUCUAGCAUCUCUAGGAAGAGAUAAACAACAGCUCAACCUUCCCAUAUCAUAUCUGUUAACAACUUAGACUUUUGAUCAGGUACUCUUCCUGCAAAUUUAGGUUUAGAGCAAGCUUUAAAUUAUAACAGUUAUGCCUAAACUUGAGAGAGAGCUCAAAUUUGAAAACUAGGUACUUGGCAGAGCAUCUAUUCAUCAUAUCCAUGUAAGAGUUUAUCAUUGAAGUUCAGUUUGGCAUAGACGCUUUAUUUAUUUAUUCUGCAAACUAAGCAAAGAUAUAUAUAAGCACAAAAUAUUUAAUUGGUUUUUAUGAUUACGCAUUUUUUAUUAUUUGAGUAAAGUAUAAAUGUGAGUAGAAACACUUAGCUGGAUAAAUGGAGGUGCUCUCCCCCAAGCUGGAUUUUAACAUAAUUUCUUCUGAUGUAGCUAGCAGGUGGCGUAGGUGUAUUUGAAUGUUGGCAGCACCCUGAUAGCGAUUAGGAUAUCCUCUGUCUGCUAGUCUUCCUUGAUCCUUGAAUUCUGUGGAGCUCAAAUAGACUACAAAGCUUUGUGGAACUGGUUAAGUGUUAGCAUAAAAUCUCUUAGCCUUUGUCAAGUUGAGCUUCCUCUAAUUAAUAUUACUCUCUUUAGUAGGAUCAUAAAUUUAUUUUUAUAUUUUCAAUUUUACAGGACAAGAAUAUAUUUAUUUUAUUUUUACGCCACCACAGUGAAUGGGUUUUAUGCCAUGAGCAUACUCACUUGGGCUUACUGUUUUUAACAUUUUUAUUUUCUUUUCAAGAUAGUAUGAUUAACUAACAAGCUAUUUAAGGAAAGUAAAUAAUUUAAGAAAAAAAGAAUGCAGGAAGGAUAAAUAAGGAUAACUACCGAUUUUAUCUUUCGGCGAGGGUUCAAUGUUUUAAGUCUUCUGAACAAGACUUCUCACCGUGUUUAUUCUUUAGGUGCGUCAUUUGAGUUAGGUUUGGACCUUGACAUCUGCACCUCUUGAUAUGGUGUCACCCAUGUUUUUCGUUUGCCCAGCAGUUCGAAGUACGGCGUUGGCAGCAUCCUCCUCAGUGUGUUUGUGCUCGUAGAUCCAGAUCCUUCACUUGGUAGAGUCUAGGAGUUGGAAAACUCCUCCAUGUUUUGCUCGAAGUGUAUCCUGCUCAUAGAGACAAGACAGAGAUCAAGUGCAUGGGCCCUAUUGGUGGAAAACACCAACAGAACCAAAAGUGUAUUUGUUCUUCUCUAACCUUAAGCAUAGUGAGCAAGACAAAGUUGAUGGAUGAUAAGAUCAUGAGUGUAGCAUUUAAAACAUUUGUCAGAUC
Molecule: long non-coding RNA, 93345 nt
Filed under: Sorghum bicolor (sorghum)
Lineage: Eukaryota; Viridiplantae; Streptophyta; Magnoliopsida; Poales; Poaceae
Description: long non-coding RNA (SBIC_LNC017789)
Rfam family: Plant small nucleolar RNA R71 (bases 31237-31343)
Source: RNAcentral